RNAcentral lists this long non-coding RNA (104951 nucleotides) under Triticum aestivum (bread wheat). RNAcentral's name for it is "long non-coding RNA (TAES_LNC019686)". The stretch from base 38547 to 38681 matches the Rfam family "MIR1120/MIR1122 microRNA precursor family". The record is from RNAcentral. Lineage: Eukaryota; Viridiplantae; Streptophyta; Magnoliopsida; Poales; Poaceae.
GUCGAUGCGCUCCGUGCCCAGCCCCGGCGUCGGGCAUUAACCAGGCUCCGUUCUUUCUUCCCCCGUCUCCUUCCAGAGAAGAGAAGUUUGGCAUGUUUACAGGGACCGGAGCUCUGCUUCUGCGUCGUCGUCGUCGUCGCUUUGUUUGUUCCUCGGCUUCAACUUUUUGGCUUUCGGAUACUGUACUAGUAUAGAGCGAGAUCGAAUGAAUGGUCCUUCGAACGGGGAAGGGUCUCGCGUGUGUUUGUUCAUGUAUUGUAAGCAGCUGCGUGAUGCGCCCUGAAUUUUAACGAGGUCGACUGAUUCAAGGAAAUUUCAGUGUCAACGUCACUCAUGUGUCAGCUGCAUGAGCCAAGUGCUCCGUGGCAUUCCGUUGCAUACUCUACUGCUUUGUCGUCCUCUCAAUGAUGUCUUCCGCACAUGUGUCCAACCUUUCCGUAAUCUUUGCAAAAUAACUUGUACGUACUAUAUUAACAUUUCAAACAAACUUCAACUAAUUAGUAAACGGAGUUUCACAUAGUUUCACAAAUAGCAAAUACAUAGAUCCACAAAUAGCAAACACAUAGUUCCAAGUAGUUUCACAACCACUAGACAAGUUCAACCAAAAGAAGUUCAACCAAAUAGCAAACACAUAGACAACCCAACUACAGGAGCUAAGUAUCCAAGAGCAGAAUCAGUUGCUCCUUCCCCUAUUGGAGGUACGGUCCUCGUUACUCUUUAAACGAGUCUCUGCAAUCUUCUUCUUGGGCCGUCGAGUAACCGGUCUCUGGAAAGGGUCCUGUGACGCCCGGAUAGUUAAGCUACAAUGAACCUAUGAUAAUGAUGCCACGUCACCUCCAUAACCGUUGCUAAUCUCUCGUUAGGUCAAAACCGGUUCACAAAUCAAAUUCAAAAUAUGGCAAACAACAAAAGUUUUCAAACAUUAAAACAAAAAUGUUCGGUUAGUGACAAAUAUUACAUAGGUAAUUAUUGUGAAGAAAAUACUUUUUUAGUAAAUGUCUAAAUAUUUUAAGGUGAAUUAAAACGGAAAGGAAAAUAAAUAAAAGAAAAAGAACAAAGGACCAGCCCCCCCCCCUUACUGGGCCGUGAGGCCCAGCUGGCCAGCAAGCCGGCCCACCCCGCCCCUGGCCUAUAUGGCCUACCUCUCCAUCCCCCGAACCCUAGAUCCCCAACCCCGUUCCUCUCCCCCCUCGCUCCACACGCGCCGCCACCCACGCGCGCUAGCGCAGGGCAGCGUCCCGCCUCGCCUUGUGCGCCUCCUACCUCCCGCCGGCGUCGCCUCACCUCCCAACCGACGCGGUCGCCGGAUCGUCGUCGCCCCAUCCUCAUCCCCCUCCCCGAUCCAGAACUGGUUCGGGGCACGACCUCGACGCUGCACCGAACCGCGACGCCCGCCGCUCGACCCCGUCGCCCCCGAACCGCUCCCUCGCCGGACCUCCUCCUCUACGUCGCCGUCGUCCCCGUCCUCCUCCCCAAAGGCUCCAUCGAGCCUCGCCGACCCUCGUCUCUGCAACGCCGGUGAGGCCACGGCCUCCCUCUCCUCUUCUCCCCCUCUUUGUUGCACGUCGUCGUGCCGCUCCCGAGCUCACAUUCCGCCGCGGCCUCUACCUUCGACCGUAGCCGCCCGCGUACACGCCGCUGCCCGCCUUUCCUUCUGCCUCCACCACUGACCGCGCACGCGACCAUCCUCGCGCUCACUGAGCCGCCCCUGGCCUCGCCCGCGCGCGUCGGCCGCGCCCCAGACUCCAAGCCUUGCUCGCUGGCCGUGCGCCCCGCACCACUGGCUCCUGCCCGCCGCACCCGCUCUGCACCGCGCCUCGAGCACCCCCUGCUGCAGCCCUGCCNNNNNNNNNNNNNNNNNNNNNNNNNNNNNNNNNNNNNNNNNNNNNNNNNNNNNNNNNNNNNNNNNNNNNNNNNNNNNNNNNNNNNNNNNNNNNNNNNNNNNNNNNNNNNNNNNNNNNNNNNNNNNNNNNNNNNNNNNNNNNNNNNNNNNNNNNNNNNNNNNNNNNNNNNNNNNNNNNNNNNNNNNNNNNNNNNNNNNNNNNNNNNNNNNNNNNNNNNNNNNNNNNNNNNNNNNNNNNNNNNNNNNNNNNNNNNNNNNNNNNNNNNNNNNNNNNNNNNNNNNNNNNNNNNNNNNNNNNNNNNNNNNNNNNNNNNNNNNNNNNNNNNNNNNNNNNNNNNNNNNNNNNNNNNNNNNNNNNNNNNNNNNNNNNNNNNNNNNNNNNNNNNNNNNNNNNNNNNCCGUGCUGGCCUCGCCCACGCCGGCCUGGCGACCUGGCAGGUCCGCCGCCCUCCCCCGCGCCCCUGGGCAUGCGCCUGCUCGGGCUGCGCCCAGCGCCCGCACCCGAGUCACCUGUUCGGGCAGCCCCCGCGGCACCUGAACCCACUAUGGCCCUUAUGGCCUAUGACAUAUGGGCCCCGCCCACAGAACAAAAGAAAAGGAUUUAAAAAUAAUAAUAAUAAUAAUAAAUUUAAUUAAUUAAUUAACUUAAUUAAUCAUGUUUAGUUAACCUAAUGAACUAUUGUUAAUUAAUUAAACGGUAAUUAGAUUAGUUAAAUCCUAAUUAGAAUAAACAGAGUAUGACAUGCGGGACCCACACGUCAGAUUGGCCCAGUCAACGCCCUGUUGACUGCUGACGUCACUAUUCUGGAUAAUGUUGAAUUAAAAUAAUUAAAUAAAUUCUGAAAAUGAUUAAAACUUUAGAAAAACAUAGAAAAUAAACCGUAGCUCAGAUGAAAAUGUUUUCUACAUGAAAGUUGCUCAGAACGACGAGGCGAAUCCGGAUACGCAGCCCGUUCGUCUGCCACACAUCCCUAGCAUAGCGAACACGCAACUUUCCCCCUCCGGUUCAUUGGUCCGAAAACGCAAAACACCGGGGAUACUUUCCCGGAUGUUCCCCCCUUCGCCGGUAUCACUUCCUACCGCGUUAGGUCAUACCUAGCACCGCUCAUUGUCAUGUCAUGCAUGUGUUUGCAUUAUAUUUAUUGUUUCUUCCCCCACUUCUCUCGCUAGAAACCGAGACUGACGCCGCUACUGGUACCCCGAUCGACUACGUUGUUGACGACCCCUCCUUGCUAGAGCAACCAGGUAAGCCCCCCCCCCUUGAUCACCAGAUAUCGCCUAUUCCUUCUCUCUACUUCUUGCAUUAGAGUAGUGUAGCAUGUUACUGCUUUCGGUUAAUCCUAUUCUGCUGCAUAGCCUGUCAUUGUUGCUACCCUUACCUGCAAUCCUAAAUGCUUAGUAUAGGAUGCUAGUAUCCAUCAGUGGCCCUACAUUCUUGUCCGUCUGCCAUGCUAUACUAUCGGGCCGUGAUCACUCGGGAGGUGAUCACGGGUAUAUACAUACAUACUAUACAGGUGGUGACUAAAGUCGGGUUGGCUCGUUGAGUACCCGCACGUGAUUCCGAUGUGGGGGCUGAAAGGACAGGUGGUUCCAUCCAGGUAGUGGUGGGCCUAAGUUCCCGACGGCCCCCGACUGUUACUUUGUGGCGGAGCGACAGGGCAGGUUGAGACCACCUAUGUGAGAGGUGGGCCUGGCCCUGGUCGGCGUCCGCGGUUACUUCAUAAUAACACGCUUAACGAGAUCUUAGUAUUUGAUCUGAGUUGGGUCGUUGACCUUAUACGCACUAACCGCCACGUGGGACAAGAUAUGGGCAACCGGCGUCGUGGUAUCAGCCGAAGCUCUUUUUGACGUCAGCGACUGAGCGGCGCGCGCCGCAUUGGACCAUAAGCCCGCGCUUGUAUUAAGGGUGCUAGGUCUGCUUCCGGCCGCCUUCGCAACAUGCAGGUGUGCAAUGGGCGAUGGGCCCAGACCCCUGCGCGCAUAGGAUUUAGACCGGCGUGCUGACCUUUCUAUUGAGCCUAGGUAGGGCUGCGACGUGUUGAUCUCCCGAGGCCGGACAUGACCCAGGAAAGUGUGCCCGGCCAAAGGGAUCGAGCGUGUCGGGUAAUGUGGUGCACCCCUGCAGAGAAGUUGAUCUAUUCGAAUAGCCGUGUCCACGGUCACAGGCGACCCGGAGUUGUACCUUGACCUUAUGACAACUAGAACCGGAUACUAAAUAAAAACACACCCUUCCGAGUGCCAGAUAUAACCCGGUGAUCGCUCUCUAGCAAGGCGACGAGGAGAGGAUCGCCGGGUAGGAUUAUGCUAUGCGAUGCUACUUGGUGAACUUACCAUCUACUCUCUUCUACAUGCUGCAAGAUGGAGGCUGCCAGAAGCGUAGUCUUUGACAGGACUAGCUAUCCCCCUCUUAUUCUGGCUUUCUGCAGUUCAGUCCACCGAUAUUGCCCCUUUACACAGAUACCCAUGCAUAAGUAGUGUAGAUCCUUGCUUGCGAGUACUUUGGAUGAGUACUCACGGUUGCUUUUCUCCCUCUUUCCCCUUUCCUUUUUACCUGGUUGUCGCAACCAGAGGUUGGUGCCCAGGAACCAGACGCCACCGUCGACGACGACCCCUACUACACCAAGGGUGCCUACUACUACGUUCAGGCCGCCGAUGACUAGGAGUAGUUAGGAGGAUCCCACGCAGGAGGCCUGCGCCUCUUUCGAUCUGUAUCCCAGUUUGUGCUAGCCAUCUUAUGGCAACUUGUUUAACUUAUGUCUGUACUCAGAUAUUGCUGCUUCCGCUGACUCUUCUAUGAUCGAGCACUUGUAUUCGAGCCCUCGAGGCCCCUGGCUUGUAUUAUGAUGCUUGUAUGACUUAUUUAUGUUUUUAGAGUUGUGUUGUGAUAUCUUCCCGUGAGUCCCUGAUCUUGAUCGUACACGUUUGCGUGCAUGAUUAGUGUACGAUUGAAUCGGGGGCGUCACAAGUUGGUAUCAGAGCCGACUGCCUGUAGGAAUCCCCCUUCCACACUCCUUGGCCGAAGUUGAGUCUAGUCGGUGAAAAUUGUUUUACUAACUUGGCUGUGCGGCCCAUGGGCCCAUGUCGCCAUUGGGUGGUAUUAGGAUCUUUUAUUCCCCGUUUAUACUCUGGGACUCUGAUCUCUUUUCUAUUCGGGUUAAAUGAAUUUUACAAAAUAACAUUAGGAUCUCGUGAUCACUUUCACCCGGAGAGCACCUUAUUACUGAUGAUCGUCUGCUGCACCAGAAGAUUUCGAAGAUACUCUAUGAUGUUCUCUCGAGACUUUGUGCCAUCGCUUUUGCAAUUCUCAUCCAUCGAUAAACCUCUAUGGAUAACCACGUACACUUGUCAUUCGUACAAUCAUUCCACGUUGAUCUUGUAAUUAUAAGAUACCUCGAAAUCCUCUCUAUUGUUUCGAGAAUCCUUUGUGCCUACUGCCUUGUGGUUCUUUACCGCAUGAACACCCCUAAGGAUAAUCCCUCGCAUUUAUCAAGUAUCUGUUCAACUCCAGUUGUUCAUGUGUUUCACUAAGGCCUUCGAAAUAAUAUUCGAUCUUCCGAAUUCCUUAGCAGCUUAUUGCUCUUGAAAUUCUUGCUUGCUUGCAUUAUGGUUAAUCCCAUAAGUAUAGUAAUCUUAUUGGCAACCUUUGUCACUAUCAUUUGGGGUCCACUGAUUCAAUAUGUUACGAAUGCUCGCAAUCCUCAAUCAUAUCCUAGAAUUCAUCCUUUUGGCUCAGACGUCAUUUUUAAACAUGAGUUGAAUCUCGACCAAUCAAAUUGUUGUCGAUUUUACCCCUAAGCUUACUCAACUUAUCCAUCCUUAAUCAGAGCGUUUGCUUCUGAUCCUUUGAUUUGGAAAUCAUAAUUCCUUUACAUGUGAGCUUUGAAUUAGCCAGUUGCUUCUAUAAUCCAAUACCUUUGCAUUGUUUCUUCCUCUGGUUGUGUGCCGAUACUCACAUCAGCUUCGCUAUGGACCGUCCGGUCCUUUGUUGAAAUAUCAUCCGACAGUGUCCUUCGUCUACAAAAACCUCGAGAAAUUCUUUCCCUGAUACAUAAUGCCUUCGGUAAAUUGUAUCCUCUCGUUUUGUCACCCAUCCUCUACUAUCGAGCUGGUGAUAUUUAUUCUUGAAGCUUGUGGCAUAUGUUCCUAAGAUGCCCCGAUGGGUUGAACCAACACCUUUACUAUUCUGUGUGAACCCGAAAGAUUUCACGGUUCAUACUUAUCUGGUAUUGCACCAGGUAAAACUUUCAACAACUAAUGUCAAUUUUCGAAAAAGACGAGAAGUGAAUGAAAGGUUAUGCAUUGAAGAAGUGGGAGUCGACCUUGAACUUUGUGUUCAUGCCCAUGGACACGAUGUAGAUCUUAUCAUUAAAGCCUCUCUUAAAUCUUUUUUUCCUUGGUAUAAGUUUAUCUUAUAUCUGGGAUCUGGCCUUUUGCAAUCGUGGUUCCGACCAUGUUCUCCUUUAAAUACCAUUUCUCAUGCAAGUAUAAUCACUUGUCUUCUGCAGAGCAAUACCCCAGUCCAACCUCUACUUUGGUCUGUCAUCGAGUAUUACUCCAUGGUAUCUCGAGAUUAUCACGGAAUUGCAUAACUUCUUAUGAGUUCUCCAUCAAGUACUACAUUCUCACUAAUUCCAAAAUUUUCACGGGCUCUGUGUUAUUAACACUCAAGGACACCGAUAACUAAAUCAAGUCCACACCGCGAUUAAACAACUCUUAGUAAACCUCUUUACUUAUGAGUUUGUACUCAAUCACGUUAUUCCUAGCCUGAUCGGUUGUAUCAUUCGCAUGCUGAUUUUAACUGUGCUACCUGGUCCUUAAUUCCCGGAGCACCACUUUCGGCAAUGAGCUAAGCUUACAUCGAUCUUCCUCGGCAUAUCAUUUCGCCUUGGACAGCAAGCUUGAUUUCAAGUUUGUACUGUACUAGUGGUUUCAAUAACCUUUCGCUCCAUCAUUCAUUUGACUUGAUGUCAUCGCCGAUCGAUUACAUCUUCAUGAAAUCUCGCGACAAAUGUGUCGUGAACAUCAUCAACAUUCUGAGCUCUUCCAAGAUAUCUAUCGAAUUCUUGAUGAGAAAUACCACCCUUUGCUCUCGAUGAUUUGUGUUAUCAUCGACCACUUUAUUGCCUUUCAUUCAACACAAACUUGUUCGUGUUUUGUGUUAUACCUUGAGAUCCUUGCUAUCCAUCAAUUAUUCUUCUUUACCUUGGAGCAUUACCACCUUUUAUGCCAGGAAUGUCGUGAGAAAUUCAGCAUCCUUAAGAAUUCUUGAUACAAGUGAUACUUAUUACCAUCACCAUUCUUUUCUUGGUCCCCGUGUUGUUUCUAACCGAAAUACCAACAAAUGGUCUGUGAUGUGUAAACUCUAAAAUUCUAGCAACCCUAUUGCUUUGAAGUUAUUGGUCUAUAGUUUCAUUCUUAGUCUAUUGUUUAUUGAAUCAUCAUUCGAACAUCGAUCGUGCUACCUAGUCCAGAUUCCUGGGUGCACCUUUCUAUCAUUGUUCAGUUGUGUAUGUUUCCCUCGAGCCUACAUCAUUAUAUCAUUUGAUCUGACUAAUGUUAUCUCCUUGUUCACAUAAUUGUGGAGAUCCAUCUUUUGGAAAUCUCGAUGAAUGGUCGCUGAGUCCAUCAGCCACCUCCUCAUCCUCUCCUUGGUUUAAUGAUGAACUCUUGUUUUGGAACUCGCUUCCAUAGCUCUUUUCCCGAGAAUCUUACAUUGUCAUCUCAUCAAUUUGUGUCGCACCUUCUCUUCUCAGACAUCCUAAGUCUGAGGUACCCUGACACCAAUCAGAUCUGAAUCUCGGUCAGAUAUGAUGGUUGGAACAUAUUUUCAAGAGUUAUAACAUUGAUCCUCAUAUGACCUGGUAAGGUGAUGUCAUGCCCAGCACACCUGGCCGGAGGACCUACUGUUAUAGUUUCCUUAUUAGCAAGGUUAUCCUUUCUUCCAUGAGGAAAUUGUAAGACUUAUUCUACAAGUUGUUCCUGAUGGAUCCUUCCUGUAUCCAAAGUCUGACCUUUGCUUGAAGACCAUGUCAAUGCUAUCUCGAAGCAUGUCUGUGGUAAUUCGAUUUUCAAUAAGAGCAAUUGUAGCACAAUGCUAGAUUUUAUUUAUCAAUUAUCCUAACACCGUUGUAUGGGUAAUGUCAUGAAAUUCCUCUCCCCUUACCUAAAUGGUUUUCUACCUUCUAUCCUGCCGUGGAUGUCAUGCUCUGCUUAUCCUUGGGAAGGAUAUACCCCUGAAUUAUGUGUUUAAACACAUUUUUCCUUUCUGUUGUUCCGUUUUUCUGAUAAGUACAUUUUCCUUUCCAUUGUUUUGUUUAACCUUCUCGAGGUUUAUAUGAUCUAAGCAGUAAUAAGUCACUCCUUUUGUAAGCACCUUGGCGUACAACUCUGUCAGUAAGAACCUGUUACUAUUGGUGAUGACAUUCCGGUAACCACCGAUGGACGAGAACUUUACCUAUUGGUCCGCCUCGUUCAACGAGCGGGAAGAUGGUUCUCUUCGUCCCUCGCCCUUGGUACCGACGUUGUUGCCGACAUAACUGACAGGCUAUCCUCUGACAUGCCUUCUAUCAUGAUCGUGCAAAAUGACAGCGCCCUCCCUUCUUUUAACCCACAUGGUUGGCCCAUAACCCACAGUUCCACAGGAUCAAAACCUGACUCUCCUGUACAUCCCUGUUUCGAAGUUAUCCCUUGUGCUUCGUUUCGUAUGUAAUUCUCGAGCCACCAUCCUAGUGAUCAAUUCUGGUAUCGAACACAAUACUUAUUCCAGUUGCUCCGAACCCCUUUCACAAUCUGUUUCAGGCAACGAAUGAUUGCCUAUCCGAUUGAAACUCUUAUUCCACCUUCUUACCUUGCUCUCGAUAUUUUCUUAAGUUUCAAUUCGAGACUUACUUUCCGCCACCUUCCCCGAUGUUAUCGACUAGAUAGUCAACCUGGCAGAGAUCCGUUCUUCCGGAAUACCCCCCUUAUUCUGUCGUAAGUGCGAUGGAGUUCCCGAAGAAAGGACGACAACUUCAUCAUGAUGCAUUGAUGCAUAGGAAUGAAGAAAUCAACGCUAUGGAUCGACCUCUUCGAGAAAAGCAACAAAGACCGAGAAGACUCGAUAGAAUUUCGUAACCACACCUUUCCCCUUACUCUACCUCUUAAAUCUCGGGACGAGAUUUCUUGUAGUGGAGCAGAAUUGUGACGCCCGGCUAAUUAAGCUACAGUGAACCUAUGAUAAUGAUGCCACGUCACCUCCGUAACCGUUGCUAAUCUCUCGUUAGUUCAAAACUGGUUCACAAAUCAAAUUCAAAAUAUGGCAAACCACAAAACUUUUCAAACAUGAAAACAAAAAUGUUCGGUUAGUGACAAAUAUUACAUAGGUAAUUAUUGCGAAGAAAAUACUUUUUAGUAAAUGUCUAAAUAUUUUAAGGUGAAUUAAAACGGAAAGGAAAAUAAAUAAAAGAAAACGAACAAAGGACCAGCCCCCCUGCUGGGCCGUAAGGCCCAGCUGGCCAGCAAGCCGGCCGACCCCGCCCCUGGCCUAUAUGGCCUACCUCUCCAUCCCCCGAACCCUAGANNNNNNNNNNNNNNNNNNNNNNNNNNNNNNNNNNNNNNNNNNNNNNNNNNNNNNNNNNNNNNNNNNNNNNNNNNNNNNNNNNNNNNNNNNNNNNNNNNNNNNNNNNNNNNNNNNNNNNNNNNNNNNNNNNNNNNNNNNNNNNNNNNNNNNNNNNNNNNNNNNNNNNNNNCCCCCUCGCUCCACACGCGCUGCCACACACGUGCGCUAGCGCAGGGCAGCGUCCCGCCUCACCCUGUGCGCCUCCUACCUCCCGCCGGCGUCGCCUCACCUCCCAGCCAACGCGGUCGCCGGAUCAUCGUCGCCCCGUCCUCAUCCCCCUCCCCGAUCCAGAACAGGUUCGGGGCACGACCUCAACGCUGCAUCGAACCGCGACGCCCGCCGCUCGACCCUGUCGCCCCCGGACCGCUCCCUCGCCGGACCUCCUCCUCUAUGUCGCCGUCGUCCCCGUCCUCCUCCCCAAAGGCUCCAUCGAGCCUCGCCGACCCUCGUCCCUGCAACGCCGGUGAGGCAACGGCCUCCCUCUCCUCUUCUCCCCCUCUCUGUUGCACGUCGCCGUGCCGCUUCCGAGCUCACACUCCGCCGCGGCCUCUACCUUCGACCGUAGCCGGCCGCGUACGCGCCGCUGCCCGCCUUUCCUUCUGCCUCCACCACUGAUCGCGCCAGCGGCCCUCCUCCUCGCGCUCACUGAGCCGCCCCUAGCCUCGCCCGCGCGCGUCGGCCGCCCCCUAGACUCCAAGCCUUGCGUGCUGGCCGUGCGCCCCGUACCACUGGCUGCUGCCCGCCGCACCCGCUCUGCACCGCGCCUCGAGCACCCCCUGCUGCAGCCCUGCCGCGCGCCCAUGCGCGCCCGCCCCCAUGGGGCCGUGCGCACCGCCGCUCGCUCACCGGCCGGCCCGUGCUGGCCUCGCCCACACUGGCCUGGCGACCUGCCAGGUCCGCCGCCCUCCCCCGCGCCCCUGGGCAUGCGCCCGCUCAGGCUGCGCCCAGCGCCCUGCUACCUCUUGAGCACUGCGUUGGUUUUCCCUUGAAGAGGAAAGGGUGAUGCAGCAAAGUAGCGUAAGUAUUUCCCUCUGUUUUUGAGAACCAAGGUAUCAAUCCAGUAGGAGGCCACGCACGAGUCCCUCACACCUACACAAACAAAUAAAUCCUCGCAACCAACGCGAUAAGGGGUUGUCAAUCCCUACACGGUCACUUACGAGAGUGAGAUCUGAUAGAUAUGAUAAGAUAAUAUUUUUGGUAUUUUUAUGAUAAAGAUGCAAAGUAAAGAAAGUAAAAUAAAAACGGCAAAAGCAAUAGCUAAGUGUUGGAAGAUUAAUAUGAUGGAAAAUAGACCCGGGGGCCAUAGGUUUCACUAGUGGCUUCUCUCGAGAGCAUAAGUAUUUACGGUGGGUGAACAAAUUACUGUUGAACAAUUGACAGAAUUGAGCAUAGCUAUGAGAAUAUCUAGGUAUGAUCAUGUAUAUAGGCAUCACGUCCGAGACAAGUAGACCGACUCCUGCCUGCAUCUACUACUAUUACUCCACACAUCGACCGCUAUCCAGCAUGCAUCUAGAGUACUAAGUUCAUAAGAACAGAGUAACGCCUUAAGCAGGAUGACAUGAUGUAGAGCGAUAAAAUCAUGCAAUAUGAUAAAAACAGCAUCGUGUUAGCCUCGAUGGCAACAAUACUAUACGUGCCUUGCUGCCCCUACUGUCACUGGGAAAGGACACCGCAAGAUUGAACCCAAAGCUAAGCACUUCUCCCAUUGCAAGAAAGAUCAAUCUAGUAGGCCAAACCAAACUGAUAAUUCGAAGAGACUUGCAAAGAUAACCAAUCAUACAUAAAAGAAUUCAGAAGAUUCAAAUAUUGUUCAUAGAUAAAGUUGAUCAUAAACCCACAAUUCAUCGGUCUCAACAAACACACCGCAAAAGAAGAUUACAUCAAAUAGAUCUCCACAAGAGAGGGGGAGAACAUUGUAUUGAGAUCCAAAAAGAGAGAGGAAGCCAUCUAGCUAAUAACUAUGGACCCGAAGAUCUGAGGUAAACUACUCACACAUCAUCGGAGAGGCUAUGGUGUUGAUGUAGAAGCCCUCCGUGAUUGAUGCCCCCUCCGGCGGAGCUCCGGAACAGGCCCCAAGAUGGGAUCUCACGGGUACAGAAGGUUGAGGCGGUGGAAUUAGGUUUUUGGCUCCGUAUCUGGUAGUUUGGGGGUACGUAGGUAUAUAUAGGAGGAAGGAGUACGUCGGUGGAGCAACGUGGGGCCCACAAGGGUGGAGGGCGCGCCCAGGGGGGAUAGGCGUGCCCCCUACCUCGUGGCUUCCUGGUAGCUUUCUUGACGUAGGGUCCAAGUCCUCUGGAUCACGUUCGUUCCGAAAAUCACGUUCCCGAAGGUUUCAUUCUGUUUGGACUCCGUUUGAUAUUCUUUUUCUGCGAAACUCUGAAAUAGGCAAAGAAAACAACAAUUCUGGGCUGGGCCUCCGGUUAAUAGGUUAGUCCCAAAAAUAAUAUAAAAGUGUAUAAAGCCCAAUAAUGUCCAAAACAGAAGAUAAUAUAGCAUGGAGCAAUCAAAAAUUAUAGAUACGUUGGAGACGUAUCAAGCAUCCCCAAGCUUAAUUCCUGCUCGUCCUCGAGUAGGUAAAUGAUAAAAACAGAAUUUUUGAUGUGCAAUGCUACUGGCAUAAUUUCAAUGUAAUUCUUCUUAAUUGUGGUAUGAAUAUUCAGAUCCGAAAGAUUCAAGAUAAAAGUUCAAUAUUGACAUAAAAAUAAUAAUACUUCAAGCAUACUAACUAAGCAAUUAUGUCCUCUCAAAAUAACAUGGCCAAAGAAAGUUCAUCCCUACAAAAUCAUAUAGUUUAGUCAUGCUCCAUUUUCGUCACACAAGAAUGCUCUCAUCAUGCACAACCCCGAUGACAAGCCAAGCAAUUGUUUCAUACUUUAGUAAUCUCAAACUUUUUCAACCUUGACGCAAUACAUGAGCGUGAGCCAUGGAUAUAGCACUAUGGGUGGAAUAGAAUAUGAUGUUAUGUGGAGAAGACAAAAAAGGAGAAAGUCUCACAUCAACGAGGCUAAUCAAUGAGCUAUGGAGAUGCCCACCGAUUGAUGUUAAUGCAAGGAGUAGGGAUUGCCAUGCAACGGAUGCACUAGAGCUAUAAAUAUAUGAAAGCUAAACAAAAGAAACUAAGUGGGUGUGCAUCCAACUUGCUUGCUCACGAAGACCUAGGGCACUUGAGGAGGCCCAUUGUUGGAAUAUACAAUCCAAGUUCUAUAAUGAAAAAUUCCCACUAGUAUAUGAAAGUGACAAAACAAGAGACUCUCUAUCAUGAAGAUUAUGGUGCUACUUGGAAGCACAAGUGUGGUAAAAGGAUAGUAACAUUGUCCCUUCGCUCUUUUUCUCUCAUUUUUUUGGGCCUUCUUUUUUUUUAUGGCCUUUCUCUUUUUUUUAUUCCUCACUUGGGACAAUGCUCUAGAAAAUGAUGAUCAUCACACUUCUAUUUAUUUACAACUCGAUACUAGAACAAAGUAUGACUCUAUAUGAAUGCCUCCGGCGGUGUACCGGGAUAUGCAAUGAACCAAGAGUGACAUGUAUGAAAGAAUUAUGAACAGUGGCUUUGCCACAAAUACUAUGUCAACUACAUGAUCAUGCAAAGCAAUAUGACAAUGAUGAACGUGUCAUGAUAAACGGAAUGGUGGAAAGUUGCAUGGCAAUAUAUCUCGGAAUGGCUAUGGAAAUGCCAUAAUAGGUAGGUAUGGUGGCUGUUUUGAGGAAGAUAUAAGGAUGUUUAUGUGUGAAAGAGCGUAUCAUAUCAUGGGGUUUGGAUGCACCGGCGAAGUUUGCACCAACUCUCAAUGUGGGAAAGGGCAAUGCACGGUACCGAAGAGGAUAGCAAUGGUGGAAAGGUGAGAGUGCGUAUAAUCCAUGGACUCAACAUUAGUGAUACAGAACUCACAUACUUAUUGCAAAAAUCUAUAAGUCAUCAAAAACCAAGCACUACGCGCAUGCUCCUAGGGGGAUAGAUUGGUAGGAAAAGACCAUCGCUCGUCCCCGACCGCCACUCAUAAGGAGGACAAUCAAAGAACACCUCAUGUUUCAAAUUUGUUACAUAACGUUUACCAUACGUGCAUGCUACGGGACUUGCAAACUUCAACUCAAGUAUUUCUCAAAUUCACAACUACUCAACUAGCACAACUUUAAUAUCGCUACCUCCAUGUCUCAAAACAAUCAUCAAGCACCAAACUUCUCUUAGUAUUCAACACACUCAUAAGAAAGUUUUUACUAAUCUUGAAUACCUAGCAUAUUAGGAUUAUUUAAGCAAAUUACCAUGCUAUUUAAGACUCUCAAAAUAAUCUAAGUGAAGCAUGAGAGAUCAAUAGUUUCUAUAAAACAAAUCCACCACCGUGCUCUAAAAGAUAUAAGUGAAGUACUAGAGCAAAAACUAUAUAACUCAAAACAUAUAAGUGAAGCACAUAGAGUAUUCUAAUAAUUUCCGAAUCAUGUGUGUCUCUCUCAAAAGGUGUGUACAUCAAAGAUGAAUGUGGUAAACUAAAAAAAUAAAGACUCAAAUAAUACAAGAGGCUCCAAGAAAAACACAUAUCAUGUGGUGAAUAAAAAUAUAGCUCCAAGUAAAGUUACCGAUGGAAGUAGACGAAAGAGGGGAUGCCUUCCGGGGCAUCCCCAAGCUUUGGCUUUUAGGUGUCCUUAGAUUAUCUUGGGGGUGCCAUGGGCAUCCCCAAGCUUAGGCUCUUGCCACUCCUUGUUCCAUAAUCCAUCAAAUCUUUCACCCAAAACUUGAAAACUUCACAACACAAAACUCAGCAGAAAACCUCGUGAGCUCCGUUAGCGAAAGAAAACAAAAGACCACUUCAAGGUACUGUAAUGAACUCAUUCUUUAUUUAUAUUGGUGUUAAACCUACUGUAUUCCAACUUCUCUAUGGUUUAUAAACUAUUUUACUAGCCAUAGAUUCAUCAAAAUAAGCAAACAACACACGAAAAACAGAAUAUGUCAAAAACAGAACAGUCUGUAGUAAUCUGUAACUAACGCAAACUUCUGGAACUCCAAAAAAUCAGAAAAAAUAGGAAGACCUAUACAAUUUGUUUAUUGAUAAGCAGCAAUUGGAAUCAAUAUUUUAUCACGUUCUGGUGAUUUUUAACAAUUAUUUUCGUGAACAGAAAAUUUCUGGAAUUUUUUGCAAGAUCAAAUAACUAUCAUCCAAGAAGAUCCUAUAGGUUUAACUUGGCACAAACACUAAUUAAACAUAAAAACACAUCUAACUAGAGGCUAGAACAAAUAUUUAUUCCUAAACAGAAGCAAAAAGCAAAAAACUAAAAAUAAAAUUGGGUUGCCUCCCAACAAGCGCUAUCGUUUAACACCCCUAGCUAGGCAUUGGUAAUUCUAACGACGCUCACAUCAAAGACAAGAAUUGAAGCGCAAAGAGAGCAUCAUGAAACACGUGACAAACACAUCUAAGUCUAACAUACUUCCUAUGCACAGGCAUCUUAUAGGCAAACAAAUGAUCAUAGCAAGCAAAAACUAGCAUAUGCAAGGAAGAAGAAAGAGACGAUAGCAAUCUCAACAUGACGAGAGGUAAUUUAGUAACACGAAAAUUUCUACAACCAUAUUUUCCUCUCUCAUAAUAAUUACAUGUAGGAUCAUAAGCAAAUUCAAUAAUAUAGCUAUCAUAUAAAAUAUUUUCAACACGAUCCUCAUGCAUGCAAAGUUGACACUCUUCCGAAAUAGUGGGAUUAACAUUAACUAAAGUCAUGACCUCUCCAAACCCACUUUUAUCAAAAAUUUCAUAAGAUUGAAUAUUCUCCAAAUAUGUGGGAUCUAAAGUUGACACUCUUCCAAACCCACUUUCAAUAAUAUUGCAAACACUAUUAUCAAUUUCAUAUUCAUCAUGGGGCUUAAAUAAAUUUUCAAGAUCAAAAGAAGAAACACCCCAAUCAUGAUCAUUGCAACAAGUAGUAGACAUAGCAAAACUAGCAUCCCCAAGCUUAGGGUUUUGCAUAUUAUUAGCACAAUUGACAUUAUGAAAAUUUAUAGUAAAAUUUUUGCAAUCAUGCUUUUCAUCGAAGGAACUACCAAGUAUGGGUGCAUUAGCAACGACCUCAUGUUUAACGUAAGGAACUAUAGCAAAUUCAUCUUCAUAAAUAUUGGCAUCAUGGCCACAAGGAUAGCAAGCAUCAUGUUCAUCAAGGGAUAUUUCAAUCAAAUCAUCGGAAUCAUAAUUAUCUAUAGAUUCGUGCAUAUCAUUAUUUUCUUUAGAAGAAACGGUCAUUCUUUCAAUAAAUUCUUUGACAUAGACAUUAUGAGCAUAGUUUUCAUAGCAAUAUUCAAGUAUGUCAAGAUUUUCAUAUUCGUAAAGAGUAGUAUCAUACUUUUCAAGCAAAGAAGCAACUUCAAAAGAACCCUUAAAAGCAACAAAUUCUUCAAUUUGUUCAAUAUCAUAGUAGCUAUAAACACCCUUUGCAUAAGAAGAUAAGAUUUCAUUUUCAUUAAACUCACAUAGGUAGGGGAGGUGUUUUUUAGGGUUCUUAGAGCAACAAGUAAUAUCACAAAUUUCACAAAGAUUCCAAGCAUAACACAGCAAUUUGUUUAUUUGUUUCCAUAAGAUUCUCCCUUUUUCAGACAAACGGUGACGCACAAAAUGAGCAUGCUCAGCUAAAGAUUUGCCAUCAACUAGGCUAGUUGGGGUUUCAGCACAAGCGCAUAAGGAUCGAAGAUGAUCCAAGUAGAACACUUUAAGUGGAUCCAUAUCAAUAGAUUUUUAGCAAGCAAAGAUGCAAGAAAAUAGAAGGCACAUGGCAACACAAGCAAGCGAAAAAGACGCGAACGGAAAAGAGAGGGCGAAUAAAAUGGCAAGGGUGAAGUGGGGGAGAGGAAAACGAGAGGCAAAUGGCAAAUAAUGUAAUGCGGGAGAUAAGGGUUUGUGAUGGGUACUUGGUAUGUUGACUUUUGCGUAGACCUCCCCGGCAACGGCGCCAGAAAUCCUUCUUACUACCUCUUGAGCACUGCGUUAGUUUUCCCUUGAAGAGGAAAGGGUGAUGCAGCAAAGUAGCGUAAGUAUUUCCCUCAGUUUUUGAGAACCAAGGUAUCAAUCCAGUAGGAGGCCACGCACGAGUCCCUCACACCUACACAAACAAAUAAAUCCUCGCAACCAACGGGAUAAGGGGUUGUCAAUCCCUACACGGUCACUUACGAGAGUGAGAUCUGAUAGAGAUGAUAAGAUAAUAUUUUUGGUAUUUUUAUGAUAAAGAUGCAAAGUAAAGAAAGUAAAAUAAAACGGCAAAAGAAAUAGCCAAGUGUUGGAAGAUUAAUAUGAUGGAAAAUAGACCCGGAGGCCAUAGGUUUCACUAGUGGCUUCUCUCGAGAGCAUAAGUAUUUACGGUGGGUGAACAAAUUACUGUUGAACAAUUGACAGAAUUGAGCAUAGCUAUGAGAAUAUCUAGGUAUGAUCAUGCAUAUAGGCAUCACGUCCGAGACAAGUAGACCGACUCCUGCCUGCAUCUACUACUAUUACUCCACACAUCGACCGCUAUCCAGCAUGCAUCUAGAGUACUAAGUUCAUAAGAACAGAGUAACGCCUUAAGCAAGAUGACAUGAUGUAGAGGGAUAAAAUCAUGCAAUAUGAUAAAAACACCAUCUUGUUAUCCUCGAUGGCAACAAUACUAUACGUGCCUUGCUGCCCCUACUGUCACUGGGAAAGGACACCGCAAGAUUGAACCCAAAGCUAAGCACUUCUCCCAUUGCAAGAAAGAUCAAUCUAGUAGGCUAAACCAAACUGAUAAUUCGAAGAGACUUGCAAAGAUAACCAAUCAUACAUAAAAGAAUUCAGAAGAUUCAAAUAUUGUUCAUAGAUAAAGUUGAUCAUAAACCCACAAUUCAUCGGUCUCAACAAACACACCGCAAAAGAAGAUUACAUCAAAUAGAUCUCCACAAGAGAGGGGGAGAACAUUGUAUUGAGAUCCAAAAAGAGAGAGGAAGCCAUCUAGCUAAUAACUAUGGACCCGAAGAUCUGAGGUAAACUACUCACACAUCAUCGGAGAGGCUAUGGUGUUGAUGUAGAAGCCCUCCGUGAUUGAUGCCCCCUCCGGCAGAGCUCCGGAACAGGCCCCAAGAUGGGAUCUCACGGGUACAGAAGGUUGAGGCGGUGGAAUUAGGUUUUUGGCUCCGUAUCUGGUAGUUUGGGGGUACGUAGGUAUAUAUAGGAGGAAGGAGUACGUCGGUGGAGCAACGUGGGGCCCACGAGGGUGGAGGGCGCACCCAGGGGGGAUAGGCGCGCCCCCUACCUCGUGGCUUCCUGGUAGCUUUCUUGACAUAGGGUCCAAGUCCUCUGGAUCACGUUCCCGAAGGUUUCAUUCCGUUUGGACUCCGUUUGAUAUUCUUUUUCUGCGAAACUCUGAAAUAGGCAAAAAAAAAGCAAUUCUGGGCUGGGCCUCCGGUUAAUAGGUUAGUCCCAAAAAUAAUAUAAAAGUGUAUAAUAAAGCCCAAUAAUGUCCAAAACAGAAGAUAAUAUAGCAUGGAGCAAUCAAAAAUUAUAGAUAUGUUGGAGACGUAUCACGCCCGCACCCGCGUCGCCUGUUCGGGCAGCCCCCGUGGCACCCAAACCCACUAUGGCCCUUAGGGCCUAUGACAUAUGGGCCCCGCCCACAGAACAAAAAACAAAGGAUUUAAAAAAAAUUAAUUAAGUAAAUAAGUAAAUUAAUUAACUUAAUUAAUCCUGUUUAUUUAACCUAAUUAACUAUUGUUAAUUAAUUAAACAGUAAUUAGAUUAGUUAAAUCCUAAUUAGAAUAAACAGAGUAUGACAUGCGGGACCCACACGUCAGAUUGACCCAGUCAACGCACUGUUGACUGCUGUCAUCAUGAUGACGUCAGCAUACACUAUGGAUAAUGUUGAAUUAAAAUAAUUAAAUAAAUUCUGAAAAUGAUUAAAACUUUAGAAAAACAUAGAAAAUAAACCGUAGCUCAGAUAAAAAUGUUUUCUACAUGAAAGUUGCUCAAAACGACGAGGCGAAUCCGGAUACGCAGCCCGUUCGUCUGCCACACAUCCAUAGCAUAGCGAACACGCAACUUUCCCCCUCCGGUUCAUCUGUCCGAAAACGCAAAACACCGGGGAUACUUUCCCGGAUGUUCCCCCCUUCGCCGAUAUCAGUUCCUACCGCGUUAGGGCACACCUAGCACCGCUCAUUGUCAUGACAUGCAUCGUCAUGCAUGUGUUUGCAUUAUAUUUAUUGUUUCUUCCCCCUCUUCUAUCGCUAGACACCGAGACUGAUGCCGCUGCUGGUACCCCGAUCGACUACGUUGUUGACGACCCCUCCUUGCCAGAGCAACCAGGCAAGCCCCCCUUGAUCACCAGAUAUCGCAUAUUCCUUCUCUCUACUGCUUGCAUUAGAGUAGUGUAGCAUGUUACUGCUUUCGGUUAAUCCUAUUCUGCUGCAUAGCCUACCAUUGUUGCUACAGUUGUUACCCUUACCUGCAAUCCUAAAUGCUUAGUAUAGGAUGCUAGUAUCCAUCAGUGGCCCUACAUUCUUGUCCGUCUGCCAUGCUAUACUAUCGGGUCGUGAUCACUCGGGAGGUGAUCACGGGUAUAUACAUAUAUACAUACAUACUAUACAGGUGAUGACUAAAGUCGGGUCGGCUCGUUGAGUAUCCGCACGUGAUUUCGAUGUGGGGGCUGAAAGGACAGGUGGCUCCAUCAAGGUAGUGGUGGGCCUGAGUUCCCGACGGCCCCCGACUGUUACUUUGUGGCGGAGCGACAGGGCAGGUUGAGACCACCUAGGUGAGAGGUGGGCCUGGCCCUGGUCGGCGUCCGUGGUUACUUCAUAAUAACACGCUUAACGAGAUCUUGGUAUUUGAUCUGAGUUGGGUUGUUGACCUUAUACGCACUAACCGCCACGUGGGACAAGAUAUGGGCAACCGGCGUCGUGGUAUCAGCCGAAGCUCUUUUUGACGUCAGCGACUGAGCGGCGCGCGCCGCAUUGGACCUGUAGCGACCAGACCUCAAAUGGCCUGUGCUGCUGUGCACCAGUGUCAUCCCUGGAUCAGUAAUGCUGACACGCACAGUACAAAUGGAGGAUUUAUAACAGAGUAGCAAUCACACACUUAUUACAUCGAAUAUCUCCAAAGAGAUUAAGUAUGAUAAACAUGGCUUAAGGCCAUCUAAUAACGAUAACAGCGGAAGACUUGGAAGAUAAGUGAGUCCAUCAACUCCAGCGGCAUCACUGAGUAUAAGACCACGACCUAAGGCACCUUACUCGUCGUCUGAAAAGUCUGCAACAUGAAACGUUGCAGCCCGAAAACGGGUCAGCACAUAGAAUAUGCUGGCAAAGCAACACAUAGAGAGCAAUGAACAAUGAUAAGGCUAUACUAUAUGCAUAUAUGGCUGUGGAAAGGCUCUAUGGUUACAGUUUUGCGAAAAGCCAAUUUUAUCCUACUACAAAGGAAUAAAUUUUAUUUAACUAUCAUGGUGGUUGAAACAUUGAGAAGGUACCUCCAACUCAAUCCCAAUUAAGUAACAUCAUUAACCCAACAAAAUUAAUUAUAAGUAUCACGGUGAUGAGAUUCAAAUGAUAAUCCAGGUACUAGAUACUCAAGUUGUCCAUAACCGGGGACACGGCUAAUCAUGAUCAGUUUGUACACUCUGCAGAGGUUUGUGCACUUUUCCCCACAAGACUCGAUCGCCUCCGCUUGAUUCUCGCACUACAUGAUGUUUGAGAAACGGAUGACCGAGACACAGUCUUUCAGAAACAGUCACUCUCUACUCUGGAUGGACCGGUACACCUACUUCCCCUACAUCUGCUAGUCCACCUCUUCAAGAGAUCCUGUAACCUACUCAGCUAUGCUAGAGCCCAUAAUAGCUUGCGGCUGCACACGGAAGUUUCUAGCAUGAAUAAUCUUAUGAUCCCUUUGAGCCUGGGUGGCGGACCUUAUACAUACAGACAACACUGGGUUCUCCAGGUGCCUCAAUCCACCCAGAUGUGAGUUUUAGUUGCCACCUUAAGUUGAACCAUUAUUAAACACUCACAUCUGUCAUGAAUAUCUCUCAAACCCAAUCCACGUCUACGAGCAUAGCAUGGCAAUAAUAAAAGCAACGUAGAAGUAACUCCCAAGGGUUUGAUAAAGAACAGGUAAUAGGUACUACCUCAACUACUUCCCAAUACCCAUAGUUUAAUUAGAUCCUAAUCAUGCAAUGUGUUUGAGGAAAUAGAUCUAAUGCAAAUAAAACUGGGUAUGAACGGGGUAUGAUCAAAGUGUUACUUGCCUUGCUGAUGAUCCGCAAAACCUAGCGAGUCGAAGUAACAAGCGGCACACACCGGGUACUCUAUCGCAACAAACAAGCACACAAUCAGUACUCAUCUAAUGCACAGGUAAAACUCGAAAGAAAGAUCCAACCAGAAAGUUCAACUUAAGAACUCCGGUUUGCAAAAAGAAUCAACUCGAAAGAAGCAACGAAAGUCAAACGGCGAAAGAAAGAAACUUCGUUUGCUAAUCUGGAUCUAGGUCAAAUUUUACUGUAGCAAAAACUUGUUUGAGUAGGUUAAACGGAAAGAGAAUUUCGAUACGAAACUCUAGGCGCUUGAAUCACCUGAUUCCGAUAAACGAGCGAGAAGUUAAACAGAUUCGAAGUUUCGAUCAGAAAUCGAAUCUGAGAAAAUAACGAGAAAAUCCGACGAAAAAGAAAAACGGACGAACGGUUAAAUAACGGACGUUCGUUAACAGAGAAAAAUCGACGAACGCGUUCGUUGAAACGAACGGUUCGGUGAACGCUCGUGAAAUAAGAAAACCGAAAAAAAAACCGAUCUAGGGUUUUUUUUAAUAUGUUCCACGGAAAAUAUUGCGUAGAAAAAUAAAUAAAAAUCAGAAAAAUACGUAAUAAAUUUUCCCCGUCUAGUUAGAAAAUCUAGAAUAGGGUGAACAUUUUUAAAAUCAAAAAUAAAUAUUUUGAAAACAUGCAUAUUUUUAAAUGCAAUAAAAAUUGCAAAUAAAAUCCAAUAAAUUCCAAAUAAUGAUUUUAACAUUUUUCCUCCAGUAUUUCAAUAUGUUUGGAGAAGUCAUAUUUUCUCCUCUCGUUUAUUUUUAAAAGAAAUAUUUUACCGGAGAGAAAAAAUAAUUAAAAUCCCAAUCCUCGUUUGAAAGUCAAAUAAGAAAAUUUGAGAAAAUCCCCAACUCUCUCCGAGGGUCCUUGAGUUGCUUAGGAUUUAUCGAGGAUUUGUAAAAAUGCAAUAAAACAUGAUAUGCAAAUGAUGUCCUAUGUAUAACAUUCCAAAUUGAAAAUUUGGGAUGUUACAGGACCGUAAGCCCACGCUUGUAUUAACGGGGCUAGGUCUGCUUCCGGCCGCGUUCGCAACGUGCAGGUGUGCAAUGGGCGAUGGGCCCAAACCCCUGCGCGCAUAGGAUUUAGACCGGCGUGCUGACCUCUCUAUUGAGCCUAGGUAGGGCUGCGACAUGUUGAUCUCCCGAGGCCGGACAUGACCCAGGAAAGUGUGCCCGGCCAAAGGGAUCGAGCGUGUCGGGUAAUGUGGUGCACCCCUGCAGGGAAGUUGAUCUAUUCGAAUAGCCGUGUCCACGGUAACAGGCGACCCGGAGUUGUACCUUGACCUUAUGACAACUAGAACCGGAUACUAAAUAAAACACACCCUUCCAAGUGCCAUAUAUAACCCGGUGAUCGCUCUCUAGCAGGGCGACGAGGAGAGGAUCACCGGGUAGGAUUAUGCUAUGCGAUGCUACUUGGUGAACUUACCAUCUACUCUCUUCUACAUGCUGCAAGAUGGAGCCUGCCAGAAGCGUAGUCUUCGACAGGACUAGCUAUCCCCCUCUUAUUCUGGCUUUCUGCAGUUCAGUCCACCGAUAUUGCCCCUUUACACAGAUACCCAUGCAUAAGUAGUGUAGAUCCUUGCUUGCGAGUACUUUGGAUGAGUACUCACGGUUGCUUUUCUCCCUCUUUCCCCCUUUCCUUUUUACCUGGUUGUCACAACCAGAGGUUGGAGCCCAGGAGCCAGACGCCACCGUCGACGACGACCCCCUACUACACCGAGGGUGCCUACUACUACGUUCAGGCCGACGACGACUAGGAGUAGUUAGGAGGAUCCCAGGCAGGAGGCCUGCGCCUCUUUCGAUCUGUAUCCCAGUUUGUGCUAGCCAUCUUAUGGCAACUUGUUUAACUUAUGUAUGUACUCAGAUAUUGCUGCUUCCGCUGACUCGUCUAUGAUCGAGCACUUGUAUUCGAGCCCUCGAGGCCCCUGGCUUGUAUUAUGAUGCUUGUAUGACUUUUUAUGUUUUUAGAGUUGUGUUGCGAUAUCUUCCCGUGAGUCCCUGAUCUUGAUCGUACACGUUUGCGUGCAUGAUUAGUGUACGAUUGAAUCGGGGGCGUCACAGGUCCGGACUCAGCAAAUUCUUCUUCUUUGGAUUCCUCUUCGGCAGCUGAGGUGGUUGAGAUGAUUGAGUUGGUGGAGGUCCAUAAUCUUCAUCGUACUCAACCUCCUCCGCCUCCCCUUCUUCAUGUGUGGCCUCCUCCUCCUCCUCCUCAACCAACCUAGACGACGAGGGAACAUGGCUCGAUGAGCCAAUGUGACCCUGUGUGGCUACAGGCUGAUAAGCUUCAACCGACCCAGCUCCAGCACACCCAAGCAGCCCUACUAGCUUGCGACAACGCUUCACAAACUUCUGCACUCACAAUGAAACAAGGGCAUAAUAAGUAUCAGGUUUAUGAUUGCAAGUGAACAAGACACAUCUGUUCCGAGGAGGCUGAAAUUGUACCUUCAUUGUCCCCUCAUUUUGUUCUCAGAUUGUACGCCCCCGGGGGCAUCACCUAGUGCAUCUGAGGCUUCAAAGAUGCAUCUGUUCAGCUCACACGACUGCAACGGCAUAAGUCAGUCAUGAUGACGAAUAAAAUAAUUUAAAUACAACCGUCGAUUCAAACUUACCACUCUGUUGAUGAGGGGUGCAAACUCCCUAAAUCCACUAUGCAUGUCUCUGAUGCCGGUCUGGUAGGCCUCUUCCUCGGGGUCAUCCCUCUCCAGCUCCGCGAUGUCUUCCGCCGUCCACCGAGGCCUGAGACGAAGACGGUGCUUCUGGCCAUCAUCGUACCACCUCAUGUGUCGGUCCAGGUAAGCAUCCCAGUCAGUCACUUUCCUCUCCACGUCUUUCCGGUACCUCCGUCGGUUCCACUCUGUCACAUGAGUUUUAUGCUCCUCUCCCCAGUCUGUGAUCGACUGAUUCUUCUGCCGGCUCAUCCUGCAAGGCAUAGGCCACAAGAAACAUCAUAAUAAAGUCGCCACGCAAUGAAAUCAUGGGCACGAAGAACAAAGUGCUCACAGGUGGAGCGCGUGGCCGCCGGUAUCGGUGGGCGGGCCCGGUGGGGUAUGCUGAUACAUCCCAAACUGCAUGGCCACGCGGUGUGGCAAGUGCCACUCGACGGCGUACACACAGAUCAUGGGCACGAUGCACCGCCAGACACCACGGUCCUCAUCGCACAUCACGUUCAGAUCGAAGUCCCACUCUCGGUCAUGAUACGGCCAUCAGUUUACCUAUUACAUAUACGUUGGUAAGUUCCCACUCUCGGUCAAAAGUGGAAUCAAAGAGAAAGGUGUUGAGCGAGUUUAUAUACAUGUGUAUGCGCCAAAGCGUCCAACUCGUUGAUGUAGGUCUUGUACGAAGUCUUGUUUAGGCCCGUGUAGAGUUUGACAACGUCCCACUCGUAAGCUACGGUGGGGUGUCGAGUCUCGUCGCCGUCUUCGCUAUAGGCACCCCAUGGGCGUCUUGGCAUCUUUUCGGACGCCCCACCGGCAGCCACUCCCACAUCCAAAUGGAGAAGGCCCAGACAAAGCCACCCAUAUUGGACUAGUCUCCCGUCCUCUGUGUUGCGUCGUCAAGCUGCAAAACAUCAAAUGAGGAUCAGAUAUAACAAAAUGUCAUGGACAUACUUUCGUAGGUAGGCAAUUAGAUACUCUCUUAUCGAGCGGUAUAGGUAGGUGAGAGAUGCGGUCCCCCAACUGUACCCUGCAUCCCAGUCCGCUAGGAAGAACAGAUACGACCAGUUGGCAGAGUUCCGGGAGCUGUCUGGAAACACGACCUCCGUGAGAAGAUACCACAGAUAGGCCCUUGCAUACUACUCCAUAGUCGUCUCAUCGGCGUCUUCGGGGCAUGUCUUCCGGUGCUCUGAGAGCCAGGGCAACGACACACCGGAUGUACGGUUACCCUUAGCACCGGGGCAGUCGCCGGUGAGGGUGGUAACCCUCUGCUGCCAGUUGGUCCUCUCCACUCGCCCGGUGAGUGCAUGACCCUCGAUCGGCAUGGCAGUAAUCAUCGACCAAUCCUCGAGGGUCACCGUCAUCUCCCCGCAUGGCAGAUGGAAAGAAUGGGUCUCCGGUCGCCACCGGUCAAUCAAAGCUGUCAGAGCUGCGUGGACAAGCGUCGGCGGCUGACGCUUGAACUGCAACACAAAACCCAACAGUCGGGCUCUCUUGAAGAACGGCGCGUAGCGCUCGUCGUAGUCCAUAUGCCCAUGAACCCCGUGACCCCUCAUGCGCAGUGGCUGGAGCAUCUGUCAAAAAGUGAACGCCAAAAGUUAGGAAAUUAUUUUCAUCAAUCCGAAAACUUUGAUCAAUAUUUCCUUCAUAUUACUUACCUCUCCGUUCUCUAUGAAACGGGCACGAUGACCCUUGUCGAAUGCGUAGUCAAGCAUGGAGUACCGUGGGCCGAUGUUGUCCGCAAGAGGUGCCCGCCUUAAUAAAAUUUCAUAAACAAAAGCAUCAUAAGCAUAAGCAUACAUAAACAAAAAAUGAAAUCAAAUCAUAUCAACAUGCAUCAUAUCAAAAUAAAAUCUUAAGCAUAUUCCUCCAACAACAUCUACUAAACAUGAUGGAUCAAAUCAUAUCAACAUGCAUCAUAUCAAAAAAAAAUCCUCCAACAUGCAUCAUAUCAUCAUAUUUUUAAACAAUUUUUUUUAAAAUAGAGUUCAUCUUGAAUGUAAUUUCUCCAAACAACAUCUUCAUAUCAUCAUAUCAACAUGCAUCAUAAAACUACAAUCAAGUCCUCCCACAUGCAUUACAUCAUAAUUUUUUUAACAAAAAAAUUUUAUGAACUAGGGUUCAUCUUCACACUAACAUAUGAACUAUUGAUUAGAGUUCAUAUUCAAUACCACUAGUUACUAAAGAACUAAGAACUAGAACUACAAUCAAGCUAAAACAAUCUUAGGUGAAAAAAAAUUCCAAUAUAAGUUCAAAAAUAUGAGGGGUUUCAAGCAAAUAAUGCAUCGAAACGGAAGCAAGUUUGCAAAAACUAAUUGGAGGGAUCGGAGAAGCUUACGUUUCUCUUUUCGGGGCCAUCUCGGUCCGCAAAAACGGUGAAGAUCCGAGGGGGAGAGUGGAGGAGAUGAGAGAGGGAGAGAGGGGCGACUUGGGGGAGAAAAGAUGAAACUGCCGACGGGGGAAGGGNNNNNNNNNNNNNNNNNNNNNNNNNNNNNNNNNNNNNNNNNNNNNNNNNNNNNNNNNNNNNNNNNNNNNNNNNNNNNNNNNNNNNNNNNNNNNNNNNNNNNNNNNNNNNNNNNNNNNNNNNNNNNNNNNNNNNNNNNNNNNNNNNNNNNNNNNNNNNNNNNNNNNNNNNNNNNNNNNNNNNNNNNNNNNNNNNNNNNNNNNNNNNNNNNNNNNNNNNNNNNNNNNNNNNNNNNNNNNNNNNNNNNNNNNNNNNNNNNNNNNNNNNNNNNNNNNNNNNNNNNNNNNNNNNNNNNNNNNNNNNNNNNNNNNNUAGGGUGCGACGGAGGGGGACGGCGGUCGUGUCCGCGUGCUGACGUGGAUUAGUACCCUACACCCUGGCGGUAGGCUGUCUAACCCUACCGCCAGAGACCCUGGCGGUAAAAAAAGGGUCAAAUCCCGAAUUUUCCCCCAACCGGGGUCAGAUCCUGAAUUUGUAUCGCAGAAGAAUCAAAACACGAAAUUUGGCCCACACACGCAUGGACCGUUGCACUUUCGUCGUUGUCUGGCCACAGGAGGAGUGCCCACUUCCACUUUGCUUACGUUUGGCAGGACAUUCUGAAAAGGACAUAUGUGCAACCAAAAGGAGGAGUAUGUAUGUACUAUCACUGAUAAAUAAUGUGUUAGGGCAACUCCAAUUGAAGUCACCAAUUAUCUGAUCAAAUUUAAACGAAUAUUUCACACACAAAAAUGGACGAAAUUCUUAUAAACGGGGCUAUAUUUAUUGAGUUUGGUAUAUAUUACAACAAACAGUACAAAAUUUCACAAAGUUUCACUUAAACCAAACAAUAUUUUUAGAAAAAAAUAGUCUAACCUACACAAGUUAACUGUCGGUAACCUAGUAAGCAUGGCCUUCGUAGCCGCUGGCACCUCCAGCGGUGAAAAGGCCAAUCAGGCGUCACGGCAGGCCUGAUCGGCCGCCGCUGUGCGCUCGUGGCGCAGCCGCUCGGCUUCCUCCUCCUGGCGCAGAGCCUUGGCCUCCUCCAGUCAGAUUUUGGCUUCGCUUUCGCUCUUCGCCGUCCGUCAAGAAAGGUGUCUACAUCUCGGUCGGUUCCUUGGGUUUUUGCUCGCUAACCAUUGGCUGACAUGCCCACAUUCCGAUGCGAAAUAGCCUUGGUAUUUCCAUUAGUUUUCAAGCUAGCUAGGUCAAGAACGCUACUCUACCUCGGAGUUCCUAUACUUAGUCAGUGCUACUAAAGCCUAUGGCUCUGGUGUAGCAUAUAAUCAAAUUGAUGAUUCGUGCAGUUGGUUAGUUAAGCAGAGAAGACGCUUUUUAUGCUGCCAAAUGUAGUCUCUCGGAAUUCUCCGCGUAGUAAAAUAACCCAGUAAUCUGUUACUCCUACGCACUAAUCCCCGGGUUAAUUUGGACACAGAAAAUACAACAAGUCAGCUGGUUGACAAGUUCUUGAUCAUAAUAAGGUCAGAACCAGUUAAGUAAGUAACUAAUCCAUGCAUCUCAUCGCCGGCGCAUAGUAACAAAAUGCCAUUUCGGCGGCCGGACAGCCUUUUCUCCACAUGACAUGCAUGGAGCAAAGCCAUACUCUAUUUUUACGAGGAACUCAUUGACUAUCGCUUUAACAAAACAUGGAAUAAAACUAGACUACUACGUGCGCCGUUCCAGAGAAAACAAAGGUGCUUUCUCCGGCCGGCCGCCGGCAGUUGGUCACGAAGAAUUCUCCACACGGGGAGCUUAACUGGAAUCACGAAGAAUUCUGCACUAUAUAUAUCGAGCGAGAGCGCGCCUCUGUCCCCCAUCAGUUUCAAGAGCAAGUCUCUCUUGCCAAGGCAAGCAGCCUGGUCGCUACUAGCUAGCCAGAGCCAUUACUGAUUUCUCCAACACGAGCUCCAUUUCUUCCUUGGGCUCUGCCCCGAGCAGAGCACUUGCAGAAGCAGGGCAGCGUCGUCCUAAGUUUCAUCAUGGUUUCUCCUUCUCCUACUCGUACCAGCCGUAACAAGAGGGGCGCGUGGCCGUUCCUCGCCGUGCUGCUGCUGCUGGUCCUGCUCCGCUGCUCGCCGUGCCAAGGCCGCAAGCUGCUGCUGGAGGAGCAGGGCGGCAAGGUGAUGCACUUCGAAGGCGGCCUGGUGCUCAGGGUGUCGCCGAGCCACGACGGCGAGGCGGCACCGGCGGCGCCGAGGGGGUUCUCGAGGGCCGCGCGGUCCAUGCGGUCCGUGCCCAGCCCCGGCAUCGGGCAUUAGGCUUGGUCGUUGCAUAAAAGUUUUGCAUCUUUGCAAGGGAGCUCUGCUUCUGCGUCGUCGUAGUCGCUUUGUUUGUUCCUCGGCUUCAACUUUUUCGCUUCGGAUGUGGAGGGGCUGGGUGUGUUUGUGUUUGAGUGUGAUGCAUCCUUAAUUUUAGCGAGGUUGGUUGGUUCAAGGAAAUUUCAGUGUCGACGAUGUCGCCGUUCGUCUGUCACUCAUGUGUCAGCUGCAUGGGCCAAGUGUUCCGUGGCAUUCCGUUGCAUGCUCUACCGCUUUGUCGUCUUCUCAAUGAUGUCUUCUACACAUGUGUUACGUGGCAUUCCGUUGCAUACGCUAUAUUAAUCAAGGAGACGUCUUCCUAGCCCCGAAGACAACGGCUGCACACACGCAUGGACCGUUGCACUUUCGCCGUUGCCUGGCCACAAGAGAGAGCCCACUUUGUUUACGCUUGGUAGUAGUCGCACGUGGGGCGCAUAGUUUCUCGCUGACAUUUGCAACCAAAAGGAAAGGUAUGUAUGUACUCUCUUUUCUAUCAAAAUAUAAGACGUUUUCUGAUAUAAAUCUAAAAAAAAAUAUGUCUCGUGAUACCGAAGAGUAUCACAUAACAAGUGCUAAUACAUAGGGCAACUUCAUCCCAAUUCAUCAAAAUAGACCCCAUAAAAUGUUCACAAGCACGUCCGCACGUGUCUGCAAACAGAAAUAGGGGCGGCCUUCGUUAAAUCGGAGUUACCACAUGUCCGGUUAAGUUCAAACAAAUAUUUAACAAACAUGCAUGCGAACAGAAUGAUAUUUAUUAAAUUUCAUAUACAAUCAAAAGUACAUUUUUUAAAUCACUUGAACAGAACAAAAUUUUAAAAAAAAACUAGUCUGAACUAUGCGAGGUACAAAGGGGUGGCCUUGUAGGCAUGGCCUCCGAGGCUGCUGGCACCUCCAUCAUUGUCGCCGUUGCCGUUCGAGCCAUCGUCCUCAUCCUUCUAGCGAACGAAAGGCCCGCCAGAAAUCACGGCAGCUUGAUCGGCGGGGAGCGUGCAGUAGCCCUCCGCUGCCUACGCAUAGCAUUGGCCUUCUCCAAUCAGAUUCUGGCUUCCCUUUCGCUCUUCGCCGUCCUUCCAGAAAGGUUUCCCCUCAUCCCACGAGGCAGUUGGCGGGAGGGAAGUUUCAGCCCAACCGUCAUCGAACCGGUGUCGAACUUGCUGGAAUCCGGCCAAAUGCCCGCUACUUUACGGCAGGCCACCUCGAUUCCGACCAGCGAGCCACCGCUUUCCAGUCCCUACGAUGUCGCUCGUAGCGGCUGCACACGGGAUGCCCGCUCCGACCGCACAGACGCCAGGAACUCGCCGCGGCCCCCUUCUCUCGGUCCCGAGGGUCCGCGGCUUGGGACAAGCACAGCGGGGAAGGCGACGCCGUCGACGGUCGGCUGCUCCGGGAGUUGCGCUUUCUGGAAGAAGUUGCUGCCGCCACGGGCGCCAUCUGCAGUGCAGGGUUUAGUUUGCACUCUCUAGUGAGCCGCUCUCCGUCGCGCUUCCAGGCGCCGGCUGCCCCCCAUGAACGCGCUCUAUAGCGCAUUGUUUAUUUUGCACUCUCCAGUGAGCCGCUCUCUGUCGUGCUAUCCGGUAUAUGUGUGAGAGUGCUUUGUGCUAUUUUUUUAGGGCCUUAUUGUAAAUUCAAUUGGUUUAUACAGGAUCUAUUCUGCCGACAUACAAAUCGUACCACAAAUCCGUUUUAGAGAAAACCGUAUACUAUUUUUACAGGAUGUGUUUUUUGCAGGAUCUGCUAGAGUUGCUCUGAUGCUGCCAAAUGUAGUCCCUCGAAACUCUCGGUUUAAAAAAACAGCAAUCAGUUACCCCUACAUGCUAAUCCCCAGGUUAAUUUGGACAUAGAAAAUACAUUAGUCAGCUAGUUGACAAGUUCUUGAUCAUAAGGUCAGAACUAGUUAACUCACACAUGCAUGUCAUCGCCGGCAUAUAACACAUGUCGAUUCUCGUUAAUCUCGACGAACGUACGUGGAGCGCUAAUAAAGUGGGAUUUCAGCAGCAGGCAGGACAGUUCCUCCACAUGACAUGGAGCAAACUUGUACUGUACUACGUAGUAUAUUUGCAAGGAAGGAACUCAUUGACUGUCGCUUUAACAAAACCUGGAAUAAAACUGGACUACUACCUGCGCCGUUCCAGAGAAAACAAAGGUGCUUUCUCCGGCCGGCCGCCGGCGGUUGGUCACGAAGAAUUCUCCACGCACACGGGGAGCUUAACUGGAAUCAUUCGCGGGUUUCACUGUAUAUAUACCGAGCGAGAGCGCGCCUCUCUGCCUUAUCAGCUCCAGAGCAAGUCAUCAUUUGCCAUUUGCAAGGCAGGCCGCGUAGAUAUUAGCCAGCCAUUUCUCCAACACGAGCUCCACUUCUUCCUUGGCAUCUGCUUCCCCGAGCAGAGCACUUGCAGAAGCAAAGCAGCGUCGUCCUACAGUUCCAUCAUUCAUGGUUUCUCCUUCUUCUAAUCGUACCAGCCGUAACAAGAGGGGCGCGUGGGCGUUCCUCGCCGUGCUGCUGCUGCUGCUGGUCCUGCUCCGCUGCUCGCCGUGCCAAGCGCGCAAGCUGCCGGUGGCAGAUCAGGGCCAGGGCGGCAAGGUGAUGCACUUCGAGGGCGGCCUGGUGCUCAAACUGUCGCCGAGCCCCCAUGGCGGCAACGACGAUGGCGGCGAGGUGGCGGCGGCGGCGCCGAGGGGGUUCUCGAGGGCCGCGCGGUCCAUGCGGUCCGUGCCCAGCCCCGGCGUCGGGCAUUAGGCAGGUCGGUGGUUCCAUGGUUUUUUUCCGCCGGAGAAGUUUUGCAUCUUUAAUGCAGGGAUCGGAGGAGCUCUGCUUGUGCGUCGUCGUCGCUUUGUUCCUCGGCUUGAGUAUAUUGCGUGAGUGAAUGAACGGUCCUUGAUUUGGGAGGGCCGGGUGUGCUUGUGUGUGAGUGUGAACCGCCUGAAUAUGGUGUGAGAAGUUGCAUGCGUGAUGCAUCCUGAAUUUUAAUUUUAACGAGGUUGAUUGAUUGAAGAAAAUUUCAGUGUCGAUGAUGUCGCGGUUCCCCUGUCACUCACGUCGGCUGCAUGAGCCAAGUGUCCCGUGGCAUUCCGUUGCACACUCUACUUUUUUUUUAAAGCGUAUAUUAAUAUCACAGCGAUACCAAUUACGCUGAGCCUCUGCACCAACAAAAUGUCACAAACGACAUUCAGGAUGCACACAUCCUGAAAGAAAAAAGGAAGAAGAAAAGGAAAAAAAAGGCCCCGCACGGUAAUCAACUCCUCGCAGCAGCAACCCGACAAAACUACCGCCAAAGACGACACCCGGAUUACAAAAAGGUUCUCCAAAGGCCACGCCUCCAAGGAGGGAAACAGUGCACAAGCGCCAUCGUCGCCCGAAUGAAGAUUUUAGGUUUUCACUCUGAAGAAAGUAUGAGCCCUUAAAACAAUUCCUUCAACAAGGCCAUUGCCAGACACAACCAAUGAAGGUCAGGCCUUAGGUUUUCACCCUGAAAGUCAACACUCGGCACUUGAGGAGCGCCACCAAACUUGAAUUCCUUCAAUGUUGUCGCCCCCACUUGCCAAGGCUGCUACUGCAAAUCAUCAAACACCAGGCACACAGUUACCAAAUCCAAAUUGGAUCACCGGCCCUCGUGAAGCAAAAUCUUCAGCACCUCGGAGGUCUCUGCCAACACUGGUCCUCCAAUCUCAGCUACCUUGACCUUCUCCACCGCAGUAUAGACCAUGGAAAUCGAGAUGCCGACAUGUCCCAUAGUUUCGACAACCAGCGGAGCUUCGCGCCGCACCGUCAUGAAGCCAUGCUGGCGGAUAUGUGUGCGCAGGACCGGAUUCCAUCCUGUCCAGAUAUCCAGGAGCUUCAUAAGCCAAACCGAGAAGAUCUCUGGCAGAAGAUCCGGAACACAUCUGACGGCCAGAUCGAAGAGGAGCAAACACGUUGAACGUUGCCAUGAUGCGAGAAGAAUGCUAGGACCACCACCAUGAAGACUCGCAAGCCCCCACACCGCGAGUGACGACCCAGCAUGAAUGGCAGAAGAGGAGACGGCAGCCCAGCUAGCAACUGCAUGUCCUCGCGGGCGUGGCCAAGACCACAACAUGCUUACCCCGCAGCACAAGCCUUGACUGGAUCCCCAUGGCCAAGAUCGGAUCCAUAGCCUAGAUCGAGACCCGGCGAUCCAGCUCGCACACCGAAGACAGCCGCACCUUCCCUUGACGCCACUCCGCCUGGAUCCUCAGGCACCGGCCAAGACGGCCGCGCCGCGCCCAUGCCCUGAAACAACGCCCCACCCCCUCCCGUGUGACGCUGCCAAGGAAACACCUCCCCUGCCCACCGUCUUCGGUGGAAUGGGCGCCGCCACCGCCGCCGGCGUCGGCAGCAGCGACGGCAGGGGACGCAUAUUGUAGGAGACCCUAGAGAGAUCGGUGGGGAUGGCCUCCGGAGCCGCCCGGGAGGGGAGCGACUCGACCUGUUUCUGAACAGUACGCCGUUGCACACUCUACUGCUUUGUCGUCUUCCCAAUGAUGUUUUUUUUCUUGUUGUUGUUUGCGAAUUUCUCCAUGACGUUUUCGACCAGUACACGUGCUCGAUCAAUCUCGCCAUCUCGGCAUGACUACAGUGAGCAUCACUCACAAUUUGCAAAUUGACUCCAUCGCGUUGUACGGGUGUUACUUUAGAAGAAAAAAAAGACUCUUCCUUUUUUUUCGCCGGAAGAGAAGAAUUGUCUUGUUCGGAGACCGGAGUAGCCGUGAAGACAAAAUGACGCACACAUGCAAGGACCAAUAAUGAUAGACCUACAAAAAUGGUGCACACAUUAGCUUCUUUGUAAAAAGGAAAUUAAAUUAAAUAAUCUUUUGUAGAUGUAGGAUUACUCUGCAAGGACUGCUGCAGGCCAGUCUCGCCUGAGGUUAAUCACAAAAGGAGUGACAACUUUCCUCAUGUUUGGCAGGACAUUUUGAGGACAGGAAGUUUUGGUCUAUAGGUGUAUAAUACACCCUAUAUGGAAAAUUAUAUUUAGUAAUUAAACAUUCAACAAAUUCUGAAAAUAUUUUUGAAAUAAAUUUGGUGUUCCAUUGUACUGGUAGAAAAAAUUCACAAAAAGUAAAAAUCUGGUUAACCUCUUUCCAAAAAGACAAAAAAUUCGGUUAAAAUAGUGUGAAUAGUGACCUAUAGUACCAAAGAAUUUUUUUUUCCUGAAGUCAACGUUGGGUUUCUAUCUUGAAAUUUAUAUACUAGUGCAAAAGAAAGUCAAGUUUAUUGUAAAAAAUUCAAACUUUUUUGAAUUUUUUAAUUAUCAAUUUUCUUUCCAUAUGAGGUACACCUAAGAACCAAAGGGUAUUUCCUGACAUUUUGAGAAGUAUACUACAUACACACUCACACAUGCAUGCGACCAAAAGGAGGAGUAUUUUCUUUCAAAAAGAAAGGAGGAGUAUUAAGUAGUCCAUCCGUUUCUAAGUAUAAAUCUUUUUGGAGAUUUCAAUAUGAACUACAUACGGAGGGAGUAUCACAUAAUAUGUGUUUGUUUCAAAUAAAUGACAUUAUAUGCUUACUGAUAUAUGCUACCAUUCCAUCACUAAAAUAUUUACUUAGAAACUAAGCAAUGAUGGUUGCAAAAAAAGAAAUCAAUGUCUGCUAUUUUUUAGAAAAAAAUUACUAUUCAUGGCAGGAGCAUUUGAGCUCAGGAUUAGAAUGUCACAUUUUGACUGACAUCCUUGUCGAUCCGCCAGACUGUCCAGUCUGGCCCAGCCGAACAUGUCCGACUGCAAUCAUACUCCUCCCUACGCCAUAUCUGCCUCGCACUUUCAUGCAUUGCUUAGACGCCCUAUGUAUGGAUGAUCUUGCACGAACACACCGUCCUCAGAGCAGUAGAUUACAUAUUCUCUUCAUAUGAUAGAGUUGGCACUUGGCAGACCGACAGUGCUCCUGACUUUUGCUUGGAUUUUUUUUCUAACCUGCUGCCAAAUGUAGCUCUCUCGAAACGUUUGGCGCACAUACUAAUCACUUAGAGGCUUGGAGCCGAUUGAAAAAGCAAUACAAACAGGUCAGUCAGGUCAGCUGGUUGACCCUUGAUUUUGUAUACGCAUUAUUACUCCUAAUCCAAUCCGUAAGCCGAUCUGUUGUAAAUUACUUUUCUAAAUGAGAAGCGGCCGCUGACUUUCAUUUCGUGAGGGAAAAAACAGGACUCCACUACAAAUCAGAUGUUAGAUUUUUGACCAUGGUAGAUCGAACAUUUUUCAUGACAAAUUAUGUUUUCUAAGAAUGGCAAGUUUAGUUGGCAAGCAUGACAAAUCUGUCUUAUUUUAUUAUUUAUGUCAGAAAAUUAUCAUGCCUGCAAACUGAAUUUGCCAUGAUCGCGCCAAUACAAACUGCCAUGAAAAACAUCAGAUUUGCCAUGCUCUAAAAUUCUAACGUCGGAUUUUUAAUGUUUCCGGAAAAAACAACAUGCGGAACUAGAAUUAACUUGGCCGGCAAUCCGUCAGGAAGAAUUCUCCAUGGCUGCUCAAAAGAAAAGAAAAAUAAUUCUCUGCGGGCAAAUGGGAAUCGUCCACGUAAGCGGUGGCGCUGUAUAUAUAGAGCGGGAGACGCCUACCUCUGCCCUACCACCAGCUCGAGCAUUUGCCAAAGCAGGUUGCCAGCCAAGCACCAGCUCCAAUUCUUCUUCCCUGAGUUCAUCCCGUUCUCCCAGAGCACCCACAGCCACAGGAGCAGAUAGUCGAGUAGCAUGGCUUCGCCGACGCGCAGCAGCAGUAGCACCAGGAGGCUCGCGCGGGCGUUGUUCCUCUUCCUCGCCGUGCUGCUGCUGCUGGUGCUGCUCCGAUGCUCGCCGUGCGAAGGGCGCAACCUGCCGACGGCGGGGGAGGAACGGGGCGGCAGGGCCGCCGUGAUCCACCUCCAAGGCGGCGAGGCAGCGGCGGCGAGGGGGUUCUCGAGGGCCGCGAGGUCCAUGGGGUCCGUGCCGAGCCCCGGCGCCGGGCACUAGCCAAGUAGCCAUGGUUCUUCUACCCCGGAGAAGUUCCCAUUUUGCAGCGCCGCGUUUUUGUCUGCUCCUCGACCUGAUGGGCUUCUCGCUUUCAUAUGCGGCGUACGAAAUGAUGGUGACGGUUUGUCAUUGUGUAUCUCAUUGUGUAUCUGAGACUCUGAGUACGUACAGCCGGCUGAAAAUAAUGUAAACAGCUGGAACCUUAAUCGAUGCGCUUGGAAAAGAACUCCAGUGUCGUAUUAUCUCUCCUGUCACGUCAGUGUCAGCUGCAUGCAGCUGCAUUGCACACCGCUACUUGUCGUCUCAUCACCAGGGCCUCUGGGGCGUGCGUGCAUGGCUGUGGUGGUCUCAAGUCUCAGCAACAAACUCAUCUGAUGAUUUCUGUUAAGAGCACGUUCAUAUUGGGUUUCCUAGUACGAAAUUUUGGUUCAACAACAAACUGGUCUAGUAAUAAUUUCUUUUAAGAUUACUUUCAUACUGGGUUUCAAAAGAAAUUAUGUCCCAAACUGCAAUGCGUCGGUACAAUGCCAGACAGAGAUUCUUUUGCCAGAAUCUGGGGAUUCUCCCAGAAUCCGACCCCUACCCAGCUUCUCCCAGGAUCUUUGAGCCCCAUUUGUUUUGCAAUCCUAUCUAGUUAGGGUCUGAUUAUAUAGGAUUGUAAAACAAAUGAGACUCAAAGAUUCUGGGAGAAGCCGGAUAUGGGUCGGAUUGUGGGAGAAUCCUGACAAAAGAACUGGGCUUCAGAACACUUCCACCUAUACAUAGAUGCUUCACAUAUCACAGGAUGAGAAGCUACCUCCAGAAUAAAGUGGGUACCCGCAAGUGUACACCUUUAUACUACAUGAACAUCCUACAAUAUCUACGUACAUCGUAUACUACCGUACUUACUAUCUAUAUGUACAGACGGGCAACGGGCGGCGUCAGAACUCGAGGCCUCCGUUGAGUUGAACAGAUAAAGAUGGAGAUCCCACGUUGUCGAGGGGUUUCUCCAUGGUGACUACUACCCCAGAACUGCCGACUUCACCGUUCAACUUGGACCGCCCAAUCUGCCAUACCACACCAUAAUUGCAAGGGCAUCAGUUCGGGCUUUGCAGUAAACGCGCUUCGAUAAGGAAGAAACGCUGGCGUAAUGAGAACUAAUUGAGGGCUUACAGAAAGAGAUGUGAAAGCCGAAGGAUGUCUCGAGCAUGAGAAGCCGCAUGACACACCGAUUUCUUCCUUCAGUGAAUGGACAAUCUCCGCCCGUAUGCCCGGAUCACUUCCUCCGAGAAUGGGGCAAACACUGGUGCAGGUGGUUCCAUGGAUGUGAGUAUUCAUAGGUUGGGAGAAGAUUGUGCAAACAAGAAAGAACUUGAAAUGCAGGAUAUCAACAUAAGUGCUGGUAGGGAAGAAGCUGAAGUACUGACCAGCUACCAUUGUUUUCUUUUGUUGGCAGAAACAGAAAACGACAAGCAACAUGGACUGCCAUAUGUCAACCCUCCGUUCCAAAAUAGAUGACCCAACUUUGUACAAAGUUAGUACAAAAUUGGGUCAUCUAUUUUGGAACGGAGGGAGUAAUAUGCAAGUACGGAAUACUUAGUGAAGCAUGGAGCAGAUCCGAAUUGUCAUAUUUGAACAGUGUUUCAUCAAUGACGUUUGCUCAUCUGGCAUUAACUACGGUAAACAUCCCACACAAUGGCUGUUGCCAUUUAUAAAUGACCAACCCAGAUAAUCUAUUUACCAGCACUUUUGAUAUCAUAUCAGUAAGGACACCGACCCAACAAAUACUACACAAUGAAUAUUAUGAAUUGUGGCUAACAGCAGUCCAGCUUUUUACCGAGUUAAGACCAACCCUCCUUUUUACUGAGUUGAGAAACCAGUUACGGCUAUGAGCAAGUGUGUACAGUAAACUACCUGACUUGGGUGCUGGGUCUCAUCAUAAGGCCAGACUUUUUCCAUGCCACCGCGUGGGCAACUCCAAAUGACAGAGAAUUGUCAGGCCAUUGAUAAGUAGGGGUAAACCAUGUGCCUUGUGUGCUCUUCAAUGGAAGAAGAAUAGCGAAUAAAAGGACAAGUAAAAGAAUUAGGAACACGCCGCAAGAAGAUAGAGUAAUGUAAAAUUUGAAACAAAUCAUAAAAUAGCAUGUGGAAUGCAUGUUAUUGCUGUUUCAUAAUAGCAUAGUUCUUGACAAUCUGCACAGCUGAAACUGUUUCUUUAAGAAUUUACAAACAUAAGCAAAAUUUGUGCAGAUACACUAGCAUUGACUAACCUUGAAGGAGAAGCCCAGUUUGGUUUCUCCGGGAAAUUUCCCAUUGGCUUGAAGCAAUCCACCAAAUAAUGGGAGAAAUCCACUUGCUGUUAUCCCCUCACCAGCAACGUAUCUCAAUUGCCCAUUUGAAAAUUCAACAUCCAUGAAGGCCUGCAACAAAAAACAACCAAGGGAAGAUGAUAAGAUAGUACUGUAGCAGGUAUUAGAUACACAAACAGUCACGCCAGAAAAAUUGAUCCAUUCCUUUUAGGUUUACAUGUUUCCAACAAAUUAGGAAGUUAGAUGAUUGCACUUAGCAUGGACAAGUUCCGUUGUUUUUUGGUUUCUUUAUAAAACUCACACCAAGUUAAUGGCAAGGCCUGUUGCAACAACAAAAACAAUACUCCCUACAUCCCCAUUGAUGAAACUGUGUUCAAAUAUGGCAAAAACAAAAGUACCUGCAAUCUGAGUUUGUGGCCUUGUAUAAGGGAAUGGAGGGAGUACUAACCUUCAUAGGCACAUGCAUCACAUGAUGGCAAAAUAAAAAGGGCAAGCAAGCUAAACUUUUUUGUGCCGCUAACCCAACUAUCCGGACUGAUGAUUCGCAAACACUGGUCAAUGAAACUGGAAUACAACUGACACUGGGUAGAUACUUAGAAACAACACAUAAAUAUUAACCAAGAGCAGACGGCAAAAGAGCAAGGUAAGGGCAAAGAAUAUAUAUAUAUAUAUAUAUAUAUAUAUAUAUAUAUAUAUACUUACACAGGCUACUGGGUUGAGGCACAUCAUGGACAUCAGCAACCAUUUUUUCUGCUUUGACCAGACAACUGGACAUAAGGAAUGCACUCCAUUCUACAAGAAAUGAAUAAGUUUUUAGUACAUGCAUAUAGUAAAAUAUAGGUCAAUACAUGCACACAAAGAGCUUGAAUGGGCACAAUUCCAGAAGAUGGUGAUAGCUAUAGCAAGUACUUAAUGCAGUAGAAAAUUUAGCAGAAAUAAGUAUGCAAAAUACAUGCUUACAAAUAUGGAGAAUAUUUCUAAUGCAUAAAUUAACAAUGACUCUGCUAGAGUUGAACUCAGCAUCUAAAUCACUUUGGAUACAGAAAUAUGGUCAUGCACUUUAGAACCAACAUUUUCACAUCACAAGAUAAUACAACAGGACUUUAGAAAGCUAGGAGAGGGCAUUACAAUUGCAAGCUUCCACAGAACAGUCCUAAAUCAGACUAGCUAACAGAACAAAAUCACCUAGAAUUGAUACAGAGCAAGACGAGCAUUCCCUAAUCAUAUACUCCCUCCGUCCGGAAAUACUUGUCAACGAAAUGAACAAAAGAGGAUGUAUCUAGACGUAUAUUAGUUCUAGAUACAUCCCUUUUUAUUCAUUUUGAUGACAAGUAUUUUCGGACGGAGGGAGUACAUUACUUGAUGAUUACAUGAACAAUCAACUAGAAGAAAAAACUGGUUUCAGUUUCAACUAGAUGCUAUGCUAUGCAUAAUAUUUGCACUCUUGUAGUAUAUUUCACAUUUAACCAAUAUACACAGCAAUGUAUAUAAAGCUUUAGAGAUUAUCAUUCAUAAGAAAAGGCAAACAAUACACUGUUCUUGUCAAUUAUCUGAAGGAUAAAAUGAAUAAAAACUAAUGAACAUGCGCAGAUUCAUAUAUCAAGAAUAAGAGAAGUACCUUGUGAUCAUAAGCAUACCAAAUGAGGUGUUGCUUUGACAGAUUAAUAGGCAAAAGAAGUGUUGUAGAGUCUCUCACAAAAAGUAAGGGACCCAAUUGAAUAAGGAAACCAGGUGCAUUAUCGUUUCCAUUAGUUGAACCACCCCGUGAUGAUUCUAACCUCCAAAAAUCUCCACGUGCAAGAACAGAACUAUCAACAGUGUGGUGCCUUGUAUUGUACAUUGCCGAGACAUUUACAGUCCCCUGCAUCAUCAUCAUUACAGGUGUUAUGAUGUGUACUUGAGCAUAUUGAAUGUGUUUCAGCAUCGCAGACCCAGUAUAAUUACACUCUAAGCCUGUACAAAAACCCAUCAUAAAUCUGCAGAAAAAAGGAAGGGUAUAACCUUUGGUAUACGAAAAGGAUAUCUCAAUAUCUGAAGUACAUGUACUACUAAAUGACAAACAUAUAGCCACAAUCUGCCUAUCACACAAACAGUAUAUAAAAAAAAAGGGCAGCCCAGUGCAUGUAGCUCCCGCUUGCGCAGGGUCCGGGGAAGGGUCCGACCACUUUGGGUCUAUAGUACGCAGCCUUUCCCUACAUUUCUGUAAGAGGCUUUACCACUGCGCCAAGGCUCCCCUUCACACAAACAGUAUAUCAUAUUGAAAUUUAAGAUGAGUGUUAGCUUUUAGCCCCAGCAGUCAAUCACACAAGCAAAUAAAAGAUACACGCAAUUGGGAUAUUUCGCCAAGUCAUCUCAUGUACAUCCGUUUUUUUUUUCUUUGUUUACUUCUCAGAAUUCUUACACAAGAUUAUAACCUGCAUGUGUAUAUGUACACAACACAGGCUCACCUUGUCCAAGUCGUACAUGUCAACUAACAUGUGGCUAGGUAGGACCAAAGCAGACACUACUAAGUCUUGACUAUUCCAACAAUCUCCCCCUAAUUAAUAGUUAGCGUGGCAGAAUCAAUCAAGCAAACAAAUCACGCAUACACAAGAUAGGCAUAUUUCACCAAAGACACCUCAGGUGCCUCUUUUUUUUCUUGUUUCUUUCGCAAAAGAGUACACAACAUUACAACCUGCAUGUGUAUGUAACUAUGUAUGCACAAUGAAGCUACAAGACACACACACUCGUACACUGACUCGCAUUCCUUACACGUCAAUUAGGACAUAGCCAGGUAGAAUUCAGACAACGUCAGAAUCAGAUUCGACCAACACAACUCCUUACCAGAAAUGACUAGGCAUUGUCGCAUUGAUUAUACCAACAAUGAACACAAACUAUUAAAGCAAUGGACAUAGGCACGGCAUAAUCAGACUUGACAAACAUUAUUCCUAACGGGACAGACUUGAUUAUUUCAAACAUUAUCAAUAUGCUCAAGUACACAUCAUAACACCUGUAAAUAAGAUACUUCAUCCACACAUCAUAACAUCUAAUCCACAGUUCUACACCUAAAUCAUCCACACAUCUAAAAAAGGCUAUUUCUCUAAACUGUCGUAUAAAUAAGAUACUUCAUCUAUCUUUUAAUAAGCAUAAUCUAACUGCAAGGGCUUCUAAUUAGAGUCAGGUAGGUGCGUGCGCAGCAGAAAACAUGAUCAAGCAAGAUGCAAAUCCAACAUUGGUACCUGAGGCUUCAUAAAUUUCCCCAGAGUGCCAAUCUCGAACUCGAACCCGAACCCGUCUUCCUCUUCAUCCGACCCAUCCGCACCCUCGGCCCCGGCCCCGACCGCACUGGCGGCAGCGGCACUCCCAGUGGCCGCCGCCACCGCCGCAGCCACCUCCUCAAGGGAGCCUCCUUCCCCGACACCCUCCAGAGCUACCCCGCCCUCGGCAGCCCUCUCCGCAGCGAGCCCCGCCUCCCCCUCGUCCACAGCCGCCGCGGGCGUCGGCGGCGCGGCGGCCCCCUCCCACUUCCGGCGCCGCGCGCGGAACGGCGCGGGAAUCUGCCGCGACAGCUGCUGCACGGCGCCGCCGACGGAGGCGCCGAGGUCGUUCCCGGCCUGGCCGAGCCGGCCGCCGAUCUCGACGAAGGACGCGACGGCCACGGCCGGGAGGUCGACGCCCCCGCGGAGCUCGAUGUCGAAGGGGAUGAGCUUGAGCGGCGGGGCGGGCCAGGGGAGCUGCGGCGGCUGCACGUGGAGUUGGAGGAGGAGCCCCGAGACGCCCUGCGCGAGGCGGUAGGCCAGGUCCUGCCCGUGCCGCUGCACGCCCAGCAGCGCGGCGUCCAGGGAGAUCUCCAUGGAUGGAUGGUGGACGGGGCACCCGGGCGGAGGCGCGCCCCGGCGUAGCGGAUUAGCUCGAGCCGCGGCGAAAUGUGGUGGAGACGAAGCGGUCAGGCCAGUCUGUGGUGGUGGCCCGGCGGGGGGUCGAUGACGAUGAUGCCGGGCUGACUGCUUGUCCGGGACGGGACUCGGUGACGUGCGCUAUCGUGUGGAUAUCCGUUGCCCGUUGGCCUCGCGUGACAGAAGAGCCGCGUACUGCGGUGAAGUACAUCAUCCGUUUGAACGAAUGCACGCAUCACGAGGAUAUGCUGUUUUCAGGGCCGAUUGAUCAUCAAGGGUGCGUUCGUUUGCAAAGUAUUUUUGCAGUUUUUCGACGCCCCGUACCACCGAAAACACCUCUUCCGUUUAAAAAAUCUUUCGCGCUACGCAUUUACUCUGUCUUGAAGGGUCACCCAUCAACCCGCAUUCAUGGCGGUACCGUGGCCGAGUAGCCUACUCUGAUGCCUCACCAAUUCGCCUGCCCAAGACUAUUUAAAAUCGAUCGGCCGCAGACGCUAGCCCUAUCAUCCUCACCUAUCUGUCGCAUAGCACCAUACCUUCACCACCGUCCGUCGCAAUGGGCAAGAAGUCUGACACCCGCAGCAGGUGGACGGCGCGCGGCUCCGAAACCGGGAUAGCCCCAGAUCCAGUUGGCACCGUCGCCCACGGUCUUCGGCUCCUCUCGUCCACAACUUCGUCCAACGUCAAGUCGGAACCGAUCUUGUGAUGACGCGAAGGUGCAGAAGCGGCCCCUGCUCGCCACCGUGGCUGCUAUGGACGAUGAGUUCAAGCGGCAAACGAAGAUCGCGCUCUAGUGGUUGUUAAUCGACCGCAGUCUAACAAUGCCAUCCCCUCCACACAACCGCGACUUCCAAAUUAGAUGCCGUGUAAAGGAGGAGCCGACCUCCCCACCAUGUAGCCACGACAUCCAAUUCGAAUACCGCAUGAAAGAGAAGCAGACCUCCCCGCCUCGUUCGCAACCGAUAGAGUCCAUUCGCCAUUGUGGAGGAGGAGGAGUCCCCCCCCCCAACCGUCCUAGCCACAAUCAUGUGUACAGUACUACCUCCAAGCUAACUGUGUGUCUUCCUCGACACGAACAAAUGCCUCUCCAAGGCGGAGCAUCGAGAGCAAUGCAACACGUAGCACCGGGUGGCAUUCGCGAAGAGCCAAGUCGCGUCGGCCUAGGCCCUCGACCGGUCCAAGACCAUCGCCGAGUCAGGCUCCCGCCAUCAGUGUUGCCUCAACCACCAGCUCCUCCAAGCGGGGCCGAUGAAGCCCAAGUGCACCAAGCGACGAAGGCGGCCAAACGUCUCAAGAGCGAGCGCGCGACAACCGAGCAGGGAUGCCUGGCAAGCAUUCUGCCCCUAGCGCAACCACGACGAGAAAGGUGUCGCAAAUGGCAACUUGAGCAACAGCGCAGACGAUGACAAAGGUGCAAUGGCCUCAAAAGUGACAUGUAUACAAGCUCACGGUCUUGUAUCUAUCCAGUAUCUCACAUAGUUUAGUUUAGAUUAAAUUAAGUUUCAACGGUUAAAUUUCAUCCGUGUGUUUAUAAAUAUAUUGAACUUUGUUCAAUUUUAUUUGUUUUUAUGCUCGCUCCGUUCAAAUAUUUGAACAUUUGGUGUCCAUAGUUGGAUGCCUAGAGCCCCACCUGUGGCAAGUUCAGACGUAUCCACAGAUAUUUGGUGUCGUCUGUUUGGUGAUUCGCAUUGUAGUUGCCUUAAGACAAUACGAAGCAACAAUCUAUGCAACAUGAAAUUCAUUGAAGCGGAGAAACAUCAGGCACAAUCAUUCCAUUACAUGGCAACGUUCGCAGAGCUUCUUAACAUUUAACUUGACGGUGGAGGGAACUUUGUCUGCAACAUAUCUUCCAAUGGCCCAGAGGCCUUUGUGGGCUUGAGCAAUCAUCCGCUUGCCAAUCAGAGGGCUGCACUUGUAACUUUUGUUGACACAAGACCGAUCAGCCUCCUCAAUACCAUUAUCAUAUACCGCGUCCAAAGUGAGACACUCGAGUAAUGUUGCAUUCUCAAGAAUAUGGCAAGUUAGUUCGACCAUGCUCUUUGCUGCACGGAAGCCUAUGAUGGUCACAUCCUUGAUGUUGCCAUGGUGAUGUCCUGGCAUCCGUCUCAACACUGAGUCUUUAGAUAUCAAUUCAUGCUCUACGUUCCUCUGCGAUACCUGUGUGAAGGAGCAACGUGCACCCUAUAGUUACAUGCAGAGAUAGGAUACAGUUGUUGUUGCAAGCUAGAGGGAGAAAAGUGACUUACACCCAAAACAAAAGUCUCCAGGAGAGGACAAGCGUCCAGAAAAUUAACUAGAGAAAAAUAAUCAUAGCCUGGAGAAAAGCCCCCCUGUCCUUCAUGGUCAAAAUCAAUCUCUAAGUUCUUGAGGCAGCGGAAUUUGCCAUGUAAGAUGGGCGUACUGAAGUCCUACAUAUAAUAAUAAGUCUAUGUUAAAUAUAGAAUUGCCUAAAAAAGGUUACACUAUAUUCCAUGGCAUAUAACUACUGCUAUAUGAAUAAUGAUGCUGUCAUUAAUGAUCACUAGCCCCUUAAAAAAAGACAACAACAACAACAGAGCCUUUAGUCCGAAACAAGUUGGGGUAGGCUAGAGCUGAAACCCAUAAGAUCUCGAAACCAGCUCAUGGUUGUUGCACGUGGAUAAAACAACGAAAACAAAAACUUUAGUUUGAGAGGGUGUUUGUUUCCAGGGACUUAUUGAUUUAGGGACUUAAAAAAGUCCCUAUAAGUCCCAUCUAAACCAAACAGGAGGGACUUAUAGGGACUUAAAGUGGGCAUUUGGGACUUAUGAAAUAAGACUCUCAUGGGAAGUUGUGAUACGUUUCGUUGGGUUGUUCCGGCACCAAAAGUAUGACUUCUUCGAUCCCUGGAGUAACUGCAGUUUGAAGCCACAUGUCGAGAUAACUAGAUUUGAGGGAAGAACCACCAUAGUGAAGUUCAAAUUUCUUCACUCCAAUGCCUGGGUGUUUUUUCAUGAUGCGGUCAACUCUCUUGAGCAAAAUCCUUGCAAGUUUAUUGCUUCCAUACACAUUUCCAUCCAGGCCCAGUGUUUCAUUGCUGAAGGUGAGGUCGGGACGGCAUCUCAAGGAGCUUAGUAAUGUGUGAGACACACAGCCAGCUCUGGCAGCGUCUUGCAGUGGCAGCAGUGCCAAUAUAUCAUCCCAGAUGCCCUGCAGACACAAGAAUGGGAGAGAAGUUAGCACUGGAAUUGCAUGGGCUGUGUUACAUAGUUAAAUAGCACAACAGAAUGUGAUUGUGAUAGGUAAAUUAAGCAUUACAUGCACUGUUACAACUUUACAAGGAUGAUAGUACAACGUUUCAGUAUAAGUGGCCUUCCGAGAAGACGUCAAUUAGUAUUCCCUGAUCAGCACUAUUACAAGGAUGGUACAGCCUUUAAGUGAGAUGACAAACCAAUCUAUUCAGAAUGCAGAUAGAUAGCGCAAUGGAAGUAUGAUUAGAAAUGCAGUGGAGCAAUCUCUGGCCUCCAUGUGUUACAGUACAUUUUAUCAAACAUGAUGUCUUUUAUGACUUUUUGGUGGAAACUAGCAGGUGCGCGCGAAACAGGAAUUCGAAAAUCCUACGCUGGAGCGAGAGCUUUGGCUGGCAGCAGCCUAGUACUGUGGCUCUCUUUUUUAACGUGGGCUAGUAUUAUGGUGCAGUUCUUCUCCUGACAGUUAACAAGAUUCCUGUACCAGGUUGCUUUAAUCGGCUCACUUGACAAUGCAUGGCUUGAAUCUCGUUGCAAGAAUCGGAUGGUAUGUCCUUUUUACUCCGCAUAUAAGAGCCCCGGUCCCCUUGUUCUACAGAACUGCUCUCAAGGGGCAAAGCAGAGUCAGGUGCAAAGCAGUAUCCAGGACUUGGUCACAGAGACAGUAUAAGUGUCGAUAUGCGGUCAAUCUCUUGCGAGCAAUCGAUCAGAGGUCGACAAUCUGUUCAGAAGAAGCAACCAAACAGGGAAUGACCUUACCCUCCUCCUUAUAUAAUCUUCAAUACACGGUUCAGGUUCAGUUGGGGGAUUCUGCCAAUAAACUGAACAUCAUAUGCGGAUUUUGCAGAGUAAACACAACUGCCCGUCAUCGACCAGCAGAUGAAGUCAUUGGAAGGUGGCCUUUGCUUAUUAUGGACCUUCUCCUAAAAAAUAAUUAUGGAGGCCUUUCAUCCAAUUCCCAAGAGGGAAAAUAAUUUUGCAGUGCUAACCGAGAGACGCUUUCUCCUCGCAAGAGGGAAAAUAUCGGGUGCGAUGGUGGCUCCCAUGUGUAUCCAUCAGCAGGUCUAGGAGUUUUAUGGCUUUGCUUCUGAGGAAGCUAGAGUUUUACUUAUUUUUCGCACUCAUAGCAGCAUAGUUCGAUCCUAAGAUAUAUUUCCACAACUUGACUGCAGCUAGAUAAGUCGCAACGAUUUGUGAAAGAGAGUAGCCAUGGCCAUUAGAUCAUUUGGUUGGCGUACCUGUGGAAGGUCCGGCACUGGACAUCGCGUUGUUUUGCCACAUUGGGGAUGACAGAUCGAGCGCUUUUUGCCAGACAGAGAAGCAAUCGACAUACCUGGCCAUGAUUGAUAACAUAAGAAAGCAACCAACAAUAGGAAAACAUCGGCUAGUCGCAAAAAAAAAAAAAAGGAAAACAUCGGCUACGAGAUCGGGAAGGAGGGGCAACAUGAUGAUCGAUCCGACUUACGACGGGGUCGGAUUUUCCGGCGGCGGCGAUCCUUCCGCGCGGGCAGGAGCCGGUUGAGCAUCCCCAUGAUGGUACCCUCGAAAUCCUCUGCUCGCCCGCUCUGUAUACUACUCGUAAUUAUUUGACCCAGCAGGCAACGGAGACCACCUCCGCGGCGUCUGAAUCGAGAAGGCUCCAAUUCGAGUUUGAGUUUGAGUUGAAUUGACGCGAGCAGAGGAAACGGCAUCUGCAUCCACGCCGCCUUCUCUGCCUUGUCCUUGAGGCCUGCGUUUACCAGCCCAUCUAAAAUGGCCCAUUAUUACUCAAAAAAGGCCCAUUAGUGACAGGGUUGAUCAGAAUAGUAUAUGCCACAUCCCCUAAAAAAAGAUAGUAUAUGCCACUUCCCCUAAAAAAAGAGAGUAUAUGCCACUGAAAUUCUUGCCGAUUCGAAAAAUCUCACUGCAAUUUUUAUAAAAGCUCUGCGGUGAUAUUUUUCCAAGCUCUAUAGUGAUAUCCAAUGGUUUUUUUUAGAAGCUCUACUGUGCUGAUUUAGAAAAUGAAAAAUGUGGUGACAAUUUUGAAAUAUGCAAGAAUUGCGAUGCCAUUAUUUUAUCUAAUUAACCCUAGUAAAUAAUCCGCGUGUGACAAACUUAUGUCAUAUAUUUUAUUUCUAAAUAGUUGCAAUCCACUGCCUGCCUUUUCUAAUCACACUGCCAUGCUACAUCAGCACCUAUUCUAUUCAUGUCAAUCAUAGGUCACAUAUUUUGCAAUAAUUUACCCAUCUAACCAUGCCACAUUAGGACAUGCAGGCCACUCAUAAGUUAUACUCCUUUCGCCCCGGAUUAGUCGUUUUAAAUUUGUUUAGAUACAGGAUCUAUCUAGACACCUAGACACGUUUUAGUGUUAGGUACAUCUGUAUCUAGACAAAUCUAAGACAACUAAUUUGAGACGAAGGUAAUAUUUUUUUGUCCACUACCAAAUUUUUGUAAGCAUGCAGCUAUGCCACAUCAACAUCUAUGCAUGUCAAUUUACCCAUGCAACUAUGCCACAAUAAUAAGCCAUGCAUGCCACUUACAUUUUUUGAACUGAUUUUCUACUCCUGCUUAUAUGGGAUUAUACACGAUGAGAUUACAAUGUAGGGGUACAUUGAUGUGUUUGACGAGUUGGAUGUUGAUAACCCACAAGUAUAGGGGAUCGUUUGUAGUCUUCUUUGAUAAAUAAGAGUAUCGAACCCAACAAAGAGCUAAAGGAAGAACAAAUAUUCCCUCAAGUUCUAUCGACCACUGAUACAACUCUACGCACACUUGACGUUUGCUUCACCGGAAACAAGUAUGAAACUAUUUUGCAAGAGUAAAACUACGAGUACUUUGCGAGAAUAAAACUGGUAAUUGAUACGUCUCCAACGUAUCUAUAAUUUUUUAUUGUUCCAUGUUGUUAUAUUACCAUUCUUGAAUGUUUUAUAAUCAUUUUAAAGUCAUUUUAUAUCAUUUUUUGGUACUAACCUAUUGACAUAGUGCCAAGUGUCGGUUGUUGUUUGAUGUCUGCUAGAACUACAUCGAUAUUUCCCCAAAGAGGAAGGGACGAUGCAUAUAAAAGUCUCAUGUCAAAACUAGACUAUUGCUUUGAACCAUAUAAAAGUCCAAAUGUCCAUGCUACAAAGAAAAGAAUAUGAAAUGACAUGUUAGGCAGCAUUCCAUAUCAAAAAUUCUGUUUUUAUCAUUUACCUACUCGAGGACGAGCAGGAAUUAAGCUUGGGGAUGUUGAUACGUCUCCAACGUAUCUAUAAUUUUUUAUUGUUCCAUGGUGUUAUAUUACCAUUCUUGGAUGUUUGAUAAUCAUUUUAUAGUCAUUUUAUAUCAUUUUUGUACUAACCUAUUGACAUAGUGCCAAGUGUCAGUUGCUGUUUUCUGCAUGUUUUUUACAUCGCAUGAAAUCAAUACCAAACGGAGUCCAAACGCAGCGAAACUUUUUGUGGAUUUUUUUGGACCAGAAGACAUCCAGUGGGCCGGAGAAGCACCUGGAGGGUGCUCCGAGGGGAGCACAACCCACCAGGGCACCUGGAGGCCCAGGCGUGUCCUGGUGGGUUUGUGCCCACCUCGGGUGCCUCCCGAACCGCCUCUUUGCUCUAUAAAUACCCCAAUAUUUCAGAAACCCUAGGGGAGUCGACAAAAAUCAAUUCCAGCUGCCGCAAGUUCCAGAACCACCAGAUCCAAUCUAGACACCAUCACGGAGGGGUUCAUCAUGUCCGUUGGUGCCUCUACGAUGACCGUGAGUAGUUCUUUGUAGACCUACGGGUCCGUAGUUAGUAGCUAGAUGGCUUCCUCUCUCUCUCUCUUUUGAUUCUCAAUACAAUGGUCUCUUGGAGAUACAUAUGAUGUAACUCUUUUUGCGGUGUGUUUGUUGGGAUGCGAUGAACUUUGAGUUUAUGAUCAGAUCUAUGUUUUUAUCAAUGAAAGUUAUUUGAGUCUUCUUUGAUCUCUUAUAUGCAUGAUUGCUUAUAGCCUCGUACUUCGUCUCUGAUAUUUGGGUUUUGUUUAUCCAACUUGAUCUAUUUAUCUUGCAAUGGGAAGAGGUGCUUUGUAAUGGGUUCGAUCUUACAGUGCUUGAUCCCAAUGACAGAAGGGGAAUCGACAUGUAUGUAUCAUUGCUAUUAAGGAUAACAAGAUGGGGUCUAUUUCUACAUAAAUAGAUCUUGUCUACAUCAUGUCAUCGUUCUUAUUGCAUUACUCCGUUUUUUCAUGAACUUAAUACACUAGAUGCAUGCUGGAUAGCGGUCGAUGUGUGGAGUAAUAGUAGUAGAUGCAGGCAGGAGUCGGUCUACUAAUCUUGGACGUGAUGCCUAUAUAAUGAUCAUUGCCUGGAUAUCAUCAUGAUUAUUUGAAGUUCUAUCAAUUGCCCAACAGUCAUUCGUUUACCCACUGUUUGUUUUUUUUUCUCGAGAGAAGCCACUAGUGAAAUCUACGGCACCCAGGUCUCUUCUUUAUUAUAUUUGCCUUUGCGAUCUAUCUUUAUUUGCUUUUAUUUUCAGAUCUAUUAAACCAAAAAUACAAAUACCUUGUUGCACUUUAUUUUAUUUGGUGUUUGAUCUAUCAAUUUAUUACAACUCUCUCACGUCCUUUUGCCAAUUUUUGGUACCGUUACCGAAAGGGAUUUACAACCCCUUUAAUACGUCGGGUUACGAGUAUUUUUUAUUUGUGUGCAGGUGCUAUUUACGUAGUGUUGCUUGGUUCUCCUACUGUUUCGAUAACCUUGUUCUCAUCACUGAGGGAAAUACCUACCGUCGUUGUGCUGCAUCAUCCCUUCCUCUUUGGGGAAAUACUGACAUAGUUCUAGCAGACAUCAGUAAUAAAAGUGGAUAGCUUUUGUCAAUAAGAAAGUCAUUUGUCCCUAGGCAAUCGAUAACAAGUACAGAUAAUAUUCUUGUAAUUUUAUAUGAGGGAGAGGCAUGAGCUAACAUACUUUAUUACAACUCUCUCACGCCCUUUUGCCAAUUUUUGGUACCGUUACCGAAAGGGAUUUACAACCCCUUUAAUACGUCGGGUUGCGAGUAUUUUUUAUUUAUAUUUUUUAUGCUUGCGGAUACUUAUGAUUGGAACUCUAGCAAGCAUCCGCAACUGCUAAAGAUCAUUAAGGUCGUGAAACCCAACCAUAGCAUUAAGUAUCAAGUCCUCUUUAUCCCAUACGCAACAACCCACCUACUCAGGUUUAAGCUUCUGUCACUCUCGCAACCCACCAUAAGCAAAUCAUGAACGUAUUGCAACACCCUACAGCGGGGAUCCCCCAUGUUUGCGCGAGAUGGAGGGCAUCGUAGGACAACACCAUAAAUAAAAUAUACAAUCAUACCAACCAAGAUCACGAUUAACCCAUAGGACAAAACGGAUCUACUCAAACAUCAUAGGAUAACCAUAGAUCAUUGGGAAAUAAUAUAUGAAGUUGAGCACCAUGUUUAAGUAGGGAUUACAGCGGGGAGAAGGGGUGUUGCACCGCUGCAUAGAGGGGGAGAAAGUUGGUGUUGGCGGUAGCAAGAUUGUUGAUGUAGAUCGCUGUCAUGAUCCUUGCCCCGGCGGUGUUCCGACGCCACCGGGAGAGAGGGGGUGUUGGGGAUAUAACUAUUGGGUAUGACCCACCCAGGAGGGUCCGGGUUAUACCGCUGGUGGUUUGUUAUGGCGAAGCCCAUAAAGAUGUUGAAGAUGGCGGUUCACGAAGCAGGCUUACUGAAGGCCCAAAACCCAAAGGCGACUUAAGGCCCAACAGGUGUAAACCGCCAUAUAUGUAUGACUUGUAUUAUAAGGCAUGUAUAGUUAGUCACCGAGCCGGACACAUUGUGUAUGAGCCAGUUGGGACUCCGUGAGCCGCCGGGCGUCAACCUGUGUAUAUAAAGGGACGACCCGGCGGCGAUUCAGGACAAGGGACAAGAGAACGAAAGCUAGGUCAAGCGUAAUUGCUCCCUAGUAAUCGAAGCAUAAGAAAUACCACCUCAAACUGGAUUAGGCUUUUACCUUCACCGCAAGGGGCCGAACCAGUAUAAACUCCUUGAGUCCUUUGUCCCGUUUAACCCCUUUAAGCUAACCUAGUUGCGAUGGCUCCAUGACUAAGUCCUUCUGCUAGGACAUCUGCCGUGACGAUUCCACGACAGUUGGCACCCACCAUGGGGCCAGCGCACGGUGGUUUCGAGUUCUUACAGGGCAGCUUUGAAGGGAUCAAGGGAUACGCUAUGGGCCGGAUGACCAAGAGUCGUCGCGACAAGCUCUACAUCGACGAUGCAGGCUGGGGCCCCGAGGCCGGCUCAAUCGAGUACGGGUACCGGGUCCCCUUCGGCGGAAUCCACGUCUUCAUCGGCAAGAUCGGCGAACCGGGCCCUGAGCCGGACAUCUGCACCGACAUCAUCGAGACGGCUCAGCGGGCACGACCCGCCCGGGUUCAUCCCAUCGUGAGCGCGCCUUCGUUGGAUUUAUCCAUGGGGCGGAAUUUGAGGAAGGAUCUAUGUCUGGCGGUGAGACGGCCAUCUACUCCGAUGGUGAAUCGUCCACAGGCGAGACUAAUUCAAUGUAUCAGCUACAAGACGGUCGGCUUGGGGGAUGUUUCGAUGGUGACAGUAUUCCGGACCCCUAUGAGCCGCCGAACAGGGUGGCGAUCUUCAUGGCCGGUACACAGUCGGUACUUGGUUCAAUGACUGCCGCGGCUAUAACCUCUGAUUCAACGGAUGCGGCGAUGGCUGGUGCUGGCGGCUCAACACGCCCACCGGCUCAAGUUUUAAUAGAACUGUUGGAGGCUCUGGCGACUUUGAUGGGGAUAGAGGUAACCCCGGACAACCAGGAACAGCAUAAGGUAGAUGUGGCUAAGCUGCAAGAUGAGAUAGCUCAAGCUAAGGAAGAGCUGGCGGCUGAGAACGCUAGGAUGACUGCGGAGCGGGCUGUUUUGGACGCACAGGCACAGCGGAUUCCUUCCGGCUCACAUCGAUCAGAACGCUUCAAACGAGAUCAUGAGGAGGAGGCACCAGAGUCGUUUGCCCCAGUUUAUGAUGCGAGAAACCUCUUCAAUACGCCUGGAGCGGGGACCAGUAACCCGCCGGAGGUAAACCGGGUGAUGGCAACGCCUGGGGCUGGAGCGUCGGCUCAGCCGCGCACGACAGAUCCACCUUGUUUGAAUACUACCCUGCCGCAGUAUGUGCCGACGCCAUCGGAUCAUUAUUCUAACCCAUUGGAUAAUAUGAUCGCUGCGGCGACACGAUUGGCGGCUCUCCAAGUUGAAGGCGAGUCUCCGGCUGCGAUUGAAACACGGAGGGCUAGAGAACUUCUUCAGACAGCAUUGGUCCAACAGGAGGCCUAUUCUUACAGUCGUGAGAGGAUUCACUCAACCCCUCGCCCGAGUCGGAGUUAUAGCAGGCAUAUAGAUUCACCAGCAGUCUCAAGCAGUGACAGGCGCCGUAACCAGCCUCGUGAGCAUGACCCGGUGCGCAAUGGUGCUAAUGCUCAGGCUUUGGUAGAUCAGGGUAGAGCACGUCGGGAGGCUGAGCUGGCGGCUCAGCAAGUGGCUCAUCAACAUUCUCCGGGUUAUCCGACAACUUUGGUGGAAACAGGUGUGACCUCCAGAACCUUGGGUGUACCAUGUUUAGUGCCGGCUCUACGUAACGUGCGUUUGGAUUUCAAGGGCCCUUGUAAGGUGCCUAACUACAUAGCGGAUCAGCCCCCCUGAAGCUUGGGUUGAAAGUUAUGAGAUGGCAAUGGAGCUGUUGGAUGUUGGCGAUGCUGCAUGUGCUAAAUAUUUCACUAUGAUGUUGGAUGGAACAACUCAUACUUGGUUGAAAGGGUUGCCAGCCAACUCCAUUGGAUCAUGGGCCGAGUUAAAAGCCUGGUUUAUCCAGAAUUAAGACACGUGCAAACAGCCUAUGUCAAUUGUGGAUAUGGACUCAUGUGUCCAAGAAGAGGGCGAGUCAACAACCCAUUGGGUGCGCCGGGUCUCAGCCAUCCUGCACUCAUCAGAUCGUAUCAAUGCCGGUUCAGCAGUUCUAAUGUUGGAGAAAAACUGUCGUUUUAUGCCUCUUAAGCAGAAGCUGGUGCGGCUCAAAUGCCACUGCAUUGACAUAGGGGAGCUCAUGGCGGCUCUGGUCAAGUAUGCCGACUCUAAUAGUACCAAGGACCCUGAGUCUGAUGAGGAAAGGCCGGGUAAGGGAAAGAAGAGUAGCAACACCAAGGGGCAGCAUAACCCGGCGAAUCAGGGGGGCAAUGGUAAGCGCAAGGCUGGUAGUAGUUUGGAUUUUGUGGCUAACACCAACACGCAGAAUAAUGGUCAGCGCCGUAAAGGGAAGCCAAAUCCUUGGUUUGGAGGGCAAAAUUUCAACCUUGUGGAGAUGAUGAAUCAGCCCUGCCCAAAGCAUGGUACACGGGAAAAGCCGGCAGCUCACCUCUGGAAGGAUUGCUUCAUCAUGAGGGAGUACAGAAAUUCAAUUUUUUUCAGAAUAAUCAUGGGCCGGACGGCGGCUCAGGACCCGGCUCUCACGGUCCGGGUUACGGUGGUGGAGGUUCUAGUUCCGGUUUUCAGGGCCAAGGCAAUCAGGGUGGUUUUAAUCAACAGUUUGGUCAGGGGAAUCAGCAGCAGUCUUGUUAUUAGAGUAAUCCGAAGCAGCUGAAUAGUGGGCAGUAUCAUGUCUUCACCACGAGUUUGUGUAAGCGAGAUCAGAAACUCCAUAAGAGAGCAGUAAACGCAGUUGAGCCGGCAAUUCCCCGUUACUUGCGAUGGUCUGAACACCCUAUUCUUUGGAGCCGUGAAGAUCACCCGCCCCGUGUUGAUAACCCGGGUCACCUGGCGCUGGUGGUGGCGCCUCAGGUUGGGGGUACAAAUUCACUAAGGUACUCAUGGAUGGAGGUAGCAGCAUCAAUAUCCUAUACUAUGAUACUUUCCAUCGCAUGGGAUUGACCGACAAAAAUCUUAAGCCGUCGAACACUGUUUUUCACGGUGUGGUAGCUGGUAAGUCGGCAUAUCCAGUGGGCAAAAUAUCUUUAAAGGUUGCCUUUGGAGAUGAGUAUGAUUCCAGGUCUGAGACGUUGACCUUCGAAGUGGUUAAAAUCAAGAGCCCCUAUCAUGCUCUGUUUGGGCGGCCGGCUUACGCUAAAUUCAUGGCAAGGCCUUGUUAUGUUUACUUACAGCUUAAAAUGCCGGGUCACAAGGGCACCAUCACAGUGCAUGGAAGUCGCAAGGUAGCCUUGGAGUGUGAAGAAGGUGAUGCUGCUUAUGCUGAAUCUGUCUGUGCAACAGAGGAAUUGAAAUUUUACAAGGAUAAUGUUGACCCGGCAGAUAUGACAUCUUUGAAGAAACCAACCACAGAGCAUGACCCCUUGUUGAAGUUUAAAUUGGCAGAUGACACUAAGCUAGUUGACUUCGUUCCUGGCGACUCAUCCAAGCAGUUCAGCAUUAGUGCUAAUCUGGAUCCGAAAUAGGAAAGCGCGCUCAUCGAGUUCAUCCGUGAGAACCGGGACAUCUUUGCAUGGAAACCUUCAGACAUGCCAGGUGUACCGAGAGAACUCGCUGAGCACACUCUCAAUAUUGAUCCAAAGUUUAAGCCAAUCAAGCAAUUUCUUUGCCGUUUCAAUGAAGAGAGGCGCAAGGCUAUUGGUGAAGAAGUGGCCCGACUCUUGGCGGCUGGGUUUAUCGUUGAAGUCUUUCAUCCUGAGUGGUUGGCUAACCCGGUGCUGGUACUUCAGAAAAAUGGCACCUGGCGCGUGUGUGUGGACUAUACGGAUUUAAACAAGGCUUGUCCGGCUGAUCCCUUCGCUCUCCCCCGUAUUGAUCAAAUUAUUGCUGCUACGGCGGGUUGUGAGCGUUUGAGUUUUUUGGAUGCUUAUUCUGGUUAUCAUCAGAUCAAGAUGGCAUUUAAGGACCAGGAGAAGACAGCCUUCAUCACUCCCUUUGGAGCCUUCCGUUACGUGUCUAUGACUUUUGGCCUCAAGAGUACCCAAGCGACUUACCAGCGGUGUGUGCAAAAUUGCCUUCAUGAUCAGAUUGGGCGCAAUGUUCGUGCUUAUGUGGAUGAUAUUAUGGUGAAAUCCAGAAAGAAGGAGACCCUGAUAGAUGAUUUGAAGGAGACCUUCGACAAUCUCCGGGCACAAGAUGAUGCUUAACCCGGCCAAGUGCGUCUUUGGUGUGCCAGCAGGCAAGCUCUUGGGUUUUCUGGUUUCAGAAUGAUGUAUUGAAGCUAACCCAGAGAAAAUAAAGGCUAUCACCUCUCUGGCUAAACCGGCGUGUAUCAAUGAUGUUCAGCGUUUGGUAGGUCGUAUUGCAGCCUUAAUCCGGUUCAUAAGCCGGUUGGGUGAGAAGGCCAUCCCUCUUUACUAGAUGAUGAAGAAGACAGAUCACUUUGUUUGGAGUGAUGUUGUUGAUCAAGCGUUUGAGGCCUUGAAGAAACAGUUGGCCGAGCCGCCGGUUCUUGCUGCUCCCAUCGAUAAAGAGCCUUUGUUGUUAUAUAUGGCCACCAAUAGCCGAGCUAUCAGCGUAGCCAUUGUGGUGGAAAGGAAGGAAUUAGGCAAGGAGCAUCCGGUUCAGCGGCCGGUUUACUACAUCAGUGAAGUGCUUAUUGAGUCCAAGCAGAGGUAUCCACAUUGGCAGAAGCUUGUAUAUGGGGUGUUCAUGGCUAGCCGAAAACUCAAGCAGUAUUUUCUGGGUCAUCCUAUCACUGUGGUUAGUUCUGCUCCUUUAGGGGAUAUCAUUCAAAACAGAGAAGCCACUGGUCGGACAGCCAAAUGGGCCAUUGAGCUUGGACCUCAUGGUUUGAAGUAUGUGCCUCGCACAGCCAUCAAGUCGCAAGCACUUGUGGAUUUUAUCAAUGAUUGGACAGAGUUGCAGAUGCCUGAGGAGAAGCCGGAUAGCACAUACUGGACUAUUCACUCUGAUGGAUCCAGGCAGUUGGAGGGCUCGGGGGCUAGAGUUGUCUUGACUUCCCCAUGAGGUGAUAAAUUUUCCUAUGUUCUCCGGUUGAUGUUCCCUUGUACUAACAAUGCAGCUAAGUAUGCGGCCUUGCUCCAUGGUCUUCGGAUGGCUAAGGAGAUGAACUUAAGCCGGGUGAGGUAUUUUGGCGACUCAGAUCUAGUAGCUCAACAAGUUUCUGGCACUUGGGAUUCCAAGGAUCCACUCUUGGCGGCUUAUCACCGAGAAGUUGAUGUUAUCGCUGGUCACUUCAAAGGUUAUGAAGUUGAACUUGUUGAUCGCAGGAAAAAUGAGGCGGCUGAUGCUUUGAGCCAGUUAGGGUCCCAGCGUAAGCCGGUGCCACCUAACACUUUCCUGGAUAUUCUGCAUAACCCUUCGGUCAAAUUGCCUAUAGAGGAAGAUCUAGCUAUUCCUGACCCGGAAGCACAGUUGGUAGCAGCUCUUCAUGUUAUUCCUGAUUGGAUGGUUCCAUAUUUGGCUUAUAUGACCCGGGGCGAGUUACCUGAAGAUGAAACUUUGGCCAGGUAGAUAACCCGGCGGUCUAAGUCAAUGACUAUUGUCAAUGGAGAGUUGCGUUAUCGCAGUGUCACAGGGGCAUUUCAACGUUGCAUUUCUCCUGAGGAAGGUUGUGAGAUUCUACGAGAGAUUCAUGAAGGAGAUUAUGGUCAUCAUGCCGGCUCUAAGUCUCUUGUAGCCAAGGCUUUCCGUCAUGGGUUUUAUUGGCUGACGGAUCAUGCUGAUGCAGAAGAUUUGGUCAAUAAAUGUGACGGUUGUCAGAAAUUUUCACGAUGAGCUCAUGUGCCAGCUCAAGAAUUGAGGAUGAUUCCAAUUGCUUGGCCAUUUGCAGUUUGGGGGCUUGAUAUGGUUGGGCCUUUCAAAAGAUCCAAAGAUAAAAAGACCCGCCUUUUGGUGGCGGUUGACAAGUUUACAAAGUGGGUUGAAGCAGAGCCGGUUAGUAAGUGUGACACGGUGAUGGCGGUGCAAUUCAUCAAAAAGGUGAUUUUCCGUUUUGGCUUUCCCCAUAGCAUUAUAACUGAUAAUGGACUAAUCUGUCCAAGGGUGCUAUGAAAGAAUUUUGUCAACGUGAGCAUAUCCGACUUGACGUAUCAUCAGUGGCUCACCCCCAGUCCAAUGGUCAAGCUGAGAGAGACAAUCAAGAGAUUUUGAGAGGCAUCAAGCCCCGGCUUAUGGUUCCUUUACAGAGGACGCCGGGUUGUUGGGUGGAGGAGUUACCCUCAGUGUUAUGGAGUAUCAAUACUACCCCCAACAGAUCUACGGGUUACACGCCUUUCUUCAUGGUUUACGGAGCAGAGGCGGUUCUCCCUAGUGACAUCCGUCAUGAUUCGCCUCGUGUGGCGGCUUAUGUUGAAGCUGGUAAUGAAAGAGCACGUCAGGAUGCACUUGACCUAUUGGAUGAGGAGCGUGACCUUGCAGCGGCUCGUUCGGCGAUUUACCAACAAGAUUUGCGUCGUUAUCACAGCUGCCGGGUUAAAACCAGAACCUUUCAAGAUGGCGACUUGGUGCUCCGGCUUAUCCAGGAUCAGACUGAUAUGCAUAAACUAUCCCCACCUUGGGAAGAGCCUUUUGUGGUCAGCAAAAAUCUGAACAAUGGGUCAUACUACCUUAUCGAUGUUCGAGGCCACAAGGACUCAUGCACGUCAGAGGAGGAGACCCGCUGGCCGUGGAAUAUUGCUCAUCUUCGGCCUUACUAUACUUGAGCCUCCGGCUCUGGUGAUGUACAUAUUUUGACAGUGUAUAUAUUAUGAUGAAUAUAAUAAAGCCGGCACCCCUGAUAAUUCAGGGCCUCUGUCGUUUCGUUUUGAGAAUAAUGAGUCUUUAUUGUCAUAUCAUAUGGUCACUUGGGGGCUUCCUGCUCAUCAAGCAUAGCUAUGACUACCCUCUUGAUCCGGCUUGUACGCCAUGAUUACUAAAUACUUGGGGGCUUCCUGCUCAUUGAGCAUAGCUGUGAUUACCCUAUUCAUCCGGCUUGUACGCCUGGAAUGAAAUAUUACUUGGGGGCUCUUUGUUCAACGGACAAGAGUUUUUUGACCCUUGUAAUAGGCUUGGAAGCCAGGUGUAUUCACCUCAAAACCUGGGUUAUCCUGCCUUUUAAGUCUGCCACUUCGCCCAGAUUGACUGGAAUGACUCGCCGUACUUUUGACAAGUUAAUCUUAUACAGACCCUGAACUUGUCAAAGUUAAAACGAUGAUUGGUCAUGUGAGGCCCGACUUAUAAGGUUGAGUGAAGGUUUAACUCAGUGGUUGUCCAUCCCUUUGAACGCACUUGAUUUGAAGGUUUGGCAGCCUAUGAAAGCCUUGUUUUUGUCUUUUGAUUUAUAUUUGAUUUGAACAUUUUUUGCGGUUCAUCUUUUGUGACAUGUUAAUGCAUGAUGGAAAACCAAUGAGGGCUAUGAUGUCUUAGGAUUCACAUAUGAAUCUAUCUGGAGUUUGUUAACCCGGCCUGGCUUUGGACUAUGAGUCACCAGUGUAUAAUGAUCUAAUACACUUAGAAGCGUUGUGCUCUAAGUUUUGGGAUAUUAAUCCUUGCUGCAUACGGUGUGGUAAGCUGGCAGUAUAUGUCAAUUGAACAAGGCAUUGUGCGCUCAAUCUUUUGGGUGGUAACCCUCACUGAACAGGUAUGAUAAGCCGGCAGUAUGAGCAAAUAUCACAGGUAUGAUAUUUUGUUAUAAGUAUAUAAGGUUAUUGAUACAUCUCAAUGUAUCUAUAAUUUUUUAUUGUUCCAUGCUAUAUUAUAUUCUGUUUUGGAUGUUUAAUGGGCUUUAUUAUACACUUUUAUAUUAUUUUUGGGACUAACCUAUUAACCGGAGGCCCAGCCCAAAUUGUUGUUUUUUGCCUAUUUUAGUGUUUCGCAGAAAAAGAAUAUCAAACGGAGUCCAAACAGAAUGAAACCUUCGGGAACAUGAUUUUCGGAACAAACGUGAUCCAGAGGACUUGGAGUGGACGUCAAGCAACACACGAGGAAGCCACGAGGUAGGGGGGCACGCCUACCCCCCUGGGUGCGCCCUCCACCCUCGUGGGCCCCUUGUGGCUCCACCGACCUACUUCUUCCUCCUAUAUAUACCUACGUACCCCCAAACCAUCGAGGAGCACCACGAAAACCUAAUUCCACCGCCGCAACCUUCUGUACCCGUGAGAUCCCAUCUUGGGGCCUUUCCCGGCGUCCUGCCGGAGGGGGCAUUGAUCACGGAGGGCUUCUACAUCAACACCAUAGCCUCUCUGAUGAUGUGUGAGUAGUUUACCUCAGACCUUCGGGUCCAUAGUUAUUAGCUAGAUGGCUUCUUCUCUCUCUUUGGAUCUCAAUACAAAGUUCUCCUCGAUUCUCUUGGAGAUCUAUUUGAUGUAACUCUUCUUUUGCGGUGUGUUUGUCGAGAUCCGAUGAAUUGUGGGUUUAUGAUCAAGAUUAUCUAUGAAAAAUAUUUGAAUCUCCUCUCAAUUCUUUUAUGUAUGAUUGGUUAUCUUUGCAAGUCUCUUCGAAUUAUCAGUUUGGUUUGGCCUACUAGAUUGAUCUUUCUUGCAAUGGGAGAAGUGCUUAGCUUUGCGUUCAAUCUUGCGGUGUCCUUUCCCAGUGACAGCAGGGGCAGCAAGGCACGUAUUGUAUUGUUGCCAUCGAGGAUAAAAAGAUGGGGUUUAUAUCAUAUUGCAUGAGUUUAUCCCUCUACAUCAUGUCAUCUUGCUUAAAGCGUUACUCUGUUCUUAUGAACUUCAUACUCUAGAUGCAUGCUGGAUAGCGGUCGAUGUGUGGAGUAAUAGUAGUAGAUGCAGAAUCGUUUCGGUCUACUUGUCACAGACGUGAUGCCUAUAUACAUGAUCAUACCUAGAUAUUCUCAUAACUAUGCUCAAUUCUAUCAAUUGCUCGACAGUAAUUCGUUUACCCACCGUAAUACUUAUGCUAUCUUGAGAGAAGCCACUAGUGAAACCUAUGGCCCCCGGGUCUAUUUUCCAUCAUACUAAUCUUCCGUCAACAAGUUAUUUCUAUUACCGUUUAUUUUGCUUUCUUUACUUUUAGUCUUUAUCAUAAAAAUACCAAAAAUAUUAUCUUAUCAUCUCUAUCAGAUCUCACUCUCAUAAGUGACCGUGAAGGGAUUGACAACCCCUUUAUCGCGUUGGUUGCGAGGUUCUUAUUUGUUUGUGUAGGUGCAUGGGACUUGAGCGUGGCCUCCUACUGGAUUGAUAGCUUGGUUCUCAAAACUGAGGGAAAUACUUAUGCUACUUUGCUGCAUCACCCUUUCCUCUUCAAGGGAAAACCAACGCGGUGCUCAAGAAGUAGCAAGAAGGAUUUCUGGCGCCGUUGCCGGGGAGUCUACGCACAAGUCAAGACAUACCAAGUACCCAUCAAAAACUCUUAUCCCUCGCAUUACAUUAUUCGCCAUUUGCCUCUCGUUUUCCUCUCCCCCACUUCACCUUUGCCGUUUUAUUCGCCCUCUUUUCCAUUCGCCUCUUUUUCGCUUGCCUCUUGUUUGCUUGUGUGUUGGAUUGCUUGCUUGUCCCGAUGGAUCUACCUAGAUUUGGUGAUCUUCACCUUAAAAGGUUAGAAGAGAUCGAAAGCAACGUCAGGAGUUUUAUGACUUUACAAUUUGAGCAUAAUAAUUUCUUUAGAAACAAGCUGAAGGAACAAAAAAGCUUUAUGGGAUACAUGAAUAAAGAGCUCGAUGACAUGUCUAAGGAAUUUUAUGGUUUGAAAUUUCAGAUUGCUCAUCUCAAAAACUUAAUAGCUGAAAUUUCGGAUAAGCAGACCACCUUAGUUAAUAAGAUGGCCACUAAAUCGGAAAAAUUUUAUGAGAAUAAAGAUGAAGAUCUAAAAUAUAUUGAUGUGUCCCUAUUAAAUCUUUGUUUUGCAAUAUGAAUCUUGAUAAUGAUGGGACUGAAAAUGAGUCAACUUUAGUUAGAAGGCGUUCCAAAAAUUCGGAGUUUUUAGAUCUUGAUGCAAAAAUUGGUAAAAGUGGGAUUGAAGAGGUCAAAAAUUUAGAUACCAAUGAACCCACUAUUUUGAUUUCAAGGAAUUUAAUUAUGAUAAUUGCUCUUUGAUAGAUUGUAUUUCCUUGUUGCAAUCCGUGCUAAAUUUGCCUCAUGCUUAUAGUCAAAAUAAAGCUUUUACUAAACAUAUUGUUGAUGCUUUAAUGCAAUCUUAUGAAGAAAAACUUGAGUUGGAAGUUUCUAACCCUAGAAAACUUUAUGAUGAAUGGGAACCUACUAUUUAAAUUAAAAUUAAAGAUCAUGAAUACUAUGCUUUGUGUGAUUUGGGUGCUAGUGUUUCCACGAUUCCAAAAACUUUGUGUGAUUUGUUAGGUUUCCGUGAAUUUGAUGAUUGUUCUUUAAACUUGCACCUUGCGGAUUCCACUAUUAAGAAACCUAUGGUAAGAAUUAAUGAUGUUCUUAUUGUUGCAAAUAGGAACUAUGUGCCCGUAGAUUUUAUUGUUCUUGAUAUAGAUUGCAAUCCUUCAUGUCCUAUUAUUCUUGGUAGACCUUUCCUUAGAACGAUUGGUGCAAUUAUUGAUAUGAAGGAAGGAAAUAUUAGAUUCCAAUUUCUGUUAAGGAAAGGCAUGGAACACUUUCCUAGAAAGAAGAUAAAAUUACCUUAUGAAUCUAUUAUGAGAGCCACUUAUGGAUUGCCUACCAAAGAUGGCAAUACCUAGAUCUACCCUCGCUUCUAUGCCUAGCUAGGGGCGUUAAACGAUAGCACUUGUUGGGAGGCAACCCAAUUUUUAUUUUAGUUUUUUGCUUUUUGCUCCUGUUUAGGAUUAAAUCUUUGAUCUAGCCUCUGGUUAGAUGUGUUUUUGUGUUUUAAUUAGUGUUUGUGCCAAGUUAAACCUAUAGGAUCUUCUUGGAUGAUAGUUAUUUUAUCUUGCUGAAAAUUCCAGAAACUUUCUGUUCAUGAAAACAAUUGUUAAAAAUCACCAGAACGUGAUAAAAUACCGAUUCCAAUUGCAGAAGAUCAAUAAACAAAUUAUCUAGGUCUUCCUAUUUUGGAAGAUAUUUUUGAGUUCCAGAAGUUUGCGUUAGUUACAGAUUACUACAGACUGUUCUGUUUUUGACAAAUUCUGUUUUUCGCGUGUUGUUUGCUUAUUUUGAUGAAUCUAUGGCUAGUAAAAUAGUUUAUAAACCAUAGAGAAGUUGGAAUACAGUAGGUUUAACACCAAUAUAAAUAAAGAAUGAGUUCAAUACAGUACCUUGAAGUGGUGUUUUGUUUUCUUUCGCUAACGGAGGUCACGAGAUUUUCUGUUAAGUUUUGUGUUGUGAAGUUUUCAAGUUUUGGGUAAAGAUUUGAUGGAUUAUGGAACAAGGAGUGGCAAGAUCCUAAGCUUGGGGAUGCCCAAGGCACCCCAAGGUAAAUCUAAGGACACCAAAAAGGCAAAGCUUGGGGAUGCCCCGGAAGGCAUCCCCUCUUUUGUCUUCGUCCAUCGGUAACUUUACUUGGAGCUAUAUUUUUAUUCACAACAUGAUAAGUGUUUUGCUUGGAGCCUCUUGUAUUAUUUGAGUCUUUGCUUUUUAGUUUACCACAAUCAUCUUCGCUGUACACACCUUUUGAGAGAGGCACACAUGAUUCGGAAUUUAUUAGAAUACUCUAUGUGCUUCACUUAUAUCUUUUGAGCUAUAUAGUUUUUGCUCUAGUGCUUCACUUAUAUCUUUUAGAGCACGGUGGUGGUUUUGUUUAUAGAAACUAUUGUUCUCUCAUGCUUCACUUAUAUCAUUUAGAGAGCACUACAAAACAGCAUGGUAAUUUUCUUAAAUUGAGAAAUUAGUCCUAAUAUGAUAGGCAUCCAAGAUUAGUAAAAACUUUCUUAUAAGUGCGUUGAAUACUAAGAAAAUUUUGAUGCUUGAUGAUUGUUUUGAGAUAUGGAGGUAGUGAUAUUAAAGUUGUGCUAGUUGAGUAGUUGUGAAUUUGAAAAAUACUUGUGUUGAAGUUUGCAAGUCCCGUAGCAUGCACGUAUGGUAAACGUUGUGUAACAAAUUUGAAACAUGAGGUGUUCUUUGAUUGUCCUCCUUAUGAGUGGCGGUCGGGGACGAGCGAUGGUAUUUUCCUAUCAAUCUAUCCCCCUAGGAGCAUGUGUGUAAUGCUUGGUCUUUGAUGACUUGUAGAUUUUUGCAAUAAGUAUGUGAGUUCUUUAUGACUAAUGUUGAGUCCAUGGAUUAUACGCACUCUCACCCUUCCAUCAUUGCUAGCCUCUUCGGUACCGUGCAUUGCCCUUUCUCACCUUGAGAGUUGGUGCAAACUUCGCCGGUGCAUCCAAACCCCGUGAUACGAUACGCUCUAUCGCACAUAAACCUCCUAAUAUCUUCCUCAAAACAGCCACCAUACCUACCUAUUAUGGCAUUUUCAUAGCCAUUCCGAGAUAUAUUGCCAUGCAACUUUCCACCGUUCCGUUUAUCAUGACACGUUUCAUCAUUGUCAUAUUGCCUUGCAUGAUCAUGUAGUUGACAUCGUAUUUGUGGCAAAGCCACCAUGCAUAUUUUUCAUACAUGUCACUCUUGAUUCAUUUCCCAUCCCGGUACACCGCCGGAGGCAUUCAUAUAGAGUCAUACUUUGUUCUAGUUUCGAGUUGUAAUCAUUGAGUUGUAAAUACUUGAUUCAUUGCCCAUCCCGCAACCUUCUGUACCCGUGAGAUCCCAUCUUGGGGCCUUUUCCGGCGUCCUGCCGGAGGGGGCAUUGAUCACGGAGGGCUUCUACAUCAACACCAUAGCCUCUCUGAUGAUGUGUGAGUAGUUUACCUCAGACCUUCGGGUCCAUAGUUAUUAGCUAGAUGGCUUCUUCUCUCUCUUUGGAUCUCAAUACAAAGUUCUCCUCGAUUCUCUAGGAGAUCUAUUUGAUGUAACUCUUCUUUUGCGGUGUGUUUGUCGAGAUCCGAUGAAUUGUGGGUUUAUGAUCAAGAUUAUCUAUGAAAAAUAUUUGAAUCUCCUCUCAAUUCUUUUAUGUAUGAUUGGUUAUCUUUGCAAGUCUCUUCGAAUUAUCAGUUUGGUUUGGCCUACUAGAUUGAUCUUUCUUGCAAUGGGAGAAGUGCUUAGCUUUGCGUUCAAUCUUGCGGUGUCCUUUCCCAGUGACAGCAGGGGCAGCAAGGCACGUAUUGUAUUGUCGCCAUCGAGGAUAAAAAUAUGGGGUUUAUAUCAUAUUGCAUGAGUUUAUCCCUCUACAUCAUGUCAUCUUGCUUAAAGCGUUACUCUGUUCUUAUGAACUUCAUACUCUAGAUGCAUGCUGGAUAGCGGUCGAUGUGUGGAGUAAUAGUAGUAGAUGCAGAAUCGUUUCGGUCUACUUGUCACAGACGUGAUGCCUAUAUACAUGAUCAUACCUAGAUAUUCUCAUAACUAUGCUCAAUUCUAUCAAUUGCUCGACAGUAAUUCGUUUACCCACCGUAAUACUUAUGCUAUCUUGAGAGAAGCCACUAGUGAAACCUAUGGCCCCCGGGUCUAUUUUCCAUCAUACUAAUCUUCCGUCAACAAGUUAUUUCUAUUACCGUUUAUUUUGCUUUCUUUACUUUUAGUCUUUAUCAUAAAAAUACCAAAAAUAUUAUCUUAUCAUCUCUAUCAGAUCUCACUCUCAUAAGUGACCGUGAAGGGAUUGACAACCCCUUUAUCGCGUUGGUUGUGAGGUUCUUAUUUGUUUGUGUAGGUGCAUGGGACUUGAGCGUGGCCUCCUACUGGAUUGAUAGCUUGGUUCUCAAAACUGAGGGAAAUACUUAUGCUACUUUGCUGCAUCACCCUUUCCUCUUCAAGGGAAAACCAACGCAGUGCUCAAGAAGUAGCAAGAAGGAUUUCUGGCGCCGUUGCCGGGGAGUCUACGCACAAGUCAAGACAUACCAAGUACCCAUCAAAAACUCUUAUCCCUCGCAUUACAUUAUUCGCCAUUUGCCUCUCGUUUUCCUCUCCCCCACUUCACCUUUGCCGUUUUAUUCGCCCUCUUUUCCAUUCGCCUCUUUUUCACUUGCCUCUUGUUUGCUUGUGUGUUGGAUUGCUUGCUUGUCCCGAUGGAUCUACCUAGAUUUGGUGAUCUUCACCUUAAAAGGUUAGAAGAGAUUGAAAGCAACGUCAGGAGUUUUAUGACUUUACAAUUUGAGAAUAAUAAUUUCUUUAGAAACGAGCUGAAGGAACAAAAAAGCUUUAUGGGAUACAUGAAUAAAGAGCUCGAUGACAUGUCUAAGGAAUUUUAUGGUUUGAAAUCUCAGAUUGCUCAUCUCAAAAAAUUAAUAGCUGAAAUUUCGGAUAAGCAGACCACCUUAGUUAAUAAGAUGGCCGCUAAAUCGGAAUUUUUUUAUGAGAAUAAAGAUGAAGAUCUAAAAUAUAUUGAUGUGUCCCCUAUUAAAUCUUUGUUUUGCAAUAUGAAUCUUGAUAAUGAUGGGACUGAAAAUGAGUCAACUUUAGUUAGAAGGCGUUCCAAAAAUUCUCAUAACUAUGCUCAAUUCUAUCAAUUGCUCGACAGUAAUUUGUUUACCCACCGUAAUACUUAUGCUAUCUUGAGAGAAGCCACUAGUGAAACCUAUGGCCCCCGGGUCUAUUUUCCAUCAUAUUAAUCUUCCGUCAACAAGUUAUUUCUAUUACCGUUUAUUUUGCUUUCUUUACUUUUAGUCUUUACCAUAAAAAUACCAAAAAUAUUAUCUUAUCAUCUCUAUCAGAUCUCACUCUCGUAAGUGACCAAGAAGGGAUUGACAACCCCUUUAUCGCGUUGGUUGCGAGGUUCUUAUUUGUUUGUGUAGGUGCGUGGGACUUGAGCGUGGCCUCCUGCUGGAUUGAUACCUUGGUUCUCAAAACUGAGGGAAAUACUUACGCUACUUUGCUGCAUCACCCUUUCCUCUUCAAGGGAAAACCAACGCAGUGCUCAAGAGGUAGCAGUUAUGAUUGAACCGGCCCUAGUUAUGGAUUGUUAGUCACCAAUGGUUUUUAUAUAGGGUGUUGUGACCCGCCCUGGGGUAAACCGCCAGGGUACUUGUGAUCUGUUUUGUGUGCAGGUAAAAUACUAAAUCUAGCAUACAGAGUUGAUGUCAUCAUAAGCAUAAGUGGCCGAACUUCAAUUGGUAAAGCAGCAGUGUCAUGCAAAGCAAAACAUGCACGAUGGCACAGAAGAUCAAAAUUUUAACUAGCCUAUUACAAGGCAUCUGAUGGCCCAAGGAGAAUAAGUAUUUCGGAGCUGUCAACACAGCAAAGUAUUCUGCUUAAUAAACCGGCUUAUGACUAUUGGCGGGUUGAAGCCUCCGGGUCUUCCUUCACCUCUUCUUCAUCUGCAGCUCCUUGCUUAUCCAUCAGCUGGAAGUCAGGCGCAGCCCAGUUGAUACCGGUCAAUGCUCUAAACACAGCUUCAUCAUCAAUAAGAUUGGAUGGAUCAAUGUCAGGAGCGAAGGUGUGCUUACGAAUUAGCGGGCUGAGAUCUUUUGGCUCGUGAAUCGGCGCGCUCACUCUCUUGUUUUCAGCGUCAUAAGCCGACUGGUAUGUAGAUAGACUGGUUUCGUCAGCACUGAAGGCAGAUCCGUCUUCUUUGACACUAGGGCAGCCGUUGGCCAAAUCCUCCGGGUCAAGAUCGGCUUGCCAUGCCUUUUCCCGCCUUAAGGCAGUCGAGGCGCCGGCUCUGGCAGCUCCCCAUUUUAAGUCAUCAAUUCUUUUGGGAAGCACGGAUAACUGCUUCAGUGUAUCUUUGAUAAGUGUGGAGGGAGUUUUCUUGUGCAGCGUAGUAGCAAUGGUUCGUUGGGCACCAGUAUAUAACUGUUCUACAAGAGUGUAGACAGCCUUAAGCCGGACGUGCAUGUCUGAGCCCAACUUUGCACUCCGUGAACCUAUAUCAGUAAAAUUAUGAGUAAGUCGGCAGAUAUUCACAAUGUGAUUCUUGAGGUACAAAGGAGACAUGUUUUUCUACUUACCAAAGAUGGCUGACGACAUGAUAUUAAUAUGUUGCUUUAAGCCGGAUAACUCUUCAGUCACCGUCUUAAGUGCCGCUUCAGCAUCAUCUGUUCUCUUCAAUAGAGCCGCCUUCUCAGUUUCCCAGCCAUCUUUUUCAGCAUUGAAAUUUUGCUUCAGUUGUUCAAUAUUCUCCAAAGCAGUUUUUAAUUCUGUUUUGGCUUUGGAUGUCCCGGCUUGCUGAGUUUUCACACUGGCCUUCAGAUCAUUCAGCCGUGCAUCCUUUUCGGUCAGUUCAGCCUGUGAUAUAUGCAAACAUGAAAGGUGUUAUGAUCAUGAUGAUUUGUGAAGUCCCAAGCACAAUACAAGUAUUAUACUUGGCACUUGGGGGCUAAUGCCCCCUCCUUCUUAUUCUUCCUUGGCCUCCUCCCUAGAUGGGAGGAGAGUUCCCCCUCUGGUCCAUGGCCUCCAUGGGGGCGGAGGGGCGGGAUCCCCUCCAAGAUUGGAUCUCCCUCUCUGUUCUCUUCUGUUUCACGUUCCCCAGAUCUGGCCCUUCACCGUUUCUUAAAUUCCCGAAGAUCCAUAACUCCAAUUGCGCUUAAAUUUUUACACGAUUUUUUUUCAUAAACUAUCUUUCUUGCGCCAGAAGAAGGGCCCCAACCGCCUUACGGGCACAAGACACCUGGGCGCGCCAGGGGUGCCUGGCGCGCCCUGGUGGGUUGUGGAGGCCGUGGGCCUCCGUUAGCGUUGAUUCCAAGUCCCAAAAAUAAAAUAUAUUCCAAAAUAUAUCUCCGUAAAUUUUUAUCGCGUUUGGACUUUGUUUGAUAUGGAUUUUCUGCAAAAAAAAACAUGCGACAAAUAGGAACUGACACUAGGCACUGGAUCAAUAUGUUAGUCCAAAUAAAUCAUAUAAAAUGUUGCCAAAAGUUUAUAAAAGUUGUAUAAUAUUGGCAUGAAACAAUCAAAAAUUAUAGAUACGACGGAGACGUAUCAGCAUCCCCAAGCUUAAUUCCUGCUCGUCCUCGAGUAGGUAAAUGAUAAAAAAGAUAUUUUUUAUAUGGAAUGCUACCUAGCAUAAACUUGAUCAUAUAUCUAAUCAUGACAUGAAUAUUAAGACAUAAGUGAUUCAAAGCAAUAGUCUAUAAUUUGACAUAAAGACAUCAACACUCAGGCAUCCCAACAAACAUUCAUGUCUUUCAAAAUAUCAACGCUAAAGAAAGCUAUCCCUACAAAAUUAUAUUGUCUUGUCAUGCUCUGUCUUCUUAACACAAAGUAUUUCUCAUGCACAACCCCGAUGACAAGCCGAGCAAUUGGUUCAUACUUUUUAACACGCUUCAGCUUUUUCAAACCUCAUAUAAUACAUGAGCGCAAGCCAUGGAUAUAGCACUAUGGGUGGAAUAGAGUAUGAUGAUAGGGGUAAAUAUAGAGAAGACAAAAAAGUAAGAAAGUCUCACAUCGAUGCGGCUAACCAACGGGCUAUGGAGAUGCCCAUCAAUUGAUAUCAAUGCGAGGAGUAGGGAUUUCCAUGCAAUGGAUGCACUAAGAGCUAUAAGUGUAUGAAAGCUCAAUAUAACAACUAAGUGGGUGUGCAACUAAUCCUAUGAUGAAAAAUUCCCACUACUAUAUGAAAGUGACAACAUAGGAGACUCUCCAUAUGAAAAACAUGGUGUUACUUUGAAGCACAAGUGUGGAACUAGCAUGCCCCUUCUCCCUUUAUUUAUUCUUUCUUUCUUUCUUUUUUUUCUUUCUUUUUUCUUUCUUUUUUUCCUUUAUUUUUUUCUUUUCUUUUCUUUUUUAUAUAUUUUUUCUCUCAUUGUCCGGAGUCUCAUCCCGACUUGUGGGGGAAUCAUAGUCUCCGUCAUCCUUUCCUCACCGGGGCAAUGCUCUAAAAAUGAAUAAUGAUGAUCAUCACACUUCUAUUUACUUACAACUCAAUAGAAAUGAAAAUUACAACUCGAUACCUAUAACAAAGAAUGACUCUAUAUGAAUGCCUUUGGCAGUGUACCAGGAUGUGCAAUGAUCUAGCAUAACAACGAUAUCAAAAAACGGACAAGCCAUGUAAAUAACAUGCUAGCUAUCUUACGAUCAUGCAAAGUAGUAUGACAAUGAAUGCUCAAGUCAUCAAAAUGUAAACGGUGGACGUUGCAUGGCAAUAUAUCUCGGAAUGGCUAUGGAAAGGCCAUAAUAGGUAGGUAUGGUGGUUGUUUUGAGGAAGAUAUAAUAAAGCUUAUGUGUGAUAGAGCGUAUCAUAUCACGGGGUUUGGAUGCACAUGCGAAGUUUGCGCUGACUCUCGAGAUGAGAAAGGGAAAUGCACGGUAUCGUAGAGGCUAGCAAAUUGUGAAAAGAUAACAGUGCGUAUAAUCCAUGGACUCACAUUAGUCAUAAAGAACUCAUAUAAUUAUUGCAAAAGUUUAUGAGCCCUCGAAGCAAAUUACUACUACGCAUGCCCCUAGGGGGGUAGAUUGGUAGGAAAAGACCAUGGCUUGUCCCCGACCGCCACUCAUAAGGAAAACAAUCAAUAAUAAAUCAUGCUCCAACUUCAUAGCAUAACGAGAGACUAUACGUGCAUGCUUCGGGAAUCACAAACCUUAAUACCAAUAUCUUACUAACCACAACUGUUUACUAGUACCUCCCACAUAUUUCAUCUCUAUAUCGCAAAACUAUUGUAAGGAAUCAAACAUAUCAUAUUCAGUGAUCCACAAGUUUUAUGUAGGAUUUUAUGACUAACCAUGCAAUCGACCAAUUCCUGUUGACUCUCUAAAUAGAUCUAAGUGAGGCAUGAGAGUUUAAUUCUUUCUACAAAAGAUCAUGCUCUAAUAAAUAUAAGUGAAGCAAAAGAGCAUUCUACAAACAACGAUUUUCUAUAUGAAGAGAAACAGGCAAUCCAAACUUCAAAUGGUAUAAGUGAAGCACAUAAAGUAUUCUAUAAAGCCAUACUCAAAAGAUAUAAGUGAAGUGCAAUGAGCAUUCUAUAAAUCAACCAUGCACUAUCUCAUACCAGCAUGGUGCAUAAAAGAAAAAUGAAAACUAAGUGCAAAAGACGCUCCAAGAUUUAAGCAUAUCACGUGAACGAAACGAAGAUGAAAACAUACUGAUAGUUGUUGAAGAAAGAUGGGAUGCCUACCGGGGCAUCCCCAAGCUUAGACGCUUGAGUCUCCUUGAAUAUUUACUUGGGGUGCCUUGGGCAUCCCCAAGCUUGAGCUCUUGCCUCUCCUCCUUCUCCUCAUAUCGAUAACUCCUCGAUCUUUGAUCACUUCAUCCACACAAAACUCAACAGAAAGCUUGGUAAAAUCCGUUAGUAUAAUAAAGCAAAUCACUACUCUAAGUACUAUUGCAAAUCAAUUCAUAUUUUGUUUUUGCAUUGUAUCUACUAUAAUAUAACUUUUUCAUGGCUUAUUCCACUGAUAGAAUCGAUAGUUUUAUUAAAACAAGCAAAACAAUGCAUCAAAAACAGAAUCUGUCUUAAACAGGGCAGUCUGUAGUAAUCUGAACAUUCACCAUACUUCUGGUACUCCAAAAAUUCUGAAAAAUUAGGACAAAAUAAACAAUUUGUAUAUCAAGACUGUGCAAAAUGUUUCAGAAACUUUCGACGUUCCAGUAAAAAAUGUAAAAUCGCGCACUACAGCCAAAGUUUCUGUUUUUGCACCGCACAUACCAACAAGCAAUCUACUCAUCCUAAAGGCAAAUCUUGGCACAUUAUUUUUAUAAUACAAUGGAAUUGUACAAGGGGAUAAUUAUUUUUUUGAGAAUCUUCAUGAAAAAUUCUACAUUAUUUCCAUAAGCAUGAACACAAGUAUUCAAGGUCGACCCUCACUUCUCCAAUGCAUAACUUCCAAUCGCUUCUCUUUUGUGAAAAUGUUUUUAAGUUCCCAUCUAUAUCUUUUUUGUUUUAAAACUUUAUAAAAGCACCCAACAGAAAUAAAUGACUCUCUAAAACUUCCGGGUUGUCUCCCUAGCAGCGCUUUCUUUAAAGCCAUUAAGCUAGGCAUAAAGUGCUCAAGUAAUGAAUCCACCCGGAUCCCAAGGUAUAUCAAAGCUAAUUUUAAUUAACAAUGAUUUGGCAUUUAGUAAUGAGCACAAAGCAACAUAUAUCAUGCAAUGACGAAGUCUAACUCUCUUCCUAUGCAUCGGCAUGUCAUACAAGAACAAUUCAUGCACAUCAAGUAAAGGCCAAUACAUAGCAUAAAAAGUUUCUUGUAAUUCUUUCGUGUUGGAAACAUAGAGAGGCGGAGAUGUAAUUCCUCACUCAUAAUAAUUGCAAGUAGGAGCAGCAAUCACAUGCAUAUUAUAUUCAUGAAAAUCAUCAUGUGUAGUGGUAGAAUGCAACCCAUCAAUGUAAUCCUUAAUAAGAGCAAACUUCUCCGAUAUAGUGUAGUUUGGAGAAUUCAAAAAGAUAAUAGGACUAUCAUGUGUGGGUGCAAUAGCAACAAUUUCAUUCUCAACAAAAGGAACUAUAGCAAGUUCGUCUGCAUAAGCAUAAUCCAUAUUGGCAUCAUGGCCACAAGCAUAGCAAUCAUCAAGUUCAUCAAAAAGGGAUAUUUCAAAAGAAUCAACGAGAUCAUAGCAAUUAUCAUAGCAUUCAUCCUUCGGUGAGAACGAAGGGAAAUUAAAUAAUGUAUGUGUUGAAGAGUUACUCUCAUUAGAAGGUGGGCACGGGUAGCUAAUCCGCUCUUCUUCCUUUUGUUCUUCGCUCUCCUCAUCGUCUUUUUCAUCCAAUGAGCUCGCAGUUUCAUCAAUUUCUUCUUCCAUAGACUCCUGCAAAAUAUUAGUCUACUCUUGGAUAACGGAGACUUUCUCAAUAAAUUCAUCAAUAUCUGAAUUGUAUUUAUAAUUAUCAUAGCAAUAUUUAAGGAUAGCAAAAUUUUCAGGUCUAUAAACUGAAUCAUCAAAAUCUUCAAACUUUAAAAACAAAGAUUCAAUUUCAUAAGCACCCUUAAGAGCAACCAAUUCUUCUAUUCGUUCCACAUCAUAGUAAUCAUAUAUACCAUUAGCAUAGAAAGCUAAGGUUUCAUUAUCAUUAAAUUUGCAUGAAAAAGGAAGAUGUGGAGCGUUCAUCCUAGAGCAAAAAGUAUAAUCCUAUCUCAAGCAUAGCUCCCGAGCAUACCAAUGCAACAUAUGAAUUUCAUCCCAUAAAAAUUUCCCUUUAUGAGUUAAGCGAUAAUCCCUAAAGUAUUCGCGUUGAUCCAACGUUACUCCCAUUAUAUAGUUGAAUGGGGUUUUCUCACGAUUAUCAAAGUAGUGCAUAAUAUCUUCCACAUAACGAGCAUUGAGGGUUUUAGGAGGUUCCCCAUCUCCAUGAGUAGCAAGUACAACUAAUUUUUUUGGUGUUUCGUGUUCCAUAUCCAUAACUAAAGAUAGAGAACAACUUAGAACAGAAAAUAAAACUACUUAGUGAUAAAGCAAACAAGCACACACGAGAAUAUUCACCCCCACGCUAUUGCUCCCCGGCAACGGCGCCAGAAAAAGGUCUUGAUAACCCACAAGUAUAGGGGAUCAUUUGUAGCCUUCUUCGAUAAAUAAGAGUGUCGAACCCAACAAGGAACCCUAGGAAAUCGAUAACAAGUACGGGUAAUCAUUCUUGUAAUUUUAUAUGAGGGAGAGGCAUGAGCUAACAUACUUUCUCUACUUGGAUCAUAUGCGCUUAUGAUUGGAACUCUAGCAAGCAUCCGCAACUACUAAAGAUCAUUAAGGCCGUGAAACCCAACCAUAGCAUUAAGUAUCAAGUCCUCUUUAUCCCAUACGCAACAACCCACCUACUCGGGUUUAAGCUUCUGUCACUCUCGCAACCCACCAUAAGCAAAUCAUGAACGUAUUGCAACACUCUACAGCGGGGAUCUCCCACGUUUGCACGAGACGGAGGGCACUGUAGGACAGCACCAUAAAUAAAAUAGACAAUCGUACCAACCAAGAUCAUGAUUAACCCAUAGGACAAAACAGAUCUACUCAAACAUCAUAGGAUAACCAUAGAUCAUUGGGAAAAAAUAUAUGGAGUUGAGCACCAUGUUUAAGUAGAGAUUACGGUGGGGAGAAGGGGUGUUACACCGCUACGUAGAGGGGGAGAAAGUUGGUGUUGACAGUAGCAAGAUUGUUGAUGUAGAUCGCCGUCACGAUCCUAGCCCCGGCGGCACUCCGGCGCCACCGGAAGCGAGGGGGAGAGAGCCCCCUCCUUCUUCUUCUUCAUUGGCCUCCUCCCUAGAUGGGAGGAGAGUUCCCCCUCUGGUCCAUCGCCUCCAUGGCGGCGGAGGGGCAGGAGCCCCUCCGAGAUUGGAUCUCCCUCUUUGUUCUCUUCUGUUUCGCGUUCCCCAGAUCUAGCCCUUCACCGUUUCUUAAAUUCCUGGAGAUCCGUAACUCCGAUUGCGCUGAAAUUUUUACACUAUUUUUUCCAUAAAUUAUCUUUCUUGCGCCAGAAGAAGGGCCCCAACCGCCUUACGGGGUGGGCACAAGACACCUGGGCGCGCCAGGGGGUGUCUGGCGCGCCCUGGUGGGUUGUGGAGGCCGUGGGCCUCCGUUACCGUUGAUUCCAAGUCCCAAAAAUCACAUAUAUUCCAAAAUAAUUCUUCGUAAAUUUUUAUCGCGUUUGGAUUUCGUUUGAUAUGGAUUUUUUGCGAAACAAAAAACAUGCAACAAACAAGAACUGACACUGGGCAGUGGAUCAAUAUGUUAGUCCAAGUAAAUCAUAUAAAUAUUGCCAAAAGUUGUAUAAUAUUGGCAUGAAACAAUCAAAAAUUAUAGAUACGACGGAGACGUAUGAGAUGUCAACUCGUCGAGUUCUUGGGUGGACUGUCAAGAUGGGUUGUCCAGAUUGGAUCUACUAAUAUGCAAAUCUGCUAGUCUAUGGCUUUUGAAGAUGUUGAAUAUGUCCUUCGUCUUUGACAACUGCCUUUAUAGGGAUAUCGGUCAAUGGUCUCCAUCCCUUUACCUUCAUCUUCUUGCCUUGCAUGUCGUAGACCUCAUUCUUGUAGUCACGCGACUCCCCUCAAGGGCACCGGGAGUGGCAUGCCUAAGGGUGUUGCUCGCCCAAGUAUGGGCCUUAGUAUCAAGCAUAUAUAGGCAAAUACAACCCAAAAUACGGUAUGUGUAGCCCGGGAAUGCGGUGAAACCACCUCCCCUCGAUAAGGACAUCGGUCAAUAUUCGUAAUGCGCUGAAUCAAAAUAUUUACUUUCAUUUUAUAGUUCACCCAUCUCGUCCAAUUUGGAUAAUAUUGAUGUUGCUAUGGGAAGAAUAAUUGAGGGGGUAGGUGUGUCGGUGAGGGAUCUCUAGAAUGUAGAAAUUGAUUGUUUAAAGGUUUCUUCCAACAACUCGAGCCCUCAUGUGAACCUCAACACCAAGGAGGAGUGGGGAGCUAGGAGGGGGUACCGUCUGUGACGCUCAACUUCCCACUGUAACAAACCAGAUUAAUGAUAGUAAUUGAUAAUUGAUUAUUGAACAUAAGCAUCUCAUAAGCAUCAUGUUUAAUUAAAUUUUCAUUUGAAAAAUAGGAGAAUUCAACCCUCAAGUUUUCCAAAAACCAUAAAAUAAACACAACUUUAAUAAAAAGAUGUAGAUCUUAACCUAUUUAAAUGGAGGCACAUAGUGACUUCUCUUGAAAAACUGCACACAUCCUUCAAAUAUUAUUAGGCAUCUACCAAACUUAUUUUGCGAAUUUUGGAAAUACCUGCAACCCCAAUUAAUAACCAAAUUGGGUUUAUAUCUACAGAAAACAUAAAUAUAAACUAAAAAAUACCAAAAACUUUUGUAUGGGUUUGGUUAUUACCCAGAGAGCUACACAAAAAGUUUGAGAAAAUUUAGAGGUUGUUUGGUCCCUCAAGUAAAUGCAAAGAUGAGAUGCAUCUUAAAAAUAAAUAUAGAAGGCCCAAAAAUCAAGUGCACUUAAGCCCAAAAGGGCCCAUGCACCAAGCCCACCCCUCUUAUUCAACCUCAUGUACAAAAGACAGUGAGACUAGCUUUUGUCUCGCCGAAGGUUUCCCGUCCUCUCUCUAGUAAUGGGUUGGCCCUGCUCGCUCACUGGCUCGUUCGCUCGCUGCGUUUUGCUCGUGCUUUUUUCUUUUUUUCUUUUUGGUUUACCAUUCGGUUAUUUUAUUUCUUCAUGGAUUUUUUUGGUUUUUUGUCUUCCUUUGUUUUAAAAUUGUUUUUCGUUUUAUUCCUAUUUUUACUGGUUUUAUGUUUUUUUCUUUGUUUUUGUCCAUUUUUUCUGUUGUUCCUUUCUCCAUUUAUUGUUUUUUCUUUUCUAUUCUAUUUUCUUCGAUUUUGUUUCCAUCCUUCUUAGUUCUGAUCUUCUUCUUUUGUAUUUCUUCAGUUUUGAUUUGUUUUUCUGGGUUUUUCUUCGUUUCCUCAUGGGUUUUCAUGGUUUUUUCUUCGGGUUUUCUUGUUUUUGAGGUUUUUCUUUCUUCCGUUUCUUCGGUUUUCACCACUUUUGUUUGGCUUUUUUUCUUCAACGCAUGUCUACAUUUCCAUGCACAUUUGUACAUUUUACACAUAGAUCAAGAACAUUUGUUUAUACAUGUUUAAUAUUUUUGAAAUAUGUAAUUAACAAUUUUAAAAAUUUAUGUUUGAUGACUACUUUUUUCAGACACAUUGUACAUUUUUGGUAUAUAGCAAGAACAAAUUUUGAAACAUGUUUAGAAAAUUUAAAAUAUGUGAUUAACAUUUUUUAUACAUGGUGAACUUUUUUAAAAUUUAUAUUUAUAUGUUCAAAUCUUUAAUACAUGUUUUUACAUUUUUCAUAUACAUCAGGAGCAUUUUUUUGUACACAAAUAAUAUAUUUGAAAUAGAUGACUAAUUUUUUUUCCUGGUUGAUGACUACUUUUUCAUACACAUUGUACAUUUUCGGUAUAUAUCAGGAACAGUUUUUAUACACGGUUAACAUUUUUGGAACAUAUGAUUAACAUAUUUUGAUACACGAUCAACAAUUUUUAAAAAUUAUGUUCAAUUUUUAAUACAUGUUCUACAUUUUCUGUAUCAUAAGGAAGAAUAUACAUGUUUAACAUUUUUAUAAUAGAUGAUUAACAUUUUUUAAAUGCUUGAUUAACAUUUUUUAAUAAUACAUGAUCAACUUUUUUCAUGCACAUUUUAUUUGUUUUGUAUACAUUUUUUGUAUAGAUGAGAAACAUUUUUACUACACACAUUUAACAUUUUACAAAUGCUACAUUAACAUUUUCAAAUGUUUUAUCUAGAGUGUUUUUUGUAUUAUAUUUUUCAACUAUUUGGAAGUAUAAACAACAGUGAAAAGUGAAAGCAAAACACGAGAAAACAACAAAACAAAAAAAACGAGGCUGUGGCCUCCCGCGCGCCUAGGUCGGCCCAUCUCACGCCUCCAUUCAGGCGAGCCUUCCCUUUGUCUCGCGUGAAGCGAGGUAUAGCAGCGCCCCAAGAGACAGAACCAUGGUGUGGCGCACAUGGCACAUCGACGGCAGCCACGGUCAUGGAUGGCCUCCACGUCAUCCCACAACGUUGUAAAGACGUCUCCCAUGUUGCCCUAGGUCCCUUCCUCCCUUUCCCCUCUCUCCCUUCGCUUCGGUGGCGUGUAGCUGACGCACACUAGCACAAUCACUGACAUCGUUCAUCGAACUGUGGCCAUGAGCUCUCCCGCGUGAGGAAUCGAGCCGAGAAUCCCGAAGCGCAACGCACUCGACCUCUCUUCCUCGUCAUAGUCGCUGACACCAACCAUCAAUCUCGUCACCAAACAAUCUUAAAAAAAUGAUUUAGUUAGUUAUUAUAAAAUGUCUCCUUAAUAUACUUGUAUAACUACGAUUGCUUAACACGAAUGGAAAGCACUACCGUGGUUGUGGUUGCCACAACUAGAACGAACGCGGGUACAUCCAAGGGAAGUGAAUCGUGACGAGCACAUGUUUCACUCUAGCAAAUACAACAAGGACAUAGGACAGAAAGGUGGCAGUAUAGUAAGGGCAUAUGCAAGAAAAGAGGCUGAAAUGGCGUGGUGAGAGAUUAAUCUAGUUGAUGAGAAAGGAGAACUUCGAGAGGCAGAGCAUGCUGAUCAGGAGACAAGGCGAGCCUGACAUGCAUUGUGCACGACAAGGAAUCACUUUCACAUCUUAGAGGCUUCAUUCAGCAUGUGUGUUCCGAGUUUUCUGCUGAAAUAGGCAUCCUGCAUAGCCAGUACUUUACUAAAACCUCCCACACCCAUGCCUACACUUUGGACCCCCUCUAUCCCUCAAUGGCUUGACUUGCACUUGUCACAUUGUUCUCCUUCUCUUGGCCCUAUCAAUCCAACACCGGUUAUAAGCUUUAUAUGCAGCCACCUACACUAUAGCAAUUAAUGCAAUCCAACAUAAGUUGGCAAGAAGGUUGCUUCACUUUUCAAACUAGAAAAUAUCGAAUGAGUUCGUGGGCCAUGUAUCACCCGCGGUAACCUACUCGAGUCAAGUAUAGUACAUCAUCGCUAUCUCUCUUUCCUCGCUGGAAGUGGCAACUACGCUCAACAAAGUGAACACAUAACAAGUAGUCAUAUGCUCAUAUAUCAAAUAUACGCUCAAUAGUAAAUGCCUAUGAUUUAAUAUGUUUUGGAUAUCCUUGGUCCCAUUCAAUUCAUGAGAUGUCUUACCUAUUGCAUUACUAUUUUACUUCAUUUAUGUAAACAUUGCAAACCUGAGACCAUCAAUCUGAAUAUGCUCACCUACCACUUCCUCUUUGGGGCACUUUCCACUAUUUUUUAGAAACUUCUAAUCUAUUCAUCUCUAAUCAUGGUAGUAAAAAGGACACCAGAGGUAAUAAAAAAUACAACUAGGUCCGUGGACCACCUAGCGACGACUACAAGCACUGGAGCGAGCCGAUAGCAGUUAUUGGAUCUCCAUUUCAAAAUAUAGUGCAUAUAUACAUCUUUAAAAUGCAAGAGAUUUGUUCUUCAAUGAAUUGAACAUAGAGGCAACAGUUCCAUAAUAAUUACAUCUGGUUGCAUUUGAUCUAGAUGCAUGUUAGCACUAUUUUUUUUACCAAACCAUUUCCUUCAAACGCCCAGCUUCUCAAAAACCUGAGACCAAGUAGUAUAACACAGAUACCACAAACACAACACGUUAUGAACUGGGAAUUUUGUUUCUAAAAAAACUGGCUAUACUAAAAUAGUCUGCUCUUGGAGCUAGGAACCUGGCAUGCCCAUGUUAGUUUGAACUGCCUCACAAAAAAAUGUUGGUUUAAACUAGAUGCUUUUUCUUAUCUCAUAGCGAAACAAAAUGAUGUGCAAAACUCCCUCAUGUUCUCUUCUUUUCAUAGCUCAAACCAUAACUACAAAAUAUAUAGAAAUUUGGAACAAGAACUUAGUUGGUUGUGCCAAACUACCGUAUGUCAAAAAAAAUGUUACAUGCAUCUUCCAGAGUGCCCAGGUUGGCAAAGAGCACUCAGAUUAGUCCUAAAAGCACAUGCUAUAGUUCAAUGAAGUUCACAACAACUUCUACACCCUAUGUCUUGUGGUCUGCGGGUAGUCACCCUGUGCAGCGUGGGUUGCGAGUAGCUGGGUCGUGCGGCGUUGUACCUCGUGGGUGAGCAGUGGUAUGUCUGGGUGGAGGCCCCUGAAGGUGGUGUUGGCUGAUUGCACGGGACGGAAUGGAGUGAUGGAUGUCGGGGCGGCGACUUCGACAUUUGGUAGCUUCGAGGGCUUUUGACUUCGUGUCGUGUGGCCGACGAGGUUGCCAUUGAUGUUGGUCGUCGGCAAUAUGCCAGAUUAUGCAAUUGGCGUAGGACCCAUGGAGUGCAAGCCCUUCAUUUCUGUGGGAGAGUCCCAUCACUACUCCUCUCAUAGUAGUCACAAAUUCUUCUUUCCGACAAUGGUGCAAGGUUGGCUUGUUCGGCGGAGCAGGGGUUCCCGUUGCUUAUGUAUGUGCGGUGGGUGUUCUUGUGCCAUUCGGCAUUUUAUCGACAAGAGUGGUUUGACAUCGUGUGCUUUGGUGUUCCAGAGUGGACUUGGCCCUUGAUGUAUCAGUUUUCACCCGGUUUUCUCCUAAUUAAUUGGACAUUUCUCUUCUGCUUAAUGGACGAGGCAAAUCUUUUGCCUUCAUUUAAAAAAACCCUCCACACUUUCUAGGUUCCAAUUCUAGGAAGAUGUUCUAGGAAAACAAGGCCCCUCUUUGGAUAUGGCUGCAAUCGCUACAAUAACAACACGUCUACACCCAAGUCCACAUCUAAAACAUGAGGGCACACGCUAUGACUCUGCUUCCACAUAUAUCUGUUUAGUGUUUACCCGACAGCACGACCGUGUUACAGACCGUGGUGAUUCCUCGGGGACAAAGAGCGAUGAUCCAUGCAUGCGGCAUGGAAUUCUCCAACCAUUGAUGUUGGUGACCGCACGUCGAGGCGAUUUCUCCACGAGCCUAGCUGGCUGGGUGAAAAUCCUGUCGCUGUCUGGUGCGCGUCCCGGAGCUAGCUAGUACAAACACCGAAACGUGGAAAUGGAGGAAGUUGCCAUGGUUUGGUGGGUGCGUCCUACAGGUCGAGGACUCCAUGAUUUGUAUUUUGCGGGUCAUGAAAUUUCUUUUUGUGCGAACAUGUUCAACAAAAUUCCUUAUAUAUUUCUCCAUUCUUGGUCUCAAGGGUGAGUUCCAAGUGGAUUAAACGGGUGUUAUUAGUUUGGUUAGAACAGGAGGCAUCCAAAUCCGACUAAUCUUUGUGCUUGGUUCUAAGUAGUCUCUGCAAAAUGCUAGCUGUAUCCUUAAUUUACUUGUACGUCUACGGUUCCUUAACCAGAUGUUCCUCUAGUGGGUGGAGCAAGUCGUGCAACAAUGCUCUCGCCAUGAAGUCUGAAGCCUUUAUCAUUGAUAACUUUGUGGAGAAUUUCUGGCGCAUGUAGCCUGACAGAAGGAACAGUGUCACUUCAUCCCACUAGUUAACACAUUCAUGCAAAGAGGAACUAGGACAAGUAUUGCGUCUCAAAGAUAACAGGUUGGUCUUCAGAGACACGAUGAGCUCACACUCAUUGGGCGGUUGCACGAGGUCAUGGCUACACGACGCUAACCCGGUUGUCGCAGUGGAACAAAUGGGUACUCGGAAAAUGAAACCGAGACAAGGAGAUAUGUUCCACCCAACAAUGAUAGAGUGCCAUGGAUCAGGGUCGAGGCUAGAAUGAAACGAACGGAUAUCGAUUUGGUUGGGGAGGAAGGCAAACAUGAUCAAAAGGAGCAAGUGUGGCAUAAGACACAACACACAUGACGUGAGUUGUGCACACCAAGGAUCCGCUUCCUUGUCCCAAAGGCUUCAUUCAACCUUUGUGAUCGAUAUUGGUAGGUGGAACAUAUUCCAUUCAUUGCCAACAAUUCACCGAUACCUCCCACACCUAUGGCUACACUUCCUACUAGCUACUUUUCUCGUUGGCAGUUUAGCUCGCCUUUGAUACACUGAUUUUGUUAUCUUUGGCCUAUAGAUCAUAGUAUAGUAGUAGGGGCUUUAUAUGCGGCCAUCUAUAUUGCAGUAAUUAAUGUUAUCCAGUACAAGAUGAGGAGGAGGUUGUUGCACAGGUUGAAGCAAUGACUUCAUAAUUCACCUUAACACGUACAUGUGUAUACAAUGUUGCUAUUUUAAGAGUGCCAUGUAGAAUAAAUCUUGAGGUAAAGAAGAAAAAAAUCAUAAAAAAUUGCAUUCUCUUAAUCAAGAUCUGAACUCUUAGCAAUAAUAUCUCUUAACAUAUAUUUAGCUAUAUGUAGUUUUUUUUCAGGAGUACACCAAAAGUGUACCAUAGUUUUAUAGAUCAUGUGUUUACAGGUAUGAUCAUUCGAUCUACACUUCUCAUCGUCGACAAUGAUUGUUGUUCUCGUCGUGUGAGACCUUAGUACAAUGACUUUUCGACUAUCUAGUAUCUACUACAACUAGAUUUAUUCGACUCCACUGAGGGAGAGCUAUGACGACUAGUUUCCGUGUUUGUAGUCGCUAGGUGGUCCACUGGACCCGACUGUAUUUUUUAUGGAUUCAAUAGGAUGACCUCCCGUAUUGAACGAAAGGUUCUUUGGGAAUCAAUCGUUCAAGCAAACGACAAUGUUCGCUACGAUCAGGUCCAGGCCCCUCCCCCCUCGAUGGCACUACAGAUGGGCCCAAAAAGAAAGCCUGGUUUUGUUGCAUCUAAGCCUUAAACUAGCCUAGUUUUGCUGUGACUAAGCCUUAAAAGAAAAUAAGUUUGUCAAAACUAAAAAUGUCAUGUGUGGAAAUUUAGAAAUUGUCGCUGUGCUUCAUGAGAUGCUGCAAAAAAAGUAAAAAAAAAUGUGAUGAUAAAAAAUGCCAUGGUGUGUUUAAAAGUGCUAUAGUGUACAAAAAAUGAAUAUGCCAUGGUGCUAAAAAUAAAUUUGUCAUUGUUAUGAAAAAGCUUCCAUUUUUUAUUCCCAUGGCAAAAUUAUUACCUAUACCAUGGCAAACUUAUUACAUAUUCCUUACAAAAUUUACCGAUGGUCAUGUAUGUAAUUUGCCAUGUCCUAGAGAACACGAAACCCCCUAAAAAAUGCCAUGUGAUUAGUCGGCCAGUUUUAAAAAAAAAGCUGUAUUAUGAUGAUCAAAUUUCAUUAUAAUGUCAUCUGACUAACCUAAAUAAUAAAACAAAUCUCUAAAACGUGGCAACAUGGAAAAGUUACAAAAACCUGAUCUCCCACAAAUAAAAAGCAAUGUUUUUCGGAGAACCCUACAUGGGAUUGCUAAUUUGCCAUGGUCAAUUGCAGAAAGGAAAAACGCAAAAAAGAAUUACGUAAUAAGUUUGGCAUGGUCUAGUUAAAUAAAUUGUCAUGGCAAAGCUAGUUGUUCUUUGCCAUGCUACAAAAAAAUUGCCAUGGUAAAAAAAUAAAGUAAAAAUAAAAUUGUCAUGAUAGAGAACGAAAAAGAAGAUACCAUGGAUUGUUUAGUAAAAUUUGCCAUGGUUCAUGUAAGCAAAAACUUCCCACAAAAGCGAUGAAAGUAAUUGACGUGUUUCAUAAAGUAAAUUUAUCAUAGUGCAUAAAAGCAAAACUUCCCAUAAGCGAUGAAAGUUACAUUUGCAUGGAUGUGUGAUACAAUAAGAAGUAAAUUUGCCAUAUAUAUGUAAAAAGCAAGUUUGCCAUGGCAAAAUGAAAGAUAAAUUUGCCAUAUAUAUGUAAAAAGUAAGUCUGCCAUGGCAAAAUGAAAGAUAAAUUUGCCAUGGCAAAAUAAAAUAUAAAUUUGCCAUGGCAAAAUAAAAUAUAAAUUUGCCAUGGCUGUAAAGUAAAAUUUGCAAUGCCUAUAAAAGUAAAUUUGCUAUGGCUAUAAAACUAAAUUGACGGUGCUACAAAGUAAAUCUGCCAUGUUCUUAAAAGGCAAAGUGUUAGGAAGAUCAUUUCCGAAAUAACAACUUAGACAUGGUAUUGGUAAAUAGCUAAUUUGCCAUGAUCUACAUGAGUACAUAGUAAGAAUUGCCAUACCGCGGUAGAAAAUGGCUAAUUUGUGAAAGCAUCUUAUGAAAAGCAAAAAAAAGCAUGUUCAUACAGGCUGAACAUGUAAACAUGCAUCUUGCUUAGUUGAUUUAAGUGGCAAUUUACAGAGACCUAUAAGGAGAAAAGCUAAUAUUCAACAAAGUUAUGAAAAGGAUGGCAAAACUGCCUGCCGUUGUACAACAAACACAAAAAGUACACCACAAAAAAUUAUAUUAUUUUUCGAGGUAAAAAAUCAUGUCAGAUGUUCAGAAAAAUGUUAUGAGUGGGAGUGUCCAUGGAAACUCACGUACAUGUAGCAAAAAUACUUAACAAUCCCAUGGCAAAUUAACAAUUAGAUGGGCAUGUGUAAAAAAUUUGGAGACAUGGCAAACUUGAUGGCAUGGGAAAAUUCAAGGGAUCCAUGACAAUUUCAACAAAAUUGCUGCAAAAAUGCAAGGGAGCACAAGAGGUACCCGUGGAUGUGGAUGUUGGGAGGCUUUCGGGUGCGAGCUGAGGUGGCGUAUGUAGGUCCAAUCCGGUGGUGGCGGCGUCGAUCCUUGCCGCGUCGUGCUGCACCCGUGGUGCAGACCUGGCCAAACGGGCCGGCCCGGCACGGCCCGACGUGGCACGUUUAAUAGCCGGGCCGUACCGUGCCGGCCCACGGGCGUGGCUCUCUGGCCCAGGCACGACCUGAUUAUUAAACGGGCCGGCCCGUGGCACGUUUAGCACGCUGGCCCAUCUGAUUUUUAGCCUGUUGGGCUGUAUUUUAGGCCUAUUAGGCUGUAAUUUAGGUCAUAUAUAUAUAUAAAAAAAUCUGAAAAAAUAAAACGGGCCGUGCCGUGCCGGCCCGCGUGCCCAGCCUCCAGGCCCAGGCAUGGCCCAUGGCGUGCCGCGUGCCGGGCCUAGCCCGUUUAGCUCGGGCCGUGCCGUGCCUGGGCCGUGUCGUUCCUGCGUGCUACUGGGCCGACCCAGUUAGCACGACCCGUUUGGCCAGCUAUACCGUGGUGUGAGGCUAGCUGCAUGACCGGUUCGGCCAUGAUGGUGGAGGCUGUGGCGGAGCAACGCAUCGACGGCAGGAGCAGUAGGGCGAGUCGUACUCGACCACACAUAACGUUGCGUCUGCUACUCAUCUUCCGCAUUGCGCCUCACCGAGCAGUGUAGUGUCGGCUCCCCCUUCCGCGUCCGUCUCCACAUUGCGACCACCUUGCACCCGGCCCCCGAUGACUGGGAGCACUGGAUGCAGUUGUUGUUGGAAGAGACCGCAGUGGGCGAGGGAGAACAACCGUAACGGGGAAAGGAAGAAGAGCCAUGGCGUUGCCCUUAGCCGGAGAAGCUCGUGCCAUCUCGAUUUGGAGGUGUAGCACUCGCGUGGACGUUGCCCGCUUCCUGGUUCUUGAGCCCGUUCACCGUCGGCAAGGGCGCGCGACGCCGCCUUGGGUGAGGAGGGAGGUUUCCGCGAUGACGGUUGUUCCCGAUGGGAGGAUGCGGCCAACACAGUUAUUGCAAAAUGCCGGUGGGGAGAAAGAACAACGUGGUGAGAGUGAGCACAAAGAGAUGAAUAGGGGCAUGGGGUUGCGGUCGUUGUGGCAGCAAACUUGCCGUGAGAUUCGUGCUAACGAUUCAAUGGUGAAAAAUGCGUUUCAUCCGUAAUCCUACAAACCGACGUCUUUUUUUAGUGAUUUCGAUUUUUAGUACCUCUAAUAUUCCGUACUGUCUUAUUAUAUCUGAUAGAUUUUUCCGAGGAAAAAGGUAGAGCAGAGCCCCCUAUCUAUACUUGCCCAUGGGCAGCCCGGCCCGGACGGCCCGACCCAACCCGGGCUAUAAAAGCCCGACCGGGCCUUGCCCAUAGGCUAGGCCUGGACCUAGAUUUUGAUCCCGAUGACCGGGCCAGCCCGGGCCCGGGCCCAUCGUUUCUGUAGUUUAAGGAAGAGGCCCGGCCCGAGGCCCGACAAGCUUUUUGCAUGAUGGGCCAGGCUUGGGCCUGAUUUUUAGGCCCGAUGACCGGGCCCGACCGGGCUCAGGCCUAGGUUUUCUCCAUCGGCUUUGGUAGGCCCGGCCGCCCGACGGAUGCCCAGGUAUACCCCUUUGCCCUCUCUCACCGUGCCAACUACUCCAAUCAUACUUGUCUCAAACAAAAAAACUACUCCAAUCAUACGUGAGGGCGCGGAUGCAAAAACACCCCACACCAAUCAUCCACGCGAGGGCGCGGAUGCAAAAACGCCCGCAGUCCAGCCAGUGCCGCUCCGCUCUAUAUAAACGAGCCGAGAGCGGGGGGCGGAAACCCUAAGCAGAGUGGGGAAAGGCGUCUUCGUACUCGCCUCUCUCCGCGCAUCCUAGCCUUCGCCCUCCUCCUUCCCCAUUUCGCCAGCGGCGCAGCCCACCAACCACCCCCACCCGCCGCCAUGAGGGAGUGCAUCUCGAUCCACAUCGGCCAGGCCGGCAUCCAGGUCGGGAACGCGUGCUGGGAGCUCUACUGCCUCGAGCAUGGCAUUCAGGUACGGAUCCAUCCGCUCGCCCCUCCUCCCCCCUUGGCAUGUCGUGUUCAGCGUCGGAUCUGGGGUUUGUAGUGGUUGGUGGUGCGCUCGGUCGGCCGGAUCUGGCGCAGAUCUGACUGCGGCUGGUCAGAUCUGCGGUUGCUCGAAGGGAAAAACCUGGAUCUGACGGAAUGCAGGGUGCAUGCGGUCGAUUCUGUGGGUCGAUCUGGUGUUGUGAAGGGCGCGGCCGGUUCGAAUUUGAAUUUUUAGGUGUGGAUUUACUGGAUCUCAGAUCUGAUGCAGUUCGCACCUGCUAUGGUGGUUGUAUAGGUUUUCCUUGUUCCGGAUAUGACCAGUUUUUCCCGAAACUGAAUCCAUCGGUUUGAAAAGCCACUUGCUAGAUAGAAUGUGAUCUGUAUAUUAUAAUAGGACGCCAGAUGUAUCAUCUGCUCUUGUUAGAACAUCACUGAUCUGGCGCACACUCGUUUUGUUUGAUCUGCUCUGUGCUGUACUGUUUAGAUCUGAUCGAAUUCUGCUAGAUCCGGUGGUAUCUGUUCAUGCAUGUAAUGUAUCCUUGCUGAUGGUUCUGAAAUUCACAUUGCCUGCUGGUAGAGAAAUGCAUCUCUAACUGAUUACCGUACUUAUCUUGUUGCUGCCAGGAUCCUUUUCUUGUCCUGUUGCUACAGAAUUUAGUAUGUUAGCUCUACAGCUUUAACACUGUUUAAUCCCCCCUGUGCAGCCUGAUGGCCAGAUGCCCGGUGACAAGACCGUUGGGGGAGGUGAUGAUGCUUUCAACACCUUCUUCAGCGAGACUGGUGCUGGGAAGCAUGUCCCCCGUGCUGUCUUUGUAGAUCUCGAGCCCACUGUGAUUGAUGAGGUGAGGACUGGUGCUUACCGCCAGCUCUUCCACCCUGAGCAGCUUAUCAGUGGCAAGGAGGAUGCAGCCAACAACUUCGCCCGUGGUCAUUACACCAGUAAGUGCUGUGCUUGUUCUUUGUUAUUAUGACAGUAUUCACUCUUGCUCCUUAUGUGGCUAACUUUUGCUGCUCCUAUUGCAGUUGGCAAGGAGAUUGUUGAUCUGUGCCUUGACCGUAUCAGGAAGCUUUCAGACAACUGCACUGGUCUCCAGGGAUUCCUUGUAUUCAACGCUGUUGGAGGUGGAACUGGCUCUGGCCUUGGCUCGCUUCUCCUGGAGCGCCUCUCUGUUGACUAUGGAAAGAAGUCCAAGCUUGGGUUCACGGUGUACCCAUCUCCCCAGGUCUCCACCUCUGUUGUUGAGCCAUACAACAGUGUCCUGUCCACCCACUCACUCCUUGAGCACACUGAUGUCUCUAUCCUUCUUGACAAUGAGGCCAUCUAUGACAUCUGCCGCCGCUCCCUUGACAUUGAGCGCCCAACAUACACCAACCUCAACAGGCUUGUUUCUCAGGUACAGUCUUGUUUCUGCAUGGUUACAUGUUUUCUGUUUGAUGUUUGUUUCAAGUUGCACUUCCUAAUAAUGUUUGACUGGGAUCUAAUUCAUUGGUUAAACAUCUAAUGUGCAGGUCAUUUCAUCACUGACAGCUUCCCUGAGGUUUGAUGGUGCUCUGAAUGUUGAUGUCAAUGAAUUCCAGACCAACUUGGUGCCCUACCCGAGGAUCCACUUCAUGCUUUCCUCCUAUGCCCCAGUGAUCUCAGCUGAGAAGGCUUACCAUGAGCAGCUGUCCGUUGCUGAGAUCACCAACAGCGCCUUUGAGCCUUCGUCCAUGAUGGCCAAGUGCGACCCCCGCCACGGCAAGUACAUGGCCUGCUGUCUCAUGUACCGUGGUGAUGUUGUGCCAAAGGACGUCAACGCUGCUGUGGCCACCAUCAAGACCAAGCGCACUAUUCAGUUUGUUGACUGGUGCCCCACUGGCUUCAAGUGUGGUAUCAACUACCAGCCACCAGGUGUCGUCCCAGGCGGUGACCUUGCCAAGGUCCAGAGGGCUGUGUGCAUGAUCUCCAACUCCACCAGUGUCGUCGAGGUCUUCUCCCGCAUCGACCACAAGUUUGACCUGAUGUACGCCAAGCGUGCCUUCGUCCACUGGUACGUCGGUGAGGGCAUGGAGGAGGGAGAGUUCUCUGAGGCCCGUGAGGAUCUCGCUGCCCUGGAGAAGGACUAUGAAGAAGUUGGUGCUGAGUUCGACGAGGGUGAGGACGGUGAUGAGGGCGAUGAGUAUUAAGCCUGCCUCCUGGUGCUUUCCCAAGGCUUGCUACUGCUAUCCUAUGAUCUGCCCGAGUGGCUUUAUCUGUUAUCUGUCUGUUUGAACGUUUGCUUUGUGGUGUUUGUUUUACAACCUGUUGUGUUGUAAGAACCUUGUAUCUUUGAACCUGCUUUGCACCUUGGUUAAUAUGCAUGCUAUCUGGUUAUCUACACCAUAGCCUCCAUUUUCCUGUUUUAUAAUUUGUAUUGUUUCAUUUGUUUUACUGUUGAACUCUGCCUAUUGUCUCAACAUAGCCGGUCUGAAGCCCGAGUGAAGGAGUAUGGUUGAGAGGCUUGGUGAGCCGUUGUUAAAACUCAGCCACUUUAUGCAGUUGAAACCCAAAAGCCCUAGCCGAACUUGUUAAACUCGGCCACUCUUAUGCAGAUUAAACCCAACAGAUCGCCUACCCCAAAUUAGUUGCAAUGUGUCUGCGUAAUGAUGAUCGAACCUAAUUUGAAAUGCUGUUGCUUCCAGUAAGUGCCACGCUUGUACAAACCUAGAGUUUGAACUGGAAUUGAGGAAAUGUUUGUCGUGUUGCCUAUUUUACAGGUGCCUGAAGUUUCUCCUAUAUCAUCACCGACCUAAUUUGAUCUUCAGGAUUAAAAGAUUCAGUAGUAGCCACAAGCUUAAAAAGAUUCAGUAGUAGCCACAAGCUUAAAAAGCAGCAAGUAUAAAUCACAGGCAAGAAAUAUACAAGACCUAUAUAGUUUUGCAAGUUCGUAAAUUGCUUGUUUUCUGAUCGACCAUAUCAGACUUAACUCAGAUCUGUACUCUAUUCUUUAGAUAGAUGGCAAGAGAAUAUGAUAUGCUGGUGAAGUAUGUCCAAAUAACAUGGUUCAGUGUUCAAGCACGAAGCCAGUCUCCAUCAGGGGGUGUAUCUGUAGAAGAUUUGCAUUAUCAGUUUGGGUCCCAAUAAUUUCUAUUAACACCAAGCAAUCCCCACACCGCUAGAGCUGCAGCUCCCACCGGCGUCAAACCCCCAAUUAUUGCCCCGGCGACGCGAGUUACGGCGGCCAGCGGAGUGCAGACGGGCGUACGGUGGCGUGCGCCCGUCGGGGAAGAGUCCCGUUGCUCCCCUGUCCAUGCUUCCCCACACGACACCACUCCCCGGCGCUGAGCAGGAACGCCGACCAGGCGGAGGACCUGCUGGAUGAGCUCCACUAUUUCCAGAUCCAUGACAGGCACCACGCCACCACCCAGGCCAAUUUUCUCCGUCAUGGCCGCAAUGCUCUCCGGCACACUGCCACUAGCUGGGCCGCGUGCUUUUCUUGUCCGUCUGCCCAAGAUCAUGAUGACAAGUUACGUUUCCACCCAGUGAUCUUCUCCAGGAAAAUCAAGUCGGUGUUACAGGACAUGCAGACCCACUGUGAUUCCAUCUCCGAUUUGCUUGGCAAUAUCCCAAGCAGCAGCAUGGCAGUCACCCUGCACCGGCCUCAGAUUGGAUCCACAAUUAUACAAGAUACAUUAUAUGGUAGGAGACACACUUUUGAGGAAACUGUCAACCGUGUCAUCAGCUGCGAAGAUACUGUUUCUGUUCUUCCUAUAGUUGGUCCGGGGGUAUUGGAAAAACAACUUUCACUCAACACCUCUAUAAUGAUGCAAGGCUGUAUAGUGAUACUGGGGGUGAAAAUUAUUUUGAAGUCAGGGUCUGGGUAUGUGUAUCGACUGAAUUCGAUGUGCUUAAGCUCACCAGGGAGAUCCUUGGCUGCAUACCUGAACAAGAAGGAAUCAACGGUGUUGCAAAUGAAACAACCAAUUUAGACCAGCUUCAGAAAUCCAUAGCACACCGUCUCAAGUCCAAAAGGUUUCUAAUUGUCUUGGAUGAUAUAUGGAAAUGUGACGGUCAGGAUCAGUGGAAGACCCUGCUAGCUCCGUUCACAAAGGGGGAAACCAAAGGAAGCAUGGUAAUUGUCACAACUCGAUUCCCAAAGGUAGCAGACAUGGUGAAAACACUUGAUCCACUAGAGCUGCGAGGUUUGGAGUCUAAUGACUUCUUCACAUUCUUUGAAGCAUGUAUAUUUGGUGAUCACAAGCCUGAGCAUUACGAAUAUGAGUUAGCUGAUAUUGCAGGAAAAAUUGCAAAUAAGCUAAAGGGUUCCCCACUAGCAGCCAAAACAGUUGGUGGACUAUUGCGCAAGGACCUAUCUCAGGAACAUUGGAAUGAAGUUCUUAAAAAACAUGAGUGGCUGAAGCAGCAAAAUAAUGAUGAGAUCAUGCCAUCUUUAAAAAUUAGCUACGAUUAGCUCCCUUCUGAGCAGAUAAGCUAAAGGUUCCCCAGUCGCCGCCGAACCCCCUCGCCGUCCAAGCCGACGGGAGGGGAUAUGGGCGACGCCCUCCCUCCCCUGGCCCCCUGAUACACUCCCACUCACCUCCCUCACUCCUCUCCAAUCCUCCCUCGUCCUCUCCGUCGAGGGGGAGAAGCCCCGAGCCCACUAUCGUUGCCCGCCGCCGUCCACCGCGGCGACCGCUCCCUUGUGCUCCUCCGGCUGGUCCAACACCUCUGUCGUCAUCCGCCGCUACUGCUACGUCAACUCGCCCGAGCCGAGGAGCCUCCCAACGCCGGAUCGCCCCGCCUUUCUCCCUCGGAUCGACGCCGGCGACCUCCUCCCACUCCGGUCGGCAUGCGGCUCCUAAACUGUCACUGGGCCUACGUGUGCCUCCUCGGUGAGCUCCGCGUGUUUCCCCUCUACCUCCCCUUCGCCUUGUUGCCUCUAGCUGCCCCUGCCACCAUGCCCGGAGCUCCGCUCCACCGACCAUGUCGCGCCCGCAGCUUCGGCCAUUGAAACCCGCGUCCGAGCGUGUCACCGAGUUCUUUGGGUCCCCAAGAACGCGUAGCGCUUGCUCUUUCACCGAGCCAUGUAGUGUAGCGUCAUCACCGUUCGCGCGUGCUUCGGCCGCCGCUCGGCCUUGCUGCUGUCACCGAUUCUGGCCGUGUCCGGUGCAGGCGCUUGCGUAGAUUGACGCGGCCCGGCGCGCUCAGCUCGCCCUGCUCCGUUUGCUCGCCUGUGCGGCGAUCCUGAGCGUCGCUGCCAUCUCGGGUGGUCGCCGAGACCACCAGCGGGCGUCCGGCGUCCAAAACCGACGAUGGGUCACUGCCAUGUGGGCCCCACUCGUCGGGGUUUAUAUUAGGGUGCUAACUGAGGGAGUCCUGGACUAAGGGGUCCUCGGGCGUCCGGCCUGUUAUCUGUUGGGCCGAACUGAUGGGCUAUGAAGACAUGAAGGCCGAAGACUAUACCCGUGUCUGGAUUGGACUCUACUUGGCGUGGAAGGCAAGCUAGGCGACCGAUUAUGAAGAUUUCCUCCUAUGUAAUCGACUCCAUGUAACCCCAGAUCUCUCCGGUGUCUAUAUAAACCGGAGGGCAUAGUCCGGAUAGGACAGAUUCAUUACCAUAUACUCAUAGGCUAGACUUCUAGGGUUUAGCCAUUACGAUCUCGUGGUAGAUCAACUCUUGUAACACUCAUAUUCAUCAAGAUCAAUCAAGCAGGAAGUAGGGUAUUACCUCCAUAGAGAGGGCCCGAACCUGGGUAAACAUUGUGUCCCCCGUCUCCUGUUACCAUCGAUCCUAGACGCACAGUUCGGGACGCCCUACCCGAGAUCCGCCGGUUUUGACACCGACAUUGGUGCUUCAUUGAGAGUUCCACUGUGCCGUUGACGAAAGGCUCGAUGGCCCCUUCAAUCGUUGGUAAUGGCGUCGUUCAGGGAGAAACCUUUCUCCCCGGACAAAUCUUUGUGUUCGGCGGCUUCGUACUACGGGCCAACUCGCUUGGCCAUUUGGAGCAGGUCGAUAGCUACGCCCCUGGCCAUCAGGUCAGUUUUGGAAGCUUGAACUACGUCGCGGAUAUCCGUGGAGACUUGAUCUUCGAUGGAUUUGGGACCGCGACGAUCGCUCUCCUUCUCUCCGAUGAACAUGACUCAAAUCUGUCAUCGGAGCACACCCAGGAGAUGGAUCCUGUUGCUGCAACGGCCUCAAUACCGAAGCAGGUCAUCCCCUCCGAGGCCAUAAAUUCCGCGGCGUUGGAGCCGCACACGGAUUCGACAUCCUGCAAUGCUGGCAUUAAUGGAACUCCGGACUCGCCUCCGGCUACAUGUUCCAGAUCAAGUGCGCCUGCGGACAUCGAGCUGGAUCGGUUAUCAAUUUUCGAAUUUAGCGCCGCAGACAUCUUUCAGCAUUCGCCUUUGGGUGACGUACUAAAUUCUUUGAAGAACUUGUCCUUGGAGGAAGACUCACAGCCGAACUAUGUUCGGUUCGAGCUAGAGGCGGACGACGAGGAAUUUUGCUACCCACCCGCCACCCACUUUAUAGCCACCGUCGACGACUUAACCGACGUGCUUGACCAUGGCUCCGAAGACAUCACCGGUAUGGACGACGAUGCUAAGGCCAAGACCCGCCAUUCACUGGACGUUGGACGGCCACCUCUUCGUACGACGUAUACAUGGUUGAUACACCCAAAGGAUCUGGCGACGACAAAGAAGAGCCAGAUAAUAAUAAACCUUCUGAGACGCAGUCCAAGCGCCGGCGCCCCAAACGCCGUUCUAAGCCUCACCGCUCAAAAGAUAGCAACACUGGUACCGGAGAAAAUAGUACUCCGGGCGACGCCGAAAACAAUGAAGACCCUGUCGGUGCUACAUCCGGACAGGAGGAACAUGACGACAGACAAGACAACCCUGAUGAGCAGGCCAUAGAAGAUGACUCGGGGGACGAUAGUUACCGUCCACCCUCCAAAGAGGAGACAAGCCUCGGCAACGAAGAUUUCAUCGUGCCUGAGGACCCUCUGGAGCAGGAGCGCUUUAAGCUUGAACUCAUAGCCACCGCAAGGAGCCUGAAAAAGAAACAGCAGCAACUUCAAGCUGAACAAGAUCUGCUCGUCGACAGAUGGACUGACGUCCUGACAGCGGAAGAAUACGACCUCAAGCACCCAGCCAAGAGCUACCCGAAAUGCAGACUGCUACCUCAAUUCGAUGAGGAGGCACCGGAGCACACAUCUCCCCCGCGUAAUGCGGAACGACCACGACGUGGUCGAGACAGGGUGGCCGACCGGCCACCAUGCGGUCGGGAUAAGCGGCAACUCAGGCUGAACAGCAGCCUGCCCAACCGCCCCGCAAAAAUAAAGACGGAAGAGUUCGGGGUCACACGUAUGACCUCCGGCAGACCCUGGACAGUAGAGUAGGACAUACAAGAUCGAUCUACGGAUCGCGAGAACGUGCCUCGAGGCACGAAGACGGCCACCUAUUCGGACGUGACAAACCUAACAAUGCCCGGUCCGAGCGCCGCAGCGACACAGCCUGGUAUAGAGGUGCCGCACACCCUCUCUGCUUCACAGACGAGGUACUGGAUCACGAAUUUUCUGAGGGAUUCAAGCCCGUCAAUAUCGAAUCAUACGACGGCACAACCGAUCCCGCAGUAUGGAUCGAGGAUUUCAUUCUCCAUAUUCAUAUGGCUCGAGGAGAUGACCUCCACGCCAUUAAAUACCUCCCACUCAAGCUCAAAGGGCCAACUCGGCACUGGCUUAACAGCCUGCCUGAAAAUUCUAUCGGCAGCUGGGAGGACUUGGAAGAAGCUUUCCUAGACAACUUCCAAGGAACCUAUGUCCGUCCACCAGAUGCCGAUGACUUAAGCCACAUAGUUCAACAACCCGGAGAAUCAGCCAGAAAAUUCUGGACUAGGUUCCUAACCAAAAAGAACCAGAUCGUCGACUAUCUGGAUGCCGAAGCCCUAGCGGCCUUUAAGCAUAGUAUCCGGGAUGAAUGGCUCGCCCGCCACCUCGGCCAAGAAAAACCGAGGUCGAUGGCAGCCCUGACGGCACUUAUGACCCGCUUUUGCGCGGGAGAAGAUAGUUGGCUGGCCCGCAGUACAAAUACGGCCAACGAAAUAAGUCCCUCCGAGGCCAAAAAUAGCGUCGGCAAGCUCCGGCGCAACAGAAACAAACGCCGAGGCAAUGGCGAUAACACCGAUGACACAACAGUUCACGCCGGAUUCAGUGGCUCUAAGUCCGGCCAACGAAAGAAGCCCUAUAAAAGGAGCAGCGGAAAACCAUCCAGCUUGGACCGCAUACUCGAUCGUCCUUGCCAAAUACAUGGUACCCCAGACAAACCAGCCAACCAUACUAACAGGGAUUGACGGGUCUUCAAACAAGCCAGCAAAGUAAAUAACAGAAGCAAAGAAGGGGAAUCACAGAGCGAAGACGACGACGAAGAGCCCCGGCAGCCGAACACUGGGGGGCAGAAGAAAUUCUCCCCCAAAUCAAAAUGGUGAACAUGAUAUACGCUACACACAUCCCCAAAAGGGAGCACAAGCGAGCACUCAGGGACGUCUACCCGAAGUUCAAUCCGCGGUCAUCAUUCCCGAUCACCCCCGCUCGAUGAGACCACCCAACUAGCAUCUGGCAUGGCGGUUCAGCCGCACUGGUCCUCGAUCCAAUCAUCGACGGAUUUCACCUGACUCGAGUCCUAAUGGACGGCGGUAGCAGUCUCAACCUGCUCUAUCAGGACACAGUACGUAAAAUGAGCAUUGACCCUUCACGAGUCAAGCCCACGAAGACUACCUUUAAAGGAGUCAUACCAGGUGUAGAGGCCCGUUGUACGGGCUCAAUAACGCUGGAAGUAGUAUUCGGUUCCCCGGAUAACUUCCGAAGCGAAGAGCUAACCUUCAAUAUCGUCCCAUUUCGCAGCGGCUAUCACGCACUGCUCGGACGAACCGUAUUCGCUAGAUUCAACGUGGUGCCACAUUAUGCUUAUCUCAAGCUCAAGAUGCCCGGUCCACGUGGCGUCAUUACAGUAAAUGGAAACACGGAACGCUCCCUCCGUACAAAGGAGCACACUAUCGCCCUAGCAGCAGAAGUACAGCGUGGCCUUCUCAAGCAGCACUACAAUCCGGUUGCCGAGCCCCUGGACACCAUUAAGAGGGUCCGGACUAUACCGCAGCAGGACAACCCGGCUCGUCAAAGGGCCAAACUAGCAAAAUUCGGCCUCCGUCCAAGCCCAGACGAGGCAAUGGUAUUAGUACCGCGAGCACAUAAGCUACGCACUCAUGGGUACUGACGGAGGCAAAACUCGCUCGCAAUCCACAGUAUGGCUUGAUAGACCAUGGGAUUCGCAUGCUUCUGCUUUUUCUUUGUACAUGUCUUCUUCUCUUUUCAAGGGCUAUACGGACGACCUGCCUGCAGAACACUCCAAGGAAGCAAGGAGCUCCGGCGUACACAAGAACCCCCAGGUGGUUUCUAAUAAACGAUUCAUCUACUUGUUUUACAUACCCGCAUGCAGCUCGCCCUUGGUUACGGCAUUUUCAAUAGCCUUACUUGCUUAUCACAUUACUGGUACAAAGUACGCCUUGACGUACCGAUUACAUAACAACGGUGAAUAAAUAGUGGCGUCCGCUCACUCACCUCAGUAUUUAUUACUCACUGCACACGUACACCAUGGUACGCACUAAUACGCCAGGGGCUUAAGUACACCCCACAUCACGGCAAUAAAAGUCCGAACACUUUUACAGUACAGUUCGGCACCCCGAACUUAUAGCAUUAUAUGCAUCGGCUCCGAAUCAUGUCUUUGGUCAAUAGUUGGGUUGCCCGGCUCCUGUGCUUACUACGUUCCGCUAUAUCGGCUAGGGCAGUAAAGGGAGAACUACUGCGAUUGUGUCCCGGUUCUUCCGGACGAGCACCUCAGUAGAGAAAGCCAAAAACUGACAGUCAUGAUGCGGCGAGAGCCGGUCAGCUGUUCGCGAGGUUCUAAAUUGUUGGAGAUUUUUCCCGCUUCUUGCGAAGAAUCGGUUCUUUCAAUUAGGCGUGUAUAGCGCCCCUAAUUCGGCCUUUCGAACACCAGGGGCUUCGCCGACUUUAUUAAUUGUCAAACUCCUAUGGCUAAGUGGGGGCGGUAAAGGCCGCAUAGUCUGAUUGCCUUGUUCGCUGCGCUAAACACCUCCUUUAAGGACCAUAAUGUGGAGUAAAGAGUGUUUAGAUUUAUCCCGAACACCCCCGUACUAUCUACGUGGGGGCAGAAGCCAACGACUGGUCAUCCCUCAGAUUUAACAAACGGCCGCACAUGAGGUAAAAUUUAAAAAUCACAUACAUUAUACUACAUAACAUCCUUGUUCCAUAUUACAGGGCAAGAUAAUACACAUGUUCUUACGGGAAUAUAAUAUCCUUCGAACAUUUCUCCGCCGCAAGGCGGGACCCCUCCAGGACACCAUCAAAAUAAUGCUCGGGUCAACGAUGCUCCUUGCCCUCUGGCGGUCCCUCGGUCAUCAGCUUCUUGGCAUCCAACUUCGCCCAAUGCGUCUCGACGUGGGCAAAGGCCAUGCGCGCACCUUCAAUGCAGACCGACCGCUUUACGGCUUCGAGCCGCGGACAGGUUCUCACAAGCCGCUGCACAAGUCCGAAGUAGCUGCCAGGCAUUGGAUCGGCAGGCCACAACCGGACUAUAAAGUCCCUCAUGGCUAGCUCCGCCAACCUGUGCAGCUCGACCAACUGCUUUAGCUGGUCGCUGAAGGGCACCGGAUGUUCGGAUCCCAGAUAUUGGGACCAGAACAGUUCUCCGUAGACAUCCCUUCCUCGGCUCUAUAAUGCUCGGUCGCAUCCGACGCACUGUGCGGCAGACCUGCAAAUGCCCCUGGAAAACCAAAAUUAAGGAUAAGUACAAGGGACGUUGCUUCUACACGCCCACUCUGCAUGGUGAAGAACUUACCCGCCGCAAUCUUCUUGGCCAUCUCGACUUCCUGGAGGGCGCACUGGGCUUCGGCUCGCGCAUCCUGAGCACUCUGGCGAGCCUUCAUCAAUUCGGACUCUUGCGCCUUACAAUCGCGCUCCAGGGCCUCAAAUCUCUCUAUCGCGCCCUGGAGCUGUCGCUGCACCUCGCCAACCCGGGCCUCGUGCUUUUCGCGCAAAACACGCUCUUUGGCCGCUUUGUCCUCGGCCUCGGCUAGCACCUUCUUCAGGGUUGCCACCUCGACCGUGGCCCCUAAUAAAGUUUACGACGUUUUAGACAAGUCGGACUACUCAUUUUUUUUCAAAAUGUACCUACAGGUUAUUGCAUACCUUGGCUGUCCUCCAACUGCUUCUUCACAUGGUCGAGCUCCUCCUCGGCCCGCUCUAGUUUCUUCUUUAGUCCUGAGACCUCCGCAGCAUGAGCAGUGGCAGCUUGUAGGGAUACCUGCAUAUUCACAUAGACAACUCACGUUAGACUCCUGCAAUUUUUUGAUCCUCUGUUCGGCCUUUUCUUCCCGAACACCAAACAGAGUAUCAGGGGCUACUGUCUACACUGUGAUACUUUUCCUACAAUCACAUUACUUACCUCAAAGCCUAUUAGAAGGCUAGUGCAGGCUUCGGUCAGUCCGCUUUUAACGAACUGAACCUUCUCUACUACCGUGUCCAUAAGGACACGAUGUUCAUCCACGAUAGAGGCGCCUCAUAGCGCCUCCAGCAGAUUGUCCGGUGCCUCUGGCUGGACAGAGGUCACCGGUGGAACAGGCACACUCCCUCCUAGCGGGGAGUGCCGUUCGCUGGACCCCGGAGCCGUGUACAUCUCCGGAAGGGUAUCCAGCUGAGGGCCGAAGGAAACUCGGGCCCCAUCACCAGUCCCCAUGGGGGCUUUUUCCCCCAUGUGCCCGGCGUCCGAGGAGUCGUCCUGGGGCGUCACCCCGAUGAUCUCCGGAACCUCCCCCCGGCCUGGGAAAGUCUUUUUGGACACCACCUCGUCAUCACCCUUGGGUGAGAGGGAAUGAGCAGGUGGCGGAGACAUGCUAGCCAUCUCCUCCGUGUUUAGCGAAUCCUCAGUCGAGGAUCGCGGAGAGCCAUCGCGUGCCGGACUGCAAGGACAAAAUUUACAAUAUGUCAAUAUCACAAACCAGAAAGGCCAGAUAUUUGCAAACUCUGAUGCUUACGAAGCGGCCCGAGGCUUGGUCCGGCAAGGCCGUUCCGGACUGCUGUCGACAUCCCAUGCGGAAUUAUCCGCGAGGGAGCCUCUAACCCUCUUAGGCGUUUUAUCCUCUGGGCUUGCGGGGGCCGCUCUCUUCUUCCUCCCCGCCUCAGGUGGGGAGUCGUUUUCUUCUUCCUCUUCAUCGUCGUCGUCAGAGGACGAAGAGGAAGUCUCGCUUCCGGACGUCUCGUCCGGAAUGCUUCUCCGGCGAAGGCCCUUCUGGGCCCCUUGGGCCGCCUUUUUAGCCGUCUUCUCCGACACCUCAUAAGGUGCAGGGAACAACAUCUUCUCCAAUAAUAGAAAUUCCUAGUCCCCGGGUAGCGGAGCUGGACAGUUAAUCUUCUCGGCCAGCUUAAUCCAGGCCUGAAAAUAGGGGAAGGAAGCUUAAAUCUCCCCUCAAAAUAUGCUAGUAGGGGAUACUCCUUGAAAACAUUAAAGGAACUGACCGGGUUGGGCUGGCGCUUUAAGCUAAGCCCGCGGUCUUCGGUCACAGGUGGUGGCGUUUCGCCGGUCUUGAAGAGCACCUUCCAGAUUUCUUCGUGCGUCAUGCCGAAGAGCUCCAGUAGCGUCUGGUGCUUGGCCGGCUCGAACUCCCACAAAUUACAAGUUCGGCGUUAGCACGGAAGGACCCGACGAACAAGCAUGACCUGGACUACGUUGAGAAGCUUGAUCUUAUUUUCUAUCAUGUUCUGGAUGCACGAUUGGAGCCCAGUCAGCUCGACCGAGGGACCCCAGGUUAGGCCCCUCUCUUGCCAGGAGGUGAGCAGCAUCGGGAUUCCGGAUCGGAAUUCGGGGGCCGCCAACCAGUCAGCGUUGCGUGGCUCGGUGAGUAGAACCACCCCGAUUGCCACCCCUUCACCGUCUCUGCAAACAAACCUUCAGGCCAGGUAACAUUGGGCAUCUUGCCCACCAUAGCGCCUCCGCACUCUGCUUGUCGACCGCGCACUACUUUCGGCCUCACAUUAAAGGUCUUCAGCCAUAAGCCGAAGUGAGGCGGGAUGCGGAGAAAGGCCUCACAAACGACGAUAAACGCCGAAAUGUUGAGGAUGAAGUUGGGGGCUAGGUCAUGGAAAUCCAGCCCAUAGUAAAACAUCAACCCGCGGACGAAUGGGUGAAGAGGGAACCCAAGCCCGCAGAUGAAGUGUGCUAGAAACACAACCCUCUCAUGGGGCUCGGGAGUGGGGACGACUUGUCCCUUGGCCGGGAGUCGAUGAACGAUCUCUUUGGCCAGAUACCCGGCCUCCCGGAGCUCCUUGAUAUCCUUCUUCUUGACGGAGGAGGCCAUCCACUUGCUUCCAGCUCCGGAUCCGGACAUCUUUGGAGUACUUUCUCGAGCAAGGGAAAAGCUAAAAGCUUGGGCACUAGAGCUCGAAGAUGGAAGGGCUGAGGGCGUGGGUGAAUGAGAGGAAUCCUUACCUCCUUAUAGAGGCCGCGAAUACCAAGCGCCUCCCCGCUCGCCUUGAACUCGCCUAUUCCCAAGGGCCGUGCAAACGGCGCGGUUAGGUUAGCCAUGCCUACAUUGAUGAGAAUCCCGCAAUAGGGGGGCACGACCUUUGCAUCGACAAGACGUGCCAAUAGCAACCGCGUUUUGAAACAUGGGAUGGCGAAAAAAACGGUUUGAGAUUAUGGCCAGAUAGACAUAAUGUCGUGUUGUAAAAAGCUGUCAGCAGAUGGGACUUGUGUAAACAUAUGUAUAUAUUCUCUCUGCGAUUGUGCAUGGUGUGUAACAGGUCCGGACACAAUCAUCACAUCCGAAGACUAUCUUGGAGUUCGGAAAAGGGGGAACCCGCCUUGCAAUGCCGAAGACAAUCUGCGCGCCGGACUCCUCGUCAUUGAAGCCAGGUUCAGGGGCUACUGAGGGAGUCCUGGUCUAAGGGGUCCUCGGGCGUCCGGCCUGUCAUCUAUUGGGCCGGACUGAUGGGCUAUGAAGACAUGAAGGCCGAAGACUAUACCCGUGUCCGGAUUGGACUCUACUUGGUGUGGAAGGCAAGCUAGGCGAUCGAUUAUGAAGAUUUCCUCCUAUGUAACCGACUCCAUGUAACCCUAGAUCUCUCCAGUGUCUAUAUAAACCGGAGGGCAUAGUCCGGAUAGGACAGAUUCAUUACCAUAUACUCAUAGGCUAGACUUCUAGGGUUUAGCCAUUACGAUCUCGUGGUAGAUCAACUCUUGUAACACUCAUAUUCAUCAAGAUCAAUCAAGCAGGAAGUAGGGUAUUACCUCCAUAGAGAGGGCCCGAACCUGGGUAAACAUUGUGUCCCCCGUCUCCUGUUACCAUCGAUCCUAGACGCACAGUUCGGGACGCCCUACCCGAGAUCCGCCGGUUUUGACAGCGACACUAACCCCUGCCUAACACUAACCCACUCCGUUAACCGCUCACUAAUCCGUGGGCCCACGGCCACUAAUUUAACUCGAGACAAUAUUUCAAUUUAACUAAACCCCCUGUUAAAAUAUGUAUCGCUUACACACGGGCCCCACUGGUUAGUAUUGACCAGUCAACGAUCCUGUUGACUGGACCUGCUGACUCAGAGGCCCCACCAGUCAGCCUCUACUGACUAGGCAGUUGACCCAAUUAACUGGGCCCACUGGUCAGCCUCUCUGCGGGUCAGUUGGGUAUAGUUCUGGGUACACAUAGCAAUUACUGAAUAAACUUCUAAUUAAUAAUAUUUCAGGAAAUUCCAGAAUAUGUUUAAAUCUUUGAAAAAUCAUAUAAAUUAAUCCAUAAGUCAUAUGAAAAUAAUUUAUAUAUGAAAAUUGCUUAGAAAAAUACAACAAAUCUGAAUAUGCAAUCUGUUCAUCUGUCACAUGCCUCUAGCAUGAUGAACAUGGAACCGUCCCCUCUCUUUCAUCUGUCCGGAAAAUGCAAAGCGCCGGGAAAACCCCUCUGGAUGUUUUCCCUCUCCGUCUCCAAUGUGUAGUACUACGUUAGGUCACCCUAGUACUACGUCAGGUCACCCUUGCUUUAUAUUUAUUGUUUCUUCCCCCUCUUCUCUCCGGUAGACACCGAGACCGACGCUGCUGCCGGGUACGACUACGCCCUUGACGUCUAGCCACUUGCAGCAGAGCUUCCAGGCAAGCAAACCCCCCUUGAUCAUUCCCAUAUCGCCCAUUCCAUUCUCUCUUAUGCUUGCAUUCGAUUUUGCUACUAUACUUGAUUGCUCCUAUUCUGAUGCAUAGCCUGCUUUUGUAACCACAUUUGUACCUUACCUGCUAAUCCCAAAUGCUUAGUAUAGGUCGGUUAGUGAUCCAUCAGUGACCCCUCACCUUGUCCCUGUUGCCCCCGCCGUAUUACCAGAUGACACGAUCAACGUGAUCGACGUUCAGGGCCCGACACAUCACCUCACCCCCUUUAGUUGUAUGAUUCUCCCAACACAUCACCUCACCCCCUUUAGUUGUACGACUCUGUAGAGCUAUCGAGUGCCAAGGGUGAUACCUCGUAACGCACUCCAGAUGAUAACUAUGUAGUGUAGCUAAUCGGCCAUGGUCUGUCGAGGGUGAUUCCUCCUUUACCACUCCCGAUACGGCUCUGUCGUGCAACACAUCAAGUGUCAGCCUCGAGGGUGAUUCCUCCUUAGUUCAUCUUGACGGUUACAUCAAAUGGAAUCCAUCGAGGGUGAUUCCUCGGAUUCCUCUUUGGUGCAUGGACACACGGUUACAUGGACUUUACCAUAGAACCAUAUUAAAGAUGGGUCGGCGCAAAGGGGUACCCGCGAGUGAUGUGAAGUCGGGUUGACUUGGAGGGUACCCGCAAGGUAAUUACUAGGCACAGCCGGGUAAGGCAGACCGCCCUGGAGUGGGCUGGGCCUGGCCCUUGUCGUAAGUGCUCAAGACGGGGCAACAGGGGCACUGAUCGUCACCGCGUGCUCCCAAGACACUAACGGUUUGGGUAUUUGAUCUGAGUUGGUCAUUGACCUAUACGCACUAACCGCCACACGGGAACAGUUAUGGGCACUCGGCGCCGUAUGUAUCAGCCGAAGCUCUCCAGAUGUCAGCGGAUGAGCGGCACGCGCUCGGGUGGUCCGCGUAAGCACCUACCUUGUAUAAGGAGGUUGCGAGGACUGAUUCCGGUUGCAUUCGCAAUGUGCAAGAGUGCAACGGGCGAUGGGCCCAAGACCCCUGCGCGCUUAGGAUGUAGAUCGGUAUGCUGGCCUCUCUGUUGAGCCUAGGUAGGGCUACGGCGUGUUGAUCUUCCGAGGCCGGGCAUGACCCUGGAAAGUGUGUCCGGUCAGAGUGAUCGAGUGUGUUGGGUAAUGUGGUGCACGGUAACAGGACGACUCGAAGUUGUGUCCCGAUCUUAAGCCUCGAAAAUGGAUGGCGCUGAAGCGCGCGACCCACACCCGGCCAUCUGGGCGAGCGCCAUGCCCCGAUGAGUAGGAGGGCGUGGCGGCCGCUGCAAAACCCGGGGCGCGAGCCCGGGCGGAGCGGCCGUCGGUGCAGAUCUUGGUGGUAGUAGCAAAUAGAACUGGAUACUGAGAUGUGAAAUGGAUAUGAUGGCUCCAGGAUUGCUUUCUCGCCGGGAGUCGAGAAGGAUCUUUGGGCGCCAAUUCUACAACAUGCAUGCUACUUAUAAUAUGCUAUUCUAUAUUCUUCUAAAUGCAGCAAGAUGCUUGAAGAUGCUAGUCUUUGAUAGGCCAGGCUUUCCCUUCUCUUCUGACAUCUUGUAGUUUAGUCCAAAGAUAUAGCCCCAUUCCUUUGAUACCAAUGCAUACUUAGCAUAGUUCUGAUGUAAGUCUUGCGAGUACUUUGGAUGAGUACUCACGAUUGCUUUGCUACCUCUUUCCCCUAUACCCGAUUCUUGCGAUCAGAUGGCGGAUCCCAGGAACCAACUUCUACCGCCGACGACUACUACUACUACCCCGAGGUACCUACUACUACGUGGAGUCCGCCGAUGACCAGGAGUAGUUAGGAGGCUCCCAGGUAGGAGGCCUUGCCUUUUCGAUCGUUUCUAUUGUUUGUGUUAGCCUUUUUAAGGCAAACUUGUUUACUUUAUGUUUGUACUCAGACAUUGUUGCUUCCGCUGACUUGUUUGUAUUCGAGCCCUCGAGGCCCUUGGCUUAUAAUAUAAAGCUUGUAUGACUUUAUUUUGUGUCUAGAGUUGUGUUGUGAUAUCUUCCCGCGAGUCCCUGAUCUUGAUCAUACACAUUUGCGUGUACAAUUAGUGUACGAUUUAAUCGAGGGCGUCACAGACCGAAUGAUAUAAAAAUAAUAAUAGUGCAAGAGUGUCGUGCACUAAGCUGGAAUCUGCAAAUAUUUUAUUCAAAUGAGAAGACAAAGUAAUAUGGGCUCUUUGUCAGAUCAACAAUAAUGCAUAUAGAGCCACUAAACAUUUUCAUCAUGGUCUUCUCCUCACAAUGACUCAACAAAAGAAAAGAAUUUCAAAGAAACACACUGAAAUAUUUUUGGAGUUAACGAGGGAAAAACAAAAAGAGAAAACUAUUUACACGGGAGUAACAAGUAAAAUAAGAAAUGGGAAAUCUUUUUGGGUUUUCUUUUAAUACUACAACUAAUUAAACUAGAAAGAAAAACCAAAAAGAAGUGAGAACUAUUUUUGGAUUUUCUCAAAGUUUUUCAAACACACAAGAAGAAAGCGUGAAAAUAAAACUAAUAUGGAUUAUACAAUGAAAAAGGAUGAACACCGACAACUGGAAUGAAAUGUGUGAACAUGAAUGUAAUGUCGGUGGGAAAUACGUACUCCCCCAAGCUUAGGCUUUCGCCUAACUUGAUAGUCACCAUCCGUAGUAGCCAUCUGGUCCCAUGUGAAAGUGUUGAGAAGGAGGCACCUGAGUGUCCCAAUCUUGGGGCUCCUCCUCUGCCGCUGCCAAUGCGGUCCGGUAGGCUCGCAGGAUGGUGUAUCCAUUCCUAGCAUGAGAAUCCAACAAAGCAGGUGCGGACAAUGGAAUAAUAUCACGAGUUUCCUCGCUAAAAACCAAGUUAUAACGAAUGUGGUAUAGAAGCACAUGAGCAUCUAUAAAGUGAUGGUUCUCCAUCGACUGGUGAUCUAGAUAAACUCUAGGCAACAAGUAAUCAUGGGGGCGUAUCUGAACAUUAAAACGUCUCGCUAGGCGAGUAACAUAAAUGACACAACGAAUUUUGCCCUUCAUCCUGUUAGUGUGUAGGCGGCUUGCAACGACAGCGCCAAUGCUAUAAGUGUUAUCAUUGUGAAGUGCGUGACAUAAAAUGGCGAGGUCGGGGGCACAUAGUGCGCUAUCUUGCUCUCUAGAAGUCAAGCAUUUCCCUAUGAAUAAAGUAAAGUAGUGCACAAUAGGAAACUGCAAGCUAGUGGCUCGGGCGUGAGACACACCCCUUUCCUCACCCAAAGUUAAAGUGAGGAGGAAGCCCUCAAACUCCUCCAGUCGAGGCUCUUGAAUUUCCCCAUCAGAGGGAAUCAAGCAUAUCUCACAAAAUUCAGUAAGCGGUAUCUGGUGAUGCUCAGUGUAUAAGUCAAAGCGCACCUUAGGGGGUUUGAGCCUAUUCAAGAAAUGAAAGUUUUGCACAAAAGAAUUUGUAAGGAUGUGGUGUUGGUCACGCUCAUCUGCGAGGAAGUCAGUAAGUCUAGCAUUUGCAACGAAUUGCGUGAACUCUUGGUAGAAUCCAGCUUCGUUCAUGAAGGCAAUGUGUGGCCAUUCGCACGGCCGGACCUCCGUCCUACACGGGAUGUUGAUGUCAUUGUCUGAGGAUUCCCCAAGGACUCCCUUGGUAUUCCGCUUCGAGGAACUCCUCUGGAAGAUAUUCAUUUCUCCUACAAACAAAUUUCUGAUUUUUUUGGGCCACAAAAUGAUGUCAACAAAACUUCACAAGAUUGAUAGCAACUACUCAUAUGGAUGUCUAGAGGCUAUAUCAAGCAUUCAAACUACUUGGAACUCAAAGGAUUCAACAUACAAGCUCAUUUUCGGUAGCACCAAGAGCAGCUAACUAUGCAAAAUAUAAUCCACAAAAACAAAAACUAAUUGGAGCAAUGGAGGAGUUACAUACUAAGUAGCAAUCCCCCAAAACAGUUUCGGAAAUGGAGCCCCGAGCAAAGAGAUCGGAAAUCUCAGCUUUGGGAGAAAGAACACGCGAGAGAGAGAGAGCUACCAGGAAUUUUUGCUAGAGGUAAGAGACGAAGUGGGCUGAAGGAAUAAGUGAGGGGUCCCUAUGGGACCCACAAGCCACCUAGGCGCGCCCAGAGGAUGGGCGUGCCCUGGUGCCUCGUGGGCACCUGGGACACCCCCCUGGGAUGUUCUCAAUCCCAAAAAUUCUUAAAUAUUCAGUAAAAUACAUGUAAAAAUUUCAGGUCAUUUUGAGCACUUUCAUUUUUGGGCACUUUUUAUUGAACAUAAUUCAGAAAAGAGGAUAAUCAUGGCAUUUUAUUGCAUUUAACUACAAAUAACAAAAAACAUAAAGUGAGUACUGAUACGUCUCCAACGUAUCUAUAAUUUUUGAUUGUUCCAUGCUAUUAUAUUAUCUGUUUUGGAUGUUUAAUGGGCUUUAAUAUACCUUUUUAUAUUAUUUUUGGGACUAACCUAUUAACCGAAGGCCCAGUGCAAAUUGCUAUUUUUUUGCCUAUUUCAGUGUUUCGCAGAAAAGGAAUAUCAAACGGAGUCCAAACGGAAUGAAACCUUUGGGAGAGUUAUUUUUGGAACAAACGCAAUCCAGGAGACUUGGAGUUGACGUCAAGGAAGCAACGAGGCAGGGAGGUGCGCCCCCACCCUCGUGGGCCCCUCGUGGCUCCACCGACCUACUUCUUUCGCCUAUAUAUACUCAUAGACCCCGAAAACAUCCGAGAGCACCACGAAACCCUAUUUCCACCGCCACAACCUUUUGUACCCGUGAGAUCCCAUCUUGGGGCCUUUUCCGGCGCUCCGCCAAAGGGGGAAUCGAUCACGGAGGGCUUCUACAUCAACACCAUAGCCUCUCCGAUGAUGUGUGAGUAGUUUACCACAGACCUUCGGGUCCAUAGUUAUUUUCUAGAUGACUUCUUCUCUCUCUUUGGAUCUCAAUACAAAGUUCUCCUCGAUUCUCUUGGAGAUCUAUUUGAUGUAAUUCUUUUUGUGGUGUGUUUGUCGAGAUCCAAUGAAUUGUGGGUUUAUGAUCAAGAUUAUCUAUGAACAAUAUUUGAUUCUUCUCUAAAUUCUUUUAUGCAUGAUUUAAUAUCUUUGCAAGUCUCUUCGAAUUAUCAGUUUGGUUUGGCCUACUAGAUUGAUCUUUCUUGCCAUGGGAGAAGUGCUUAGCUUUGGGUUCAAUCUUGCCGUGUCCUUUCCCAGUGACAGCAGGGGCAGCAAGGCACGCAUUGUAUUGUUGCCAUUGAGGAUAAAAAGAUGGGGUUUAUAUCAUAUUGCUUGAGUUUAUCCCUCUACAUCAUGUCAUCUUGCCUAAUGCGUUACUCUGUUCUUAUGAACUUAAUACUCUAGAUGCAUGCUAGAUAGCGGUCGAUGUGUGGAGUAAUAGUAGUAGAUGCAGAAUCGUUUCGGCCUACUUGUCACGGACGUGAUGCCUAUAUACAUGAUCAUGCCUAGAUAUUCUCAUAACUAUGCGCUUUUCUAUCAAUUGCUCAACAGUAAUUUGUUCACCCACCGUAGAAUUUGCUAUCUUGAGAGAAGCCACUAGUGAAACCUAUGGACCCCGGGUCUAUCUUCCAUCAUAUUAAUCUCCCGUCAACUUGCUAUUUCUGCCGCCUUUUAUUUUGCAAUCUUUACUUUCCAAUCUAUAUCAUAAAAAUACCAAAAAUAUUUAUCUUAUUAUCUCUAUUAGAUCUCACUUUUGCAAGUGGCCGUGAAGGGAUUGACAACCCCUUUAUCGCGUUGGUUGCAAGGUUCUUAUUUGUUUGUGCAGGUACGAGGGACUUGCGUGUAGUCUCCUACUGGAUUGAUACCUUGGUUCUCAAAAACUGAGGGAAAUACUUACGCUACUUUGCUG